CUAUUUCUACCCAAACAACUGAUUAUACAAAGGAAAGAAUGAACGAGAGAGAAGGAUAAAUCACUACUUCUUUGAUCUGUUUCUUUUAUUUCCACCUUUUUGAUUGAUCAUAGACAAAGCAUUAAAGGAGUUCUCCAUUGCCUCUUCCAUUCUCAUAACCAUGUUCUCGUUUUCAUCUAACCUAGGGAGAGGUCUCUGGAAUUAUCCUUUUACUUAAAUCACACAAAUUUGUACUAUCUUAUACUGGCAGCAUAUGAGAAAACAAAUUUAAGGUCACAAGGCUAAAUGACAUAGUGGCCUUCAUGAUCAAGGGAUUCCAUAAUUCGGGUCAGGCCACUUAGUAAGUAAAUUCAUCAGCUAUAGCUGAUUUGAUUAUCAUUUACACGGGUUACACCUCUAUGGACUUGCACGUGUGUAAUUAUACAAUGUUGCUUUGGUCUCGUUUGAGUAUCUUGCUCUUAUUUGUUCUCUCAAUUUUCAAGUACUAAGUUACGAAGACCGUAGGAAACUUCUCCUAAGCAAAACCAUUUUUUGACAGGCAACACCUAAACCAGUGGCAGUCGGAUUUGGCAUUUCAAAACCUGAACAUGUUAAGCAGGUCAGUUUCUCAAUUCCUUGGACGAGGUGGAAAGUGGUGAGAAAUGGUUUGUAUACAGUUUUACUGAUUUGCAUUAAUCAUGUGUUGCAGGUGGCAGAAUGGGGAGCUGAUGGUGUUAUUGUUGGUAGUGCAAUGGUAAGAAUUUUAGGUGAAGCAAAAUCACCUGAAGAAGGCUUGAAGGAAUUAGAGGUCUUCGCCACAUCUUUAAAGUCUGCACUCCCUUGAUCAGUUGUAGAGAGCAGCCCAGUGCACUAAAGCUUUUCGGCACUCCCUUGAUUAGUUGUAGAAUUGAUGAUUUUGUUGUCUCAAAGCUUUUCGGCCACCUCGAUUUUCAAACCUCAGUUCUUAGAAGCAAAGUGGAUCUUGAAAUAGAUUGUCUGAUUUAAGCUCUAGAGUUUGACAUUCUUACUCUAGCUUGUGUUCGAUGCAAAUUUGUUUUCUAUGGUAAUUCACCUUAUUGAGCAAAGGCAUAUGGGAGACUUUCAAAAUAACCUAAUUGAAGCAUAAAUAAGGCAACACUAGCCACAUUUUACAAAAUUACAAUUCAUAGCCAUUGUAUAAGCUGUAUUCAACCGACUAUAUUUAUAUAAAAUAUAAAUACAAUGAUUAAUUGUGUGCACCAAAAAUAUUUUCUUUAUUUUGUUAUCUGUUUGUAUCAUUGUAUUUAUAUCAACAAGUACAUACCUUCUUUUUCAUUUUUUCAUAUUUUGUUUUUUCAUUCUUCUCAUUUGUAUUUUUGCCUCUCUUUCUUUUUCAAAUGUAUUAAAUUUUUCAUUAGUAUUUUUAUAUUAACAAGUAUAUGCAUCAUUUGUAUUUGCUUGAAUCUAUCAUAUACAAAUACAAAUGUAUCAUUUUAUGCAAAUGUAUUAUUUGUAUUCGGAUGGUUCAAGUGUAUCAAUGAAUAAAAUUUGUACUUUAUAGAAACUUAUAGAUGCAAAAUGCAAAUCUAAUAAAAUAGAAAUACAAAUGUAGCAUGAGUAAAUACAUAUUGAUGCAUUUUUAUAUAAAUUUAACAAAUACAAAACUUGAAGUUUUUUUAUUUUAAAAGAAAAAAGAGCAGAUUUUCUAGCCAGCAAAUUCUUCUUUCCUCCUUGAUUAAGAAAAAUCAUUCACUUCUCAAGUACAUUCGUUUCAUUACUAAAAUAAAGUGUUAACACAAUGAACAAGAGUGUAUUCGUUCGAUUUCUUGGAAUAAUGAUCAAAAUCAUUCCUGGUCACAACUGUUUAACUGAAAGGUUGUCCCUUUAUUAACCUAAUGUAUGGUUUUCUCCUUUUGAAUUACCAAAAAGUUGUGCAAAUGGAAGUGUUUUAGCAAAAAAAAAAAAAAAAAUCAAGAUCAAGGUAGAAUUAAGAAGUGUAAGAAGAGAAAGUAAUUAAUUGAAACUUAGGAUAAAUAGAGACUUACAGGUGCUGCCUCAUGUAGUUUUUCAAGGCAUAUCCCCCACCUACAACAACAACAGCAAAAAAAAAAAAAAGUUGCAACACGAAGGAAUGAGCACCAACUACUUUCCUACUUGAUGGAUGAAAUGAAAAACUUAUAUCCUUUCAAUGAAAAGGGAAGGAUUCCGUGCACCCCAAAGAAAAGCUCCAUUAGGAAGUUCAUGACCAAAGAUUAUUCGGAAUUAAUAUGAAAAAAUCAUUUUUUAUUUUCGAUUUAUUAAACUUCAAAAAAAAAUAUUGGGAACAAAUUGAAUUUUUAGGAAAAUGUAUUAUUUUACUUGCAAAUGAUAACUUUUAAAUUUUGCAUCAAGUAUGGGUAAACGAAACUUAAUUACUAUGUCUAUUAAUUUAUGUACGUUUAUUGCUCGUAAUACUUGUUUCUACAUGAGUUAAGUUUCAAUUAAUUUUUGAUAAAACACAUUCAUUAGCACAUACUGUGUGUUUUUAUAUAUAACUUAGCCAGUUAACGGCCUAACAUGAAAUCAUAUUGUAUUAAGGGUCAGACAUCUAUAUUUAUUUAACUAGGUCACUACUAAACUGUAAAAUAUUUCAUGAUUUUAUCAAAUUAAUUACUAAAAAUUACAAACUAACACAACUUAUCUUUCAUUAAUUACAAAAAAUUUCAACUCCUCAAACUUAUUACAAAAAUUCCAAUUUUGGUGUUUCUCACUCUAAAAGCAAAUAUACAUAAGUAAGAUGAUUUCUUUCACCAUUUUUCACCCUUAAAACUCUCCUAAAAUCAAGCAUCGGUUACCAUUUUGAAUAUAACUGUACUUGACUCCAACUUACAGCAUUAAAUUUUAUCUUAAUCUCCAUUAAUUAUUCUGAUUUUUAAGUGUUGAGGUUAAUUUUUUUUUUUUCAUCAUUUACUGAACCGAUUUUUGGGGAUUUUUGAAUGAAGUAAUUGUUCAUGUUCUUAUUAAGUAUUUUUUGGGGUUUCUUCUUUAACAAAAUUUUCGAAAUCGUCCAUUUGAAGUACGAUAUUAACAACUUAGUACUUUGUUAAUGGAGCAUUCUCCUUAAUUCAGUUUUGGGUUUUUCGAAAGAACAAAUUGUUGCAUGUUCUUAUUAAGUAUUUUUUGGGGGUUUUAAUUUAACAAAAUUUGAUUGUUAUUGCAUUAUUGUUCCUUUUUUGUUCCAAAAUCUUCCAUUUGAAGUAGAAAUAAAUAUAUUUGUACUUUGUUAAUGGAGGAUUCUCCUUCUUUUAGCUUAGGAUUAACUCAGUUAGAUACAAAUUCGGUAGUUGGAUUUGUUUUCGGUGUUUUUGACUAUGAGGAACCUAACUUUGUUGAAAAAAGAUCUAAAUUUCGUAACGACUCCAAUAAGAUGAAAGAGAUUAGAAAAGCUGCUUCUGAGAAGUCGAAAAAAGCAGUUGAAAAAUCAUCAAGACUAUCCAAAAAAGCUGAUUCUGGACGUCCACGUCUUCCUAAGGUAUAUAUAAUUUUUUCGUUUUUGUAUAUGUUGGGUAUAUAAAUUUGUGGUGAGCUUUUUAUUUGAAAUACAGUGAUCUAUAUAAUUUAAUAUACAUAAAUAAAUAUUGGGUUUAUGUAAAUUCGUAUGUAUGUGUUAUACAUACAUUACUCAGCACAUAUACAUAAGUUAGUUUUUCCAUUACAUUAUGUCAUGUUAGUUUGAUGCACUGAACAUGAAAUGUGUAUAUGAAUAACAUAUACAUAAACUUCAAUGUGUUGUUAAUACUGCAUUAUGUACUUCAUACACAUCAUAUUUUCUGUGUAUAUGUGUAUAUUUUUUGAAGAGGUAUUUAAGGUAAUGGAUAUUAGGUAUGUAUAUGUUGACAUAUACAUCACUUCUGAUAUUUUGUUUGUUGUGUUUUUGAACCAAUAAUUCUCUCAAUUUAAUUUUAUGUAUAUGAUAGUAAUAUACAUAUACUUAGCAUUUAAUUUUACAACGCAUGCUCAUAUUGACAUAUAUAUGUUUUGUUAUUUUAGUGUUUUAUAUAGUUUGUGUUUUGUUAUUUUAGUUUGAUGCACGGAACAUGCCAUGUGUUUAUGAAUAAUAUAUACAUAAUCUUCAAUAUUUUGGUAGACUACUACUGUGAUGUGAACUGCAUAUACAUAAUGGAUAUCAACUAUGUAUAUGUUGACAUAUACAUCACUGAUGACAUUUUUUGUGUUUUAGAACCAAUACUUCUCACAAGUCAAUUUUAUGUAUAUGUUAGUAAUAUACAUAAGUUUAGUGUUGUUUUCAUUAAAAAACACAUACUCACAUAUCAUGUGUUGUUUCUUUCUCAAUAGGGUAUGAAAUACAGGAUAAGAAAGGUCCCUGCGCAUUUGUUGCAUUUCGAUAGUUAUUGCAAUCGAAAAUUUAGAGAAGAAAUAAAAAAUUAUCUUGGUGAACAAGUUGUAACUCUGUUCCGACAAAUAAUUUUUGGUUCAUUCCUAGAUAUCCCGAAUUGUAAUUAUCAGGGUCAAUUAUCCAAAUGCUUACUCAUGCUCGAGAUAGAACAAGACAAUUCAGAUGAAAUACACGUUUACGUGCAGGAAAUCACACUCAAGUUUACUAUUAUUGAGUAUGCCAUUAUAUCCGAUCUUAAAUAUUCAGGAAACACCGAGGAGCACCUCUUUUCUGUUACAUCAAAGUCCGCAUUAAUGACGACGUAUUUUUAAGGAUCUAAGAGUUCUGUCAAAAGGAGUCUCUUUAUAGAGCGUUUCAAGUUGGGCAACUUUAAAAACAAUUCUGAUGCUCUGAAAUGUCAGUAAUUUACUUCAUUCACACCUUUCUGUAUUCACAAGUACGUGAUUCUACAAUUAGCGAAUCGAAUUUUGUGAUGGUUGAGAAUGAUAGUUACGAAUAAUUUUCAUGGGGGAGGAGUUCAUUUGAAAAGCUUAUUGCAUUGUGGAGAUAAGAUUUUUUUGUUGCGAAACAGUUAUACUCGAUGGGGGGAAUGUCUCACGUGCUGAAUGUUUGGAUGUAUGAAUGCUGUUUUGAGGUAGACAGUACGAUAGCCAAGCGGGUAGGAAAUGUAAUUCCCCAAAUUUUCAACUGGCAGGUGGUUGGAAUCAAAGUUAAGUACGAGAAAUUUAUGGUUGGUAUGUUCAGCAAGGUAAGUAUGAUGUAUAUUAUUUCGAUCUUAGUUUUAAUUUUCAACGUGCUUACUUUAACAGACUGUUAAUGUUGCUAUUUUUUUAUUGUUUAAAAGUUUGUAUACAAUAAUAUACGACCAACUCAUGAAGAAGUACAAACUCUUGAUUUCCAAAUGAUUGAGGGAUUUCAAUUAAAAGAAGCUGAAAGUGAAUUUCCUCCAGAAAUUGCUGCAGAUUGUUCCGAUAAAAGACCUGCUGUCGACGUAUAGUCACAAGUGGACCUCGAUAUAUAAGGUUUUGAGGAAUUUGGUAAGGUCCCUCCUACAGAAAUUCUCAAGAAGGCAGGUUUGAUUACUGAUGCUUCAACAUCUCAUCUGACUAAGAAGCGAAAAAUAGUCCGUUUUGAUUCCACAACUGCUGAGGAGCAAGUUUGUCAGAAAAUAUCAUCUUUUGUUUCAACAAGAACUGUGCCAACCCAAAAAACAGCUUCUUCAGAUUCGUAGCGUGUUCAUGCCGAAAAGACAACUCCAUCAUCGUCACUCAAGUCAGUUUGUCAGGACAAUUUUGAUGAAAAGUGGAAUGAUAUAAAGUUAUUUUUACAAUCUUAUGUAAGUUCAUUCAUAUCUUAUAGUCAACUUUCUUCAGCUUUUGACAUGCUGGUAUACACAAAAUUCAACUUUCAUCAACAUGUAGUCUUAUGUAAGUUCAUUUUGACAUGCAAGUUGACACAAAAAUCAACUUUCUUCAUGAUCUAAUAGUCAAACAACAUCAAGACUCAAACAAAAAAAUGGAUAAACAACAUGCCGAACUCAUUCAAAUGUUGAAACACAACAGCCGAAAAAAUAAAAAGGUACACCAAAAAUUAUUUAAGUUAUAUAAUUCAUGAUUUUGUAUUUCUUUUUGCUUCAAUUUUGUGCAUUUAUACUUAUUCUGAAUUAGAAUUGUAUUACGUAUUAUUUAACUAUUAUUUGUACAAUGUUUUAUACCAUACAUAAAAUGCUUACUUUGUGUUAUAAAAUAUACAAACAAUAUGCCAUGUAUAUUAACUAUUUCUCAUGGAAUUGAUAGUUGCAAUGGCAUAGUAGCUGUCAAUUAUGUUAUGUAUAUUAACUAAUAUACGCAAAUGUUUUAAGUUAAAUACACAAUAUAAUCAUAAGUUAUACUCAUAAGUAUGAUGUGUAGUUUAUAGCUAUGUAUAUUACAUAUAUUUUAUGUUUGUAAUAUAAUAUACAUAAAUUGUUACAUUGUGGUAUAUAAUAUACCAACAACAUGCUAUGUAUAUUAACUAUUUCUCAUGGAAUUGAUAGUUGCAUUGGCAUAAUAGCUGACAAUAAUGAUAUGUAUUUUAACUAAUAUACAUAACUGCUUUAUGUUAAGUCCACAAUAUAAUCACAAGUUAUACUAUGUGUAUUUUAUAGCUAUGUAUAUUACAUUGCAAUGGCAUAGUAUCUGAUAUAUCUACUACAACAAACUAUAAAGGUUCAUGUUUUGGAUGGUUCAACCGUCGGAAAAAAAUCAACACAAGCUCAAGUAGACAAGAUGGAUAUCAUGCAGAAUAUUGAAGGCAUACAAAAAUGGGUACUUUUUCAAAAAUACAUUAUUAUUAGAUCAGGUUGAUGUUAUCAAAUUUUUUCUAAAGAAUAUACUAUACUAUUUCAACACCAUCAGCAAGAGGGAGAAGAAAAAAUAGGAAAUGUACCAUAUAAAGAAGAUGUUGAAGAUAUUGAAAUCUUCAAAACCUUGAAAGAAAAGGAAAAAAAGGUAUUUACUCACAAGUGAUAGUUAUACAUACUUCGUUACAUAUAUUAAUUUUUUGUUACUUCUUUAAUUUUAUGAUUUUUAUCCAGCUUAGAAUUUGGUACAAAUUGAAUGUUUUUUAACGACAGUUAUAUUUGCGUUACAAUGUAUACGUAUUGUAUUAUAUGUAUAUUAUUAUAAUAUACAAAUAUGAAGCACAACACAAAUUAUGAAAGCAAUUAACAUAAAAAGCAAUAAUUAUUUUUUAUUCAUAGAUUUUCGACGAGACAGAUAAAUCAACAGACGUAUACUCUGUUGAUGAUCCAAUGGAUGGUCACUAUUUUGAUUGAAACCGUAGUUUCAUAUAACAAUAAUCACAGGUUAAAGAUCUUAGAAUUUAACGUUUACAAUUAAAAUAUUGAACUGACUUAGUUAUGUAUAUGUUUUACAUUAUGAUUGGUAGGAUGUUGAAGGAUGCAGUGAGGAUAAUGCUACUGCCAGCCUAGAUGCUCUUGUAGAAUCCGUGGUAAAUCACAAUUAUGACAACAUCAAUGUUGGAACAUAUACUACUGUGCAUGUCCAUAAUGAUCACAUGGUAAAUAAAUAAAGUCAUUCUUUUUUAGCCAUAGGUCAAAUAUGUAAGAAAUGUACUAUUUUUUUGCUUACAGUUAAAUCGAAAUAAUGAUCUACUUUUGUAUAUGUUUUGUGUUAUGUUUUCAAGGAUGUUGAAGGAGUUAGUGCUGAUAUUGAGCCUGCCACAUUGGAAUGUCUAGUCGCAGCUGUGGAAAACCAAAAACCUGAUAAUGAUAAUGUUGGAACAUCUAAUAUGCAGGUAACUUUACCAAUUUUUUUUCGCCCUGCAUGUCUUAAUUUUCACACAUGACACUAUUUCUACGUGCGCGUUAAACCAAAUCUAACAAUACAUACUUCAAAUUUAAUCUUAGGUUGAUUAUUCGAGUACACUUUCUGAAUUGGCUCAAGUCGAGUUAGAUGCGAUAUUGAAAGUUAUUGCAGCACCAGUUGAUGACGUUCCUAUAGAAGUAGUUCCACCGGCAGGACCAGUUGUGAACCAACACGACAUCUCUGAUAGUAAGGUUCUUCUUGAUUUUCCUGAUGCUGUUGUCGCGGCUCAUCAAGCUUUGAAAACCCGUGCUAAGGUUGCUAAGAGAAUCAGGACGAUAUCCAAAGUUUUCAAGUCUCCAUACACAACAGAAUAUGCUUCUGGCUCUAAAGCAAUUGAGGAUUAGAUCGAAGAACAGAAACAACAAUUCGCUUUUGAUGGUUUCCUAAUAUUUGACACUAUGCCAAGCAGUGUAAUUGAAGAAUUCAAACAGUGGGUGGAGGAAGAAUUAUUGAAGUUUCAUGCUAAAAAGUAAGUUUUUAUCGAUAUUAAAAUUCAUUAUUUUAGUCAAUGAAUGUACUACAUUUUUUUUUAUAAUAACAAUUUUUUUUUUUUAUAGAAAAUAUGAUGAUGAUCACUACAAAGCAAAAUCAUUUUCGCUAGGAGUUCAUGAAAUUGAUUUUGUGGUUGCUCAUGCACGGACAAAAAAUUGAUUUUACUUGAUGUCUCAAAAAAACACGUGUUGGAACGAUGAGGUAUUUAAACUUUUUAAUUUGAUAAUCAUUCAUUUUUACUUGUUCCGUUAUGUUGUAUACAUACAUGCAUAGUAUAUAUGUGUUAACCUACUUCGGAGAUUUUCUACGUGUUCAAUAGUUUUAAAUAAACUAUGUUUCUCUUAAACUAAUACUUCAAUUUCUAAUUUAUGUACAUCAUGUUUUUACACUGUAUAUGUGUUCAUUUUAUAUAUGACCAGUUUAGGCAUUUGAUAACACCUACAUAUACGUUAUAAUAUGCAUCACUGUUGAUUUUUGUGUCAUGUUUGUUCUAGUAUCCUUAGAUCACACAAAUGUUUUUUGUGUAUAUGUUAACAAAUUGUCACUACUAAAAUGGAUGGACAUCAUCUAUGUAUAUUAUAUCCUAUAUGUUAACUCAAUUAUAACACAACAACAUAUGUAUAUGUCUACCUUAAUAUAUGUAUUAGAUUGCUAAUGGCUAUGUAUUUUAAUAAUUGAUAAUUAGUAUGUAUAUUAAAUAAUAUACAUCACUGAAUGUAUGUAGUUAUGAACUUUCUUGCAUACUCAGGUUUCAUCAUAUUUUAUGUAUAUGCAUUUAUUAUCUAGAUGUAUGUUUACAAACACUAUUAUUAAAAGUAUGUGAUUUUUAUUAUAUAAGACAUAAUUCGUUUCAUUUUUUCUCGUCGUUUGUAGCAUAUUGAUGUCAUUUUCUAUCAUUUGCAAAAGAAAUCAAAAUUAAGGAGCGAUCAAAAUUACAGAUUCACAACGACCAACUAUUUUUUCAAGAACUACAUUGACAAGACAUACUCCAGAUACUAUGAAGACGAUACAGAUACAGUCCUGACUACAUAAUAAGAUUAUGGUGAAUCUGUUCGCGUUGCUCUAAUUGAAGAGGCAAUAACACAUAUAAUCAAUGAAUAUUGCAUGCCAUCUGAUUUACCAUGGCACCAAGUUGAUGAGGUGUAUGUUCCUAUCAACUGCAAUAAGAAUUUUCACUGGAUGUUAGCUGUUAUUGCCAUGAAAGAUAGACGCAUACGCGUCUACGAUUUGUUGUCCAGACGAAGGAAUACGAAAUCAAUUACUGAGAUUCAAAAGUUGGCUAAGAUGCUACCAACUUACCUCUCUGACAAUAAAUUUUAUGAUGAAACAUCUCAUACAGAUUGACCUAAUCUUGAAACAUAUAGGGAUAAGAUUACUCAGACGACAUAAAUUCUGAAUGAACAUCCCUUUGACGUUGAGUAUGUUCAACAUAUUAUGCAACAAGAAUGCUACAGUUUGUAAGUAUACUGAUAUAUUCUUUUUAUUUGCAAUAUUACUGUACAUGUAUUAAUGUAUUUGUAUUUUUCAUUGCUAGUAAGUAUUAAAUAAUAACUUCUAUUAUUUUUUGUAUGUAUGACAGGGAUUGUGGAGUCUUUGUUGCUGGUUAUGCAGAAUACCUAAGUGAAGAAAUGAAUGUGCCUUCCGAUGGUUUUGAAGAAGAAUACCAUAGAAUGCGUUAUGCCACACUACUUUGAAAAUAUGGUAUUCAAAAAACAAAGAAAGGUUAUGUUAGGAAAAAUGAUGACCCUCCAAGAUCAAAGUCAAGAAUUAUACAAAUUUCAGAUGAUAAUGCAAUAGUUUGCAUUGAGUAGUCUUACUGAAGAAUAUUGUUAAGAUUUUUAAUGUAUUCUGCUGAAAUUUGUUAGGAAUUUUUAAAGUUUUAAUUAUUUUAGUUGUUUUGUAAGGCAGAAUACAAUGGUUUUUUUAAUGAAUAUGAUGAAGUUUUUGUUUAACAUAUGUAUUUUUUAGCAAUGACGAAUGCAGUUUUUGAUGAAUGUUGCAUAUGACAACAUUUACAUAUAUUUGUGGCUGUUAUGUGUGUAUAUGUUUUCAUAUACAUUGUAAACAAUAAAAGUUAAUACUGUAUAUUGUAAAAUAUACAUAAUUGUAAUGUGUGUAUAUGUUUUAAUAUACACAAAACCUCCUAAUUUUAAUCUGUGUAUAUAUUAUAAUAUACAUAUUACAUUAUAUAACUAACUAAUAAAUGCUGAAAAUUAUACAUAAAUAUACAUUUAAUUGAAAAAAAAUAUAUUAAAGAAGUAAGUUAAUUCAACGCUAUAUGUAAAACUCAUAAUAUUUGUUUUUUAAAUUUUUUGUUUACAACUAUAUGUUUACAUUUACAACUCAGACGUUAUAUAACAGAGCUAUGUAUAUUAAAUUGUCUACAUUAAGUAAUAUAUAAUAUACAUAAAACAUAGAUUUGAGUUAAAGGCUAUAAACAUAAUUUAUGUAUAUUAUAUAAUAUACAUAACUGUACCAUCUGCUGGUUUUCAACGUUAUUUCAUUUCUCUUUGUAAGUAUAGCAAAACAAUAGGUUAAUUCAACAUUAUACAGAAAACACAUAACAGUUGAUUUUCAAAAUUUAGUUUUUUAAAAAAUUAAACAUACACAUUACAAUUUUUACAUUGGAGCUAUGUACGUUUUAUGUUAUACAUGUUACCAUUGUUUGAUAAUAUACACAACUGUGUUACUCUAGAAUAUUUCAAAGCACUUAUGAAAAUACACCAGCGUAUACAUAAAAAUCACAAAUAAGAAAAAUAAAUUAACACUAAAAUUAAAAUCGAAAUAAACAAUAAUUUAUUUAAAAGAAAAAAAAUACGAAAAUAAAUCAGUUAUACUCUUCAAGAGUAUAGCAAAAUAAUAAACUAGUUCUCCUUUGAAAAAAAACUACAUGAACGCCUAUUGUGCCCUUCAUGGCCGCAUCAUCCACAACGGUUUGUGCUUGAAGAAAGUGUUUCACUUGAUUUCUUCUUCCUCUCCUUCUUCUGUCUACCUGAAAGUCUUUUGUAUAACGGUGGCAACACUUCUUCUUCAUCUACACUGUUGGAAACAUCCCAGUCUUUCUUGUUUGACAUUGUAACGAUUGAAACCUCAUAUGUCUUGACCAAUUUGUUUGGCUUGUAGUAUUCUGAACAGUAAUCUCCAAAAUUUUUUACAUGUUUAGACUUCAAUACAGCUAUAGCGUGAGCACAAGAAAUUUGAUCUAUUUGAAACCUCACACAGUUGCAUGAGCCAUUUUCUAAAUCAACAAUGUAUCUUCUCCCAGAUUCAUAAACCGAAUAUAUAUAUGUUGAAGAAGCCUUCACCUAAACAAUAGAUAACAAAAUUCCAACCAAAUAUUUUUUACUGGAAAUAUAAAUUUAAAUACACUUAUUUUCAGUCGAACAAAUACUACUUAUAAAUGCACAUUUCAAAAAGUUAAAGCUUAUACAUACCGUCUUUCUCAAAGCUUUCACACCAUUGAGAGUAAGAAUUUUUUCAAAUCGAUGACCCAAAGUGGUACUUGUAUAAGAAACUAUUUCACUGUUCUUAUAGUUCCAAGAACCAAAUAAUAUUCGAACUUCUUCUAAGAAUCCAUAUAUUGGCAAUCCCCGGGCCUCUACCAAACAACCAUUAAUACACUUAGCAAUAUUUGAGGUCAUCAUCCGACCUCUAUUUACCGGUGGAUGACAUCUACUCCACUUUUCAUAUCCAAAUUCUUGUAAAUAUUUUUUCACUCUGGAUCAGCUUUUUCAAUCUUUGCCAUCAAAUAUUCAAAAUCAUCUUUCCUAUAAGCUUUAGCCAUUGAAUAAAAUAAAUCACUAAUACUUUCUUUGCUCUUACGAAAGUAACUACAAAUAUUUUUUCAAAGAUACCAUAUACACGCAAGAUGUGGGACAUUUGGAUAUACGACACUGACAGCUUUUAUAAUACUUUCGUUCCUAUCAGAAACAACACACAUGUUUUCACGUUCACCGAAUGCAACUUUGAACUGAUUGAAAAACCAUGUCCAUGAAUUAUCAUUCUCAGUAUCCACAACCCCAUACGCAAGUGGUAAUAUGCAUCCCAAAUUAAGUAAAAAUUGUAUUAGUAGAAGAACAACAAGAUUUUCUUAAAGUCUACUGGACAAAAUUUUUAUGUGUUAACAUAUACAUAGAUGUAUAUGUUAACAUAUACAUAGUUAACAUAUGUUAUUAGAAUAUACAUAACUACGUACGUGAUAAUAAAUAUAAUUUUUACUAUUUUUUUAAAUACAAAAAAAGAAUUAAUGAAUUUUUUUCAAUAACUUAAAAUUUUUUUUAAAUAUGAAAUACAAUGAAUGUUUAAAAAAAAUCAGGGAUUUAUGAUUUUUCACAUACCUGCACGAUCAAGAGUACUUGCUGAGAAAAAAGUGCCUUGAUAUGGUCCACUUAAAUGUGCACCAUCAAUAACAACAACAGGCCUGCAAUAGUCAAAAUCCCUUAUCAUGGGAUGCAAUGCUUAAACAAAUACAUGAACCGAUUAUCCCAUGAUUUGUGCAUUGCAACGUGCGAAUUAGGAUAUACAUUUUUUAACAUAUAAAUAUAUCUCGGCAUCUGUCUAUAACCAUCCGCAGGUCCGCUCCUUAGCAAAGCAAUGACACGCUCCUUCGUAUGCCAUGCUUUCAUAUAAUUUAUAUCCACAGCAUAUACAACUUUCAUUUCUUCAAUGAUGUCCCCCGGUGUGUGCUUUAUCUUAUAAUUAACUAGUUUUGGAGCUGUGAAUUCACAUACAAAAGAAGUUGUCGCCAAAAUAUUCUGCAGUACCCUAUCCCUCAAAUUGCAUGUAUGUUCUGGAUUAAAUUUUUGAACCAUAAAAACAUCUAUUUUUUUUGUAACUAGAUGCUUCCAACUUCCACGUACAUUUCUCAUUGUAAUAGAGGAGUACAUAGCUGAAAUAUAAAAAAUACUAUUCAAAUGAUUAUAUUUUGCAUCAUUUCAUAAGUUUUGACGAUUUAAUUGUUACAAAUUCAUUAUAAUACAGCAUAGACAUGCAUAAUAUUUCAUCAAAGAAAGCUAUAAACAAUCUAAUAAUUAACGUAAUAAACUUUAAAGAUGGAGUAUGCAGAUUAUGGAUUAAAUAAAACAUCUACUGACAUGUUACCAGUUAUGUAUAUGUUUACACAUACAUAAUUACUUAUUGUAGACAUGUAAUUUUGUCCCUCCCCGAAAGCAUUUUUUUCAUUUUUUGACCUUAUCCUACCAUGUACCCCCAACCAUAUAAUCAUACCCCACAAAAAUACAAAAAUAACAAACUCCCUAACAAAACUUUAUCUUUUUUAACCAUCCUAACAACCUCUCUAAUCAAAAUUAGGACACCUUACCAUCCCACACCCUACCUCUACCCCACCUACCCUACCUCUACCCGCCCCCUAGGCUGCCCCCUUCCCUCAUUCACAUUUUCUCUAAUUUUUUCUCAACAAAAAAUAUACCAGAUACGCACACACAAAGGGGACCCAGAUCCCAUCUUCUCCAUAUAGAUUUAACACACACACAGUAGAGGGAGGAGUGGACAUACUCCAUUGUUCUUUUUUCUUUUUUUUCGAGCACAAUUCUUCACGGAGAGGAACGAAUACACGCACAUCACCCUCACAAUCUCACACUCCAUUUCACAAUAAUACAGAAUCUUCACUGAUCACACUAAAUGCAUAAUCGAUUGAGAGAGAUAUGUGAGGGAGCUAAAUAGUAAGAGAUUGUGAGCAAAAACGAAGGGGAUUGAGAAAGAAUAGGAGAAAGGGGUGACAGAGAGGUGAAUUGUAAGCUAUUGAGGUUGUCGGAGCUCUGGCUAUGCGAAUACAGUGAUUCCGAGCUCACCGUCAUCAAUUCCCUCAUUAACGAUAGAUCAACGACCAAUUCCGGUGACCAACACUUCGAAAAUAGCUCAAACCACCUAGAAAUCCAUUGAAAUCACUAAACCAGCCACGCCGCCAGUCCGAUUUUCUCUAAAAUCUGGCAAUCCACUUCCUUCCCAUUACUGCCUGUGCUUACCAGAGCUUCGGUGAGUCGCAAAACAUCAGAAGAAAAUAGAGGGGGUUCGUCUUGGGUAUUUUGGGAUUUGAGUUCGAGCUUCGUCCAUGGUUCAUUGGUUCCGAGGCUCCCGUCAUGUUGAAAUUAGUUCAAUUGGUCAAAUAAAAGCCCCAAUUUAAGGUCCAUCUCUUUAUCUCAUUCUUAUUCUUAAUUAAUUUUUAUGGUUGCGUGUGUUGAUUGCCAUCGUCUCAACUUUUCUAUUAUUUUAUGCGUGAUGUGAAUGAUAAAUGUCGAAUAAUAUUGAUUGGGAAUCGCUAAAAUAUUAUCGUUGAUUUGUUAUGUUGUAACAUUAGUUGAGAAUCAAUUUGGGGCAGAAUGGAUAAAUCGCUAAAAGGAUGAAUAAUGAUCAAUUUUGAUUUAUUGUUGUUUGGUUUAAUUUGGUUUAAGUAUGAAUAUUGUUGAACACGGUAGUAGCAUGAUUAGGUCGUUAAGUCGAUAGGCAAAUUCUUGGUUUUGGGGUAGGAAACUCAUAAGAUUCUAAUCAUCGAAUGUGUAAAUAUUUGUGUCGAGUGAUUUUUCCUAUUUUUAUCGAAUUAAAAAUGUACUCAUUUGGCCGGGGAAUGCCCCGAGGUAUUUGUAUUAUUUUAUCCGGGGAAUGCCCCGACGUCUCAUGUACCCGAAGGAUGUUUGUAAUGAAGGCCCGAAGCAUCGGGUAAAGCAUUGAAGCAUAGUUUAGAAUUAGUGUAGGUUUACUUUUUAGUACCCCUUUUUUAUUUUCGGUUGUAAUAAUUGGACUGAAUAUUAUAUUUUGGAUUUGUUUUGUUUCGUAUUUUUGAUUGAUUGUUUUAUGUGUUUUGUGUGGUUUAUACAUUUGUAAUGUCAAAGUUAGCCGAUACGCUCUACCAAGAGACCGAGGUCAAACCACGGGUUCGAGGGGUGCCUAACACCCGCCCCUCGGUUAACAGAAUUUCUUUGCCGGAAUCUCUGUUCGCGGAUCAGUUUUAAAGAGUCAAAUAUAUUUUGAAAAGAGAUAUCCAAGGGUGACUUGGCACACCCCAUUUAUGCCAAGUGACGACUCUGAGUUUUGAAUAUAAAAAGUCCUUUUCGAAACAAAUCUUCAUUUUGUCACUUCAAUAAUAACCCUUUCGAACCUUAAAACAUAAUCUUUUUUUGGGAGUUAAAAAAAAGGGGUGUGACAGCUCUGGCGACUCUGUUGGGGAUUUUUUUAAGAAUUCGAGCAUAUUUUGGAGUUGUAUCGGCUUAGUUUGGCACUAUAGGUGUAUAGACUUUUUGUUUACGUGCUCUUUUUUUUUACAGUUUUUCUCUUAUGUGUUACCGCUUUAUAGCUGGUAUCAUGUGCAUAACCCGAGUUAAUUCUUUCUACAACAAGUUCUGUAGUACACGCUGUGUAGACGACCUAUAGUUGAGUCACCCUUAUUUUAGGAGGGGGAUCCAUCGACUGGUAUGGAGUAGGUGGACAGCCAAAGCAGCCACUAUCGAUCAUAUGCUCCCCCUAACAACCUUGUUAGUGAACCCCAACUGAGGUCAACCUUUAGGUCAUGAUUAUGUACAUCAUAUUGAGGAUCUAGCGGGGCCCACUUGGCCCUUUGUAGGAGGCUCGCCUCUAAAACAUUCCUACGUGUUAAUUGUUGCAUCUUUGAGAGUAAUAUGGUCAUUUUAUGGACUGAUUUGGGGAAAGCAUGUGUUAGAAGUAAAGUAUGUAGACAAGAAACCGUUUGAAAAAAAAAGUUUUGUAGCUUUUAGUGUUCUUCGUGGCUUUUGUUUUUAACAAUUCAAAAAGAUUUCUUUAUUCUCUGCACUCAUUUGUUCAAAAACCAAAACAUCAAAAAGAUUUCUCACUUUGUCUUCUUUAGCAUACAUUCAUAAUUCGAAAUUUUCAAAAAAAUUUUUUUUAGCAGUUUAUAAAAGAAAAGGAAAAAUGAUAAAAAUUUUGUACAUUUCAUAUAGUGAAAAUGCCAAAAAGAUUUCCUUCAUAAUCGUUGGUGUCAGUUUUAGUUGAGGUGUCUAAUUAAAAACCCAAAAAUAUUUUGUUCGUUUGUCUUUGGUUGUGUCUCUUAAGUUAGGGUCAAUCUGUUAGUUAAUCCUUAAUUGUCCAAUCUGGACGACCUACGCACCCCUGAUUCUCCUCUCUCUGGAGUGAGAUACGUAGGCAGCCUAUUGUUGGUUCGGGGAUCUUAUUUAAAAAAUUCAAAAAAAAAUUUCUUUACUUUUUAUUUAGAGUAGGUGUUUCACAUAUGCCUCGAAAAGAACACUACAAAAAGAUUUUCCUUAAUAGUCGUAGGUUUCAUUUUUGGUUGAUCUUGUUUCAAAAAAUUCAAAAAAAAAGAGAUUUUCUUUACUUUUCAUUUAGAGUAGGUAUUUCAUAUACAUCUUUAAAAGAAAACUACAAAAAAGAUUUUUUCCUUUAAUAGUUUCAAAUUUUAUUUUUGUCUGAAUUUCAAAAUUAAAAACCCAAAAAGAUUUCUUUGGUAAUCAUAGAUUUCACUUUGUAUAGGGGUGUUUAAACCUGAAAAAUACAAAAAGAUUUUCGUCAAUUCUUUUGACAAAUUGUUAUUUUCUUUUCUUCUUAAAGUUUCAAGAAAAAGAAAAGAGUUAAUUUGGCCAUUUUGGCAAGACUUCACGAACUACGCACACCUGAUUCUCCUCUCUUUUUGAUUGAUUGUUUUAUGUGUUUUGUGUGGUUUAUACAUUUGUAAUGUCAAAGUUAGCCGAUACGCUCUACCAAGAGACCGAGGUCAAACCACGGGUUCGAGGGGUGCCUAACACCCGCCCCUCGGUUAACAGAAUUUCUUUGCCGGAAUCUCUGUUCGCGGAUCAGUUUUAAAGAGUCAAAUAUAUUUUGAAAAGAGAUAUCCAAGGGUGACUUGGCACACCCCAUUUAUGCCAAGUGACGACUCUGAGUUUUGAAUAUAAAAAGUCCUUUUCGAAACAAAUCUUCAUUUUGUCACUUCAAUAAUAACCCUUUCGAACCUUAAAACAUAAUCUUUUUUUGGGAGUUAAAAAAAAGGGGUGUGACAGCUCUGGCGACUCUGUUGGGGAUUUUUUUAAGAAUUCGAGCAUAUUUUGGAGUUGUAUCGGCUUAGUUUGGCACUAUAGGUGUAUAGACUUUUUGUUUACGUGCUCUUUUUUUUUACAGUUUUUCUCUUAUGUGUUACCGCUUUAUAGCUGGUAUCAUGUGCAUAACCCGAGUUAAUUCUUUCUACAACAAGUUCUGUAGUACACGCUGUGUAGACGACCUAUAGUUGAGUCACCCUUAUUUUAGGAGGGGGAUCCAUCGACUGGUAUGGAGUAGGUGGACAGCCAAAGCAGCCACUAUCGAUCAUAUGCUCCCCCUAACAACCUUGUUAGUGAACCCCAACUGAGGUCAACCUUUAGGUCAUGAUUAUGUACAUCAUAUUGAGGAUCUAGCGGGGCCCACUUGGCCCUUUGUAGGAGGCUCGCCUCUAAAACAUUCCUACGUGUUAAUUGUUGCAUCUUUGAGAGUAAUAUGGUCAUUUUAUGGACUGAUUUGGGGAAAGCAUGUGUUAGAAGUAAAGUAUGUAGACAAGAAACCGUUUGAAAAAAAAAGUUUUGUAGCUUUUAGUGUUCUUCGUGGCUUUUGUUUUUAACAAUUCAAAAAGAUUUCUUUAUUCUCUGCACUCAUUUGUUCAAAAACCAAAACAUCAAAAAGAUUUCUCACUUUGUCUUCUUUAGCAUACAUUCAUAAUUCGAAAUUUUCAAAAAAAUUUUUUUUAGCAGUUUAUAAAAGAAAAGGAAAAAUGAUAAAAAUUUUGUACAUUUCAUAUAGUGAAAAUGCCAAAAAGAUUUCCUUCAUAAUCGUUGGUGUCAGUUUUAGUUGAGGUGUCUAAUUAAAAACCCAAAAAUAUUUUGUUCGUUUGUCUUUGGUUGUGUCUCUUAAGUUAGGGUCAAUCUGUUAGUUAAUCCUUAAUUGUCCAAUCUGGACGACCUACGCACCCCUGAUUCUCCUCUCUCUGGAGUGAGAUACGUAGGCAGCCUAUUGUUGGUUCGGGGAUCUUAUUUAAAAAAUUCAAAAAAAAAUUUCUUUACUUUUUAUUUAGAGUAGGUGUUUCACAUAUGCCUCGAAAAGAACACUACAAAAAGAUUUUCCUUAAUAGUCGUAGGUUUCAUUUUUGGUUGAUCUUGUUUCAAAAAAUUCAAAAAAAAAGAGAUUUUCUUUACUUUUCAUUUAGAGUAGGUAUUUCAUAUACAUCUUUAAAAGAAAACUACAAAAAAGAUUUUUUCCUUUAAUAGUUUCAAAUUUUAUUUUUGUCUGAAUUUCAAAAUUAAAAACCCAAAAAGAUUUCUUUGGUAAUCAUAGAUUUCACUUUGUAUAGGGGUGUUUAAACCUGAAAAAUACAAAAAGAUUUUCGUCAAUUCUUUUGACAAAUUGUUAUUUUCUUUUCUUCUUAAAGUUUCAAGAAAAAGAAAAGAGUUAAUUUGGCCAUUUUGGCAAGACUUCACGAACUACGCACACCUGAUUCUCCUCUCUCGAGGGUGAGAUACAUAGGCGCCCUUCUCGGGUCCGGUGACUUUGUCAAUAAAAGAAAAAAAGAAGAAAAAGUUUUUGAAAAAAUGUUGAAUUCUAACACAUUGGUUAUCUCUUGUUCAGUUAGUUUAAGGUGGUUGGUUUGUGGCAUUUUGGCUGGUCCUCCGUAUUGCACCAAGUCAUCGAGAAGGUUAUGGCCAACAAGGAUACCAAAUUUAUUUUCACUAAUCAUAUAGGGAGUUCGGGAAAUGGGAAUUUAGGAAUUUAGGAAAUGAUAGAAGUGCAUCGAGCUUGGGCUAAUGGGUUGCCCCCUCCUCCAGUUCCCACUGAUAAUCUGGAAUAUCUUUUUAGCUUGCCUCCAGUGUCACAUACACAGUUUCCUAUUUUUGUUGACACACCACAACAUGCAUCAGGACCUGCUCUGGGGUAACACUAUCCAAAUACUUUUAAUAUUUAUUUCCUCACUCCUCAACAUAAAGAUACAACAUGCUCGGCUCCACCCACUAUUCAUGUUUUUGCAACACCAGCCCUACCCGAAGCUCCUACUUUUGAGGUUUAUCCACAGUUGUGCCUCUCCACUCUGUGAGAUAGCCUGUAUUGAAUAUUUUUGCUGAUCAACAUCAUGCUAUUAAGCCCACAUUUAAGUCGACUAAUCCUUAUGGCUAUACUCACCCGCCUGAAUGUCCUCUUAACACUGAGAAGCCUGUUAUAACAUAAGAACAAGAGGAAAUGACCAAAAAAUUGAGAAGUUUGGAAUUGGCUAUGAAAGAACUCCGGGGACUUGGGGGGUACAAAAGUGUCUCAUAUAAAGAUCCGUGUAUGUUUCCAGGGGUUUAUCUUCCUUUUGGUUUUAAAAUGCCAAAGUUUUAGAAGUAUGAUGGACAAGGCGAUCCUGUAGCACAUUUAAGACGUUAUUGCGACCAACUAAGGGGUGCUGGGGGGAAGGAAGAAUUACUACUGGCAUAUUUCAGUGAAAGUCUUUCAGGCCUAGCUUCGGAAUGGUUUGUUGACCAAGACAUCGACAAGUGGAUUAGUUGGGAUGACCUAGCUAAUGAAUUUGUGCAACAAUUCCAAUACAAUGUGGAGUUAAUUCCUAAUGAGAAAUAUCUAACUAACUUGAAGAAAAAGAGUACUAAGAUUUUCAGAGAGUAUGCGAUUAGAUAACGUGAACAGUUGCUAGGGUGAAACUGUCAAUGAAAGAAAGUAAGAUAGUGGAGGCAUUUAUUCAAGCGCAGGAUGAAACAUAUUAUCAACACUUGUUACCUGCAUUAGGAAAGACAUUUAUUGAGGUCCUCAAAAUGGGGGAGAUGAUAGAGGAUGGAAUUAAUACUGGUUGUAUUGUGAGUUUUGCAACAUUAAAAGCGACUACUUAAACAAUUCAAAAAGGUUCAGGAAGUAUGGUAGGAAUGAAGAAUGAGGAAGAUGCAUCUGCCAUUUUAGUUGGACAACAAGCACGGGCAAGAGGACCACACCAUUGUUACCUAUAGGCUCAAACCCAAGUUUAUACCCAAGCGCUACAGAAUCUUUCCCGAAAUCCAUUAUACUUUAUUCCCCCACCUCAAUAUCCAAUAUACAAUGCACAACCUUAUGGUCAAUUCCCUUCUUACCCACAAUGGCGUGUACCAACUCUUCAGAGUCAUCCUCAAACUCCACAAACAUACCAAAGCCUUUCUAGGCCAGAUUUUCGGUCCAAGCCAAAUAAUGAAAUAAGGAAGAAGUCGAGGGAUAGCUUCACACCAAUUGGAGAGUCGUAUGCAAGUUUAUUCCAGAGAUUGGUACAGCAGGUCAUGAUCACUCCCCUCCUUCAAGAAGUUUUGAUCCUAAUGUAUGAUGUGCAUAUUAUUCUUAUGUUCAGGGUCACAGUAUUGAAGAUUGUCGUGCUUUGAAAAAAGACAUUAAAAAGAUGAUUCAAGAAAAAUCAAUCAUGGUGCAGAACAUUGACAGUGAGGAAAGCUAUAGUCAUGUUGAUAUGCAAACCAGUGGCUAAGAUGCCAGACUGAGCAUUUGAGAAGUCACCCCUCUCCCUACUAGGAAGAGGUCUGGUAGCUUGUUUUAUUUUAUUUUCUGUUGUCCGAAUUAUUUCAGGGUUGUAGUUCGGGAUCUAUCUUGUUUUGCCCUUUUGUCGUUUAUGUUCAAACCCUUCUAUCUUUUGUUUCAACUAAAUGUAGUGUCCCAUUUUUCUUUGUGUUUUAAAUAUGUGUUGUUUGUUUGUUUUCUUUACAUAGUACAUUUUAUGUUGACUCUAGUGAUAUGACAUGCUAGUGAAAUUUUCAGUUAGAUCUUAAAAUUCAGUUUAAGCAUGAACAUUGAAUCAAAGGGUUAAAGUUAGAAAAAGAGAGCAUCUGAGAAAAUAGGUAGAGUGCUGAGACAUUUGGUGACAAGUUCAAGCCUUCUUUGAAAAUUAAGGCAAUUAUUUUGAGAAUAACAAGAAUAAAUUAGUCAUCAAUUGAAAAACAUAGCUCAAUUAGGUCAAAUAGCGGAUGUGUGAUCCCGAAGAACAGAAAAAUUAGCUCCACAAAAGCAUGGGUCAGUCGAUGUGAGGGAUCUAUAACACAGGUGGAGUUGUAUGUUUGACAAGCCCAGAAGAAGUAGUGGCACACAUGCUUAGUUAAAGUUAGUAUUGUGAAAGUUUCACAAAUGAUCUUUAUCUUUCACUUUCAUAUUGCAUGAUGUGUACUAACAUUUUCAAGGAUUAAUAUGACGAAGGCAUUUUAUUCUGCUAUCCAUACAUUGUGUCAUCCUUUGUAUACCCCAUUUGAGCCUUAGUAUCAUUUUCUUUCAUAUCCCUCUUUUGGAAUCAAUAUAGAGUAAAAAAAAGUGUCAAGUAAAAGACUAGAGUCAGAAAAGUUUUCAAAAAAGAAGAAGAGAGAAAAAUGUGUCCAAAAAGAAAAAAAAAGAGAAGAGUGUCAAGACAAAUAGAGUCAGAAAAAUCCAAAAAGAAAAGAGUGUCAAUAAAAGAAAAAGAAUCAAAAGUCUAAAUCAUGCAAAACAAGUUGCCAGAACUACGUAUGAUAUGAUUCUCCUCUUUCGAGGGUGAGAUACGUGGGCUGCCCUACUUAGGGCUCGGUCCAAUCAAAUAAACAAUUUAGAGUCUCCCAAUCAAAAGAAACUGGGGCAUGAGUUAAUCCUCAUUGUUUGAGUCGAUUUCAAAAGUUGUAAGUCCUACCCCACUUUAAGUGUCAUUUGAGCCUCAUGUCAUCCUUUCUUUCUAACCCUAUCCAAAAGCCAAGUUACAACCAAAGAAGACCUUCAGAUCAAUCUUUGAGAAUGUUAAGGCUACGCAUGCAAUGCAUAUGAUGACACAUUUUGGGAACUUCUUGUCUUCCUCAGCAUAAGAAAUCAAGAGAGAAAUAAAAAUGAGAGUCUUAUUGGUGAAAACUCUCAUGGGCACCAUAAGGCGAUGGUAAGUUGAGAUAAAAAAGGUGAGAGAAAAACUGAGCGAGACAGAGAGAAGAGAAUUGAAAAGAAGGAAAUAAAAAAAGGGGAAAAUCUAUCGGAGUUUGACUGGAAAACCCACUUUUACCAUGAAACCGAUUAGAAUUCUACGAUAUUUGGGACUUCCAAGCUCCGAAAAAACCAAAAUUGUGAUUCUAGUUCAAGAACCAACCCCCCAUUCCGUUUCCACGGCGAGACUCGGUGGAAAAUAAUGAAAAAUGGGUACGGACCUUCCCCCUUCAUGAUUCUGGUACUUUUUUGGUAAAAACAGUGAAAUAUCGAGGUUGGGUUGAUUUGGACUGAGGUUGGUUCAAAGUUUCAGCGCAGACUUCAUUUCGUUUGAUUGAAUAAAAGCGACAUUUUGAGGUCCAAUUCUACUCCUUCCCUAUUUUUAUUUCAUUGUUUAUCAUAUUCGAUGUGUUGGGUUGAAUACUGUGUGUCGUUUGAUCUUGGUUGGUGAAUAUUUGCUUGUUUUGAUUCGUUGUGGGUCCUCUCAAUCAUGAAUUGUGUGAUGAAAUAAUAUCUCAUUCGAGAAGUGGAAUCAGUUAUUUGUGGGUUGGAAAUUAAAAUUGAUAAAAAGCUAAUGUUAAUUUACUUUGAUUCAUUGACGUCAUUGAUCAUGAUAAUGCCUCGAUAGGUCGAGUUGGGUAGACAAAUAUUUUGGAAUAAGUGCUUGCUCGUUAAAUUAUUGAAUGCUUGAAAUGCAUGUUGAAUGGUUUGGUUUAUUGACUUUGGAUCGAAUGUAUCAUUUAGCCGGGGAAUGCCCCGAGACACAUUGUAUUUAUUCACCGGGGAAUGCCCCGAUGUACUAUGUUGGCGGAAGAUGUUCGUGAGGAAGGUCCAAGGCGUUGGGUAAAGCCUGGGAGCGUAGUUAGGAUUAGUAUAGGUUAGAUAGGAUUUAUUUUCACAUUUUUUUUAUUUUUGGGACUGUAUAAUUGGACUGAACACUAUACUUUUAUUCGUUUUAUUUGGUUUGUUUGUUUGAUUGCUUUACGUGCUUCUUUGUGGUUUAUACAUUCAUAGUAUUCAAAUUAGCCGAUAUACUCCACCAAGCGACCGUGGUCAAACCACGAGAUUGAGGGGUGCCUAACACCUUCCCCUCGGUCAACAGAAUUCCUUAGACAGAAUCUCUGUUCGCGGAUUAGUUUUAUAGAGUCAAAACCGUUUUGAAAAAGGAUAUCCACAGGUGACUUGGCAUACCUGAUUUAUGCCAAGUGGCGACUCUGAGUUUAAAUGUAAAUAAUCCUUUUCGAAAUAAAAUUUUCAUUUUUUGUCACUUUAAUAAUGAAAAAUCUUUCGAACUAAUAAAAUUAAUAUUUUUGGAGUUAAAAAAAGGGGGUGUGACACUUAUGCAUAUGUUUUAAUAUACAUAACAUAUUUCCCUUACCAAAACUGAUAAUAUAAACAAUUAAAAUAAUAGACAUAACAACUUAUAUGUAUAUUAAACCAAGCACCUCAGAAAUAUUAAUAACAAAGAAAAUGGUUACCAGUUUUGUUGUAUGUAUCCGAUGGCUUUUCAGAAAAUAAAAAGAAAAUUUGUAAAUUGAAAUUCAUUACCUCACAUAAAUAUACAUAACUUCAACAUACUAACAGACAGAUAUUGCAAAGGUCACACUGAUAAUUUGUAUUUCGAUUUUAGUUUUAGCACAAAAAAAUACACAUGUUCAUGCAACUAUAUGUAACAUUUUAAUUAAAAACAAAUAAUAUAAAACAUUCAAUGAUUUCAUAUAUCAUACUGCUUAGUAUAAAAAAGAUACGAUUUUACCUUUUUUUGUCUGAUCGUUUUGCUCUAACAUUGAAUCCAUUAGUCACCUUAUAUUUCGACAUCACUGAAAUAAGCGUAUUUUUAUCCUUAUACAUCUGUUUCACCUUUACAUCAAUGCUCUUGCUAUCACAUAUCAAGUUAUCUUCAACCUUUGGUACAUACAAAGCAUACUCAUUUUGUGUCUCAGCAACAGAUAAAGCCAAAGCAUCAGAUUCAAUACCUUACAGGCAAACCACAACUCCUGUUUCCCUAUCGAACAAUAUGUCAUCUUCACAUUUUUGUGUUGUUGAAAUACAUAAUGGAUACAUCAUAAACGUCGGUUGAUUUUUUUUCAACUCGACAUACAAUCUGUAAUACCCCACAAAAUCGCGUGUCAAAUUCAGCUCGUAAAGAUCCAUGAAAGAUCUCAAGACUUAGAAAAUUUUGCUAAAUAUUCAAGAUUCAACACUUAGUCUUAUUUUAGACCUCCAAACUUUGGUCAUCUUCCAUCCCUAUAUAUACCCCAAACACGGGAUUAAGGCUUAUUUGCAGCAAAAUAUACUCCUCUUCUCAAAAUCCUCUCAAGAACUCAAGCUAGGGUUUCAAUUUGAAGGCCCAAAUCAAAUCAAUUGAAGAACAUAACUCCUCAUUUAUCUUCAACAUCAAAAGAAGGGUUUCUCUCAAGAUCAUAACCUAUAACAAGAAUCAAAUCCUUCUUCAAGAAUAUAUGAUAUUCAAGUUUUUCAAACUCAAGAGCCAAUUUAUUUUCUCUCAAAGGAACAAGAACCCUAGUCAAGGAAUCAAGAACAUGUCUAAACAUUUCUUCAAGAAUCUUCCACCUAAAGUAUGCUUAGUGUUCAUCCACGGAUUCCUUUCAUCCGUAGGAGUCCAAGAACAAUGCUUGAAAUACUAUAUUGUGAUUAUCUUGUUGAGAUAUGAUCAUGUACAUGUUGAUGGUUGUUGUUUAUGCUUCAAGAUGUUAAUUUAGGGUGAUUCUCAUGAAGUAUGUGUGUUUGUAGUUAAAACUCAUGAAAUUGAGUGGUUUAAGAUGACUAAAUUAUUAAGAACACCUAUGCCAUAAAGUGUGCAUGCAAGGUGUUCGACAAAAUGCCUAGAAUAGGCAUAAUCAUGUUUUUCAUGAUUUAAGAGUGCUCAAUUAACAAGUUCUUACUCCAUGUUUUAUCAUUUCACGUGACUUCCAUGUUGUGUGAAUAAAGUUCAAAUCUUUACAUGUUGUUGAUGAUACCAUGAUAUUUGGUGGAUUCAAUUGGUGGAAUUGAGUUGAAUUAUGGUGUUAUGGUGUAUAAAAUUGAUCAUUAGGCCUAUGCCCUAAAUAGUGCAUGUAAGGUGUUUGUUAAAUGCCUAAGUGAAGAAGAAUUGAGCACUUAGACCUAUUUGUGAUCUAAAUGAUGAUUCCAUACCAUAUCCAUGUGCUUAAGUUGACUCCCAUGCUAAAGCUAUGCCUACCAUGUGUUUGGUAAUGUGCCUCAACGAAUAAAUGAUGAUCAAGUACCUAGUCUUCAUGCUCCAAGAUUUUGCCAUGUCUCUUAAGUUAUGCCAUGUCUACUUGAUCAAGAUGAUUUCUAUGCUAUUAAUGUGCUACGAAUAUGUUGUUGUCUUGUCAUGAUAUUAGAAUUGACCAUGAUGUUAGCUAUAUGAAAAGGUUAUGAAAACCACAUGAUUUAUGAACUCCCCGUAGAUGCUAUAUUAUGGAUUGUUAAUGUUGGUCAAGUACUCUUGUAUGUCAAGUCAUGUCAGUUUCCUUCCAUCGAGUCCGGGAGGUAUUCGUACCCGAAAACUAUAGCCGUGUUCCUAGAGCCAUGUCAUGUUAUCACCAUGAUUUCAGUCGAGCCACAAUCUAUAGAACUCAGUCAGUCAUGUGACUCAGGAAACCUCAGAACUCUCAUGAUCUCAUUCAGUCAUCAGAUAUCAGUAGUAUUUCGUCAGUCAACGGAAUCUAGUAAAAUCAGUCCAUGUAUGGUUCAGUUUAUUAUGUUCAGUGUCUGUUCAAAUGAGAGUAGUAAUUAGCACCGAGUGAACCCAAGGAUGGGAACUUACCUGCCAGUAGAGGGUCAGAUUCUUAGAAGCAAUCCUUGCAUUCCAGAACUACGUAGCCAGCGUAGGUUGAGACAUCAAUACCUUUCAGUUGAGGGUAGAUGAGGUGGCUUAACCCGUCAGAUGAGGGUUCCCACCGUUCUCAUUAGAGUACCUACCAGAUGAGGGUCACUUACAAUUUGUCCUUACCAGUGGCGCGGUAUUGAACCCUUCCAGUCAGGGUACAGAUUGGACCCCAGCUCAGCUAUAAUAGCAAUAUAUGGGGCAUAUCGAUUAGAUAACUACUUCCUAUAGUUUUAUUCACAGUCUCAGUAAAAUAACUCAGUUAGUUCUUCAGAUUUCAGAUUAUCAAGACUGUCAGAUAAGUCAACUCAGAUACAGUAACGGGACUCAGAUAGUUCCAUCAAAUUCAGGGCUGUCAAACAUAGUCAAUCACGUCUAUCAGAUAUAUCAGUUAUAACAGUUAUCAGAAACCAAUUAUCAGUCAUGUCAGAUAUCAGUAACUUAUGUUAUCAGUAUUCAGUUUUAGGAUUGUCAGAUACAGUCAAUCAGACCAGUUUUUCAUAACUCAAACUGUCAGAAAUAAUCAUUCACUUAUCAGUAGUAUCAAUAUCAGUAAAAUUAGUCAUUCAGUAUCUCAGCAUCAGUAAACUCAUGUUGUCAGUAUUCAGACUCAGUAGUCAGUAUCACCAUGAGUUUAGUUGUAGUUACGUAUGUAUGUAUGUAUGUAUGUAUGUAUGUAUGUAUGUAUGUAUUCUCACGUUCAUAUCAGUUAGCAUUGCUCAUGUAUAUAAAACCCUUUGCAUUUAGCCUACCUCACUUGUAUACUCAUUACAUUCAGCCAUACUGACGCAUUCGCACUAUGGUGUUUUUUUUGAUGCCAUAGGUACAGAGGCAUGAGUUUCAAAGCAGCAAUAGCAUUGCAGAUUUCAGCAGUCAGUGCUCCUCAUCAUUCGAGGACAAUAUUAUUAUUACUUUAUUACAGUAUUUCAGAUUAGUUUUUCAGUUCAUGGAGUUAGUUGGAGACAUGUUCCUUCAACUCCUUAUUCAGUUCAGUUAGAGGCUUUUAGACUAGAUGUCAGAUUAGAUGUUCAGACUUUAAUAUUUAUGUUUCGUUUUGGUAUUCUUAUACCAUAUUUUUUAGAUAUGUAUCAGUAUUGAACCUUAUGGCCUUACAGUUCAUGUUUCUACAUAUUUUAUGAGAUAUUAUGCAGUUUACAGAUAUAGAUAUCAGUCAUGGAUUAGCUUGUGGUCCUUUGGGGUCAUGAGUACCAUGUAGCAUUUCAGUUCAAAAAAUCGGGGCGUCACACAAUCGUACGUUAUUAUUGUUACGGAUAUGAAAAGGUGAAUCAUUCCCAUCGACAACAUACGUACAUCAAUAUUUUUUUGAGUUUCGUCAAUGUUUAGUUCAUCAGCAAUCAACGAAAUCAACCUCAAAUAAUUUACUGAUUCAGCAACAACAAUCCCUUCACUUUUAUAAUCCACAUAUCAUGUUUGAGAUCUCCAGUUACCCGAGUACCUUAAAAGAAUAGUAAUAUUCAUCUUCAAUAAUUGGAAAUAAUUUGCUUUCUUUAGUAAACAACAAAAAACAGAGAUGAAAUUUGAUUUUUGAUUUAUGAUUUUGCUUCAGAUUUGUGUUUUUAGGUAUUUGUGAUGUUUAAAAUUUGAAAUUCCAUUUUUGAAACAUGAUUUAUGGGAUGCAGUAAUCCACGUAUUAAAUUAGUUGCGCCAUUUACGUUAAUGAAUGCUGAAUAUCCGUUACUCCAUGUUUUCUAGGAGUCUAACAGAUUACAAUAUACAUUACUUGUUAUGUAUAUGCCUUUUAAAGAAUGAAUAUUAUACGGGAGAGUGCAAGUAACUGGGCAUUAGAUUAAAUAGAUUUUUUUUUUUUUUUAUGUUUAUGGAACUUACUAGUUACUAACUUUCUAUCAAUACAUAUAUUUAUUUAACUAAGUUCAUUAUAGGGUAAACACUUCAUGACUUUAUUAAAUUAAAACAGUAAUUCAUUUUUAUUUUAGCUCUAAUUAAUUUUACUCCUCGUCAAUGUAUAUAUCUAUGCUCCUUUGCAAUUAGACCCUGAUGUGGGAAUAUUAUGCAGUCGUAUUAAUAUUUUGUCUUAACAUUGAUGCCUUAUUUUGAGGUUAAUUUAACUUAUACUUACAAUUUAUGCUUUAUUUCAUGAUUUAUCACUUAUAUGAGGUGUUUGUGUGAUUUAGGUGAAAGGAAGCAUAAAUAGUUGAAUUUCGGGUAGAUGCCUAAUUAUAAAAAAAGCACCUAUACUAUAAAGCAUCCUCAAGAAGAUUGAAUCCUCAAGCAUGCAAUCUCAUCAACAUUGAAUAUAAACAAAUGUUUUAAUCUCAAUUAUAUUCUCACAAAAGUUUUACACAUAAUCUCAAUAUCACAAAAUAAUCUGAAUUUAAAGGAGCUAUUCUUUACUAUUUAUAGCCUAAUCUAAUUAUUACAAAAAUGUCCUUAAUGAAAUAAAAAUCUCCUUAAGCAUGCAACUUGUAUUAGAAGAGUAGCUUCUUUGCGCACAUAAACAUUUUCUUCAUACUUUUAUUUUCUUUCAAUUGGAGCCUUGUACUUUCACUUUAGCUUGCUUGUGAUUGUUAAGUCUUCCUUCCAAAUUCCUAACACAAUGACUUGAUGUGAUGUUCUUGAGCUCCUCAGCUUUUCUUGAAUGCAUCAAGAGGCGAGAGCUGAAAACGAUACAUUAAUUGUGAAUAGGGUGAAGAAUCUGAAUUACCAGCUAAUUAUAGAGGACAUGAGCAUCAAAGAUAUGGAAAAAGAACAUGUAGUACCUUACCACCCUGCUAAAUCAUUAAUGAAGUUUAGGACAAUGUCCAAAGAAUGAAUCAUUGGAUAGUUAGUCCAUUAUUAACAUACCAGUAAAAUAUUUCAUUUCAGAAACUUUCAAGGUACUUUUAUUAAAGAGGGAACGUGAAUUUUCAAUUCUUUUGUCUCGUGGAUGUAAGACAACUAAAUCUUCAGAGAAGAUUCAUACCCUACACAAAUAGCCUUGUUAUAUUACAUGAGCUGAAGGACUAGUAUGAUUGAUGGUAUUGUCGAUUGAUAUCAAGUAAAAAUACUUUUUUGUGUUCUCUAUUGAAACAUAUGUUCUUUCCUUAAUUUUAUUGUUGUUGCUUUGUUUAAUGUGGAAUUGAACAUCUUUCAUGUUUUUUUAUUUGUUUGACUUGGAUGACAGAAUAAAGAGCCUUUAGAAUUAUAACUCUUGAAGAAAUAAUUAAGGCAUUCAUGAAGUAUGUUUAUUCAUAGAAUCCUUUUUUGUUCUCUUCCUUUUUUAAAAAAUCAACACUAAAUUAUUCGAAGUAUUUACUCUGUCAUCCAAAUCAGGCAAACAAAAGUUUAUGAAAGAUGUGCAAUUUACAUUAAAAAAAACAUUAAAAAAAAAAUAACAACAACAAAACUAAGAAGAGAGUAUAUACUUUAACAAAAAUACACAAGAAAGAUUUACGAGUUGAAAACUACCAAAAAUAACAUCAACAACACUAAUUCUUCGGCUCAUGCAACAUGACAAGACUAUUUAUGCAGGUAUAAAUCUUCUCUGAAAAUUUAGUUGUUCAGGAUCAUGAAACAAAACUUUAGAAUUAGAUUGAAAAUUCACAUUUUCUCAUUAUUGAAAUAGCUUUAAAGUUUUUUGAACGAGGUUGUUUAUUAUUAUGAUAAUAAUGGAGUAACAAUUCAGUAGAUUUAUUCUUUUGACACUGCACAAAACUUUAUUAAUGACUUAGCGAGGAGAAAAGACACUACAUAUUUCUUCGCCACAUAUUUGAUAUUCAUGUCCUAUAUAAUCACAUUUCAAAUUCUCCAUUUCAUUACAAUUACUAUAUUAUUAGAGGCCACUUAUUAGGUUUCUUACGUUAACUGUUGACCUACUUCCUGAUACAUCUAUAAUAAUGGAUAAAUCAUUUCCAUUUAUUUAACUACCAUAUAAUAAUUAUAUCACUAGGUAUAUUUUUUUUUUAAAGAUAAUACUACAUUAAUUAACAAGAGCUCAAAUCAUAGUAUGUAAUUAAAAACUUUAAUAUACUUACCUCAUUGUCACCGACACUUGUCAACCCAUGAGUUUUUGAUGAAUCACCUUCAACAAAAUUUUUAGUGAAUCUAACAAUUAUCAAAUGAAUACUACUUUCCUCUUUCAAAUUAUUUUACUUGACUCAAAAAUUAAUUAAUAUUCAAUGUAAAAUUUUAUUAUAGAAUCUCUAAUUGUAUAUCUUAAAUUUAAUAGCUAAAUAUUCAUUCAAAUUCAAAAUGUAAAACUGUAUAUGUUAUUUCUAGGAUCUAAGAAUCGGGUAAAAAGAUUAAGUGAAAAUUACUCUUUUAUAUUUUUAAGAUUUACUUUUUACCUAGUGAUCAUCAAUCAACAAAUCGUUCAGUCAAGAAAUUUGAAACCCUUAUAACCAUAUAAUCUCACAUGAUUGAUCAAAUCGUAUGAGACAUAUGAUUUAUAAGAAAUUAAAGAAAAGACUUUAACUAGUUGGCAAGAUGUAAAUAAAUAAAAAAAUUCAAAUACAAUACUACAAAAUGAAAUCACAACAAUAAUUCCACAAUUUAUAAGAAAAUCUAUAUCUAAAAAUGAAUCUUACAUUUUUAAUUUUCUAUUUUUAUUUUUGUCCGAAACUUAUAUUGAUUUAAGGACAAGAUAGAGAAUUUUACCUUGAAUAAUGAUGAUGGCACCCACCGAGAAAUUCAUUUUCAAAUGAAUUUUGUUACCUGCUAAAGAAUUAGAAAAGAUUUAAUCAAACUCAAUGACAUUAAGCGAUGAGAAUAAUAUAAGCAAACACACACACAAAAUAAAGGAAUAUAUAUAAAUUUAAAUGCUGCAUACCUUUCACAGAAGAACUAUGUUGAAUAGAGAAGAAUGAAAAUGAAUUACAUCUUCACAGGUUUUAUAGAGAAAACUAUAUAUCUAGAAAAGAUUACAAUAAUUUCUAUUUAAUUCACUUAUGAUUUUAAAGGCAUAGUCAUUAAUUUUAGUUUGACUCACUUUUAAUUCUAACUGAUACUAAUAAACUAUAAUAAAGGCACAGUCAUUAAUUUUUAUUUGACUCACUUAUAGUUCUACUGAUUGAUACUCCGUUACUAAAUACUUGUCACUAUUUUGGUUUGCAUUUUCUUAAGAAAAAAAUUAAUUACAGGCUAAAUUAAUUAAAUUUCUGUUAUUUAUUAAUUUUUUCUAUUUAAUACUUUUUUUUGAACUAUAUUAAACAUCUCUUCAUAUUUAUGGCUAAUGGUAAAUGUGCAAAAAAUAAAUAAUUAUGUCUUAAUUUUUAAAAUGACAAGUAUUAUGAAAUAUAUAUUUUUAAUAAGAACGAUAAAUAGUUAGGAAUGAGGUAAUAAUGUACACUAAAGCCAUAAUGAUUAAUAAAUAUGUUAAAUUUGGAAAACAUAAGAGAAUCGCGUAUGAACAACCAAAAACUUUGUAUGAUUGAUAUCGUAAAUUAAUUAUAAUCAUACUUGAUAUGACUAAAUACUUACAUAUUAUAGUGUGAAAUUGCUAAGACAACACUUGAUUAAUAAAGCAUUUUAUUUGGAUAUCUAUGAUGUAAGAAAUAUAUGUAAUUAUUAUAAUUUAAAGUUUGACAGAAAAAUUAAAACUUGACCAAGUUUCUUUUUAAAUAUUUAUUUAAAAUUUAUAUUUAAUUAAUGGUGUCACAAUUUAUGGACAAAUUUAAACUAUAUUUUGUUUUAAAAUGUCAAAUAUGACUUAAAACUUAAUGUAAGGAAUAUAUGAAAGUUAAAAAUGUGGUCUGGGAGGGGUAAUUCACAACUUUUUAGGUGAUUGGAUCGCGAGUUUUUCUACCACGGGCAAUAGCCAUUGCCAUAUACUGGAUGAAUUUGAAGCUUUAAAAAUUGGUCUUGACUUAGCCAUCACACACAAUAUUUUGCCUAUUAUUAUUGAAACUGACUCGGUGGAGGUAAUCCAACUGUUACAGCAUCCUACCAUGCCAUUUAGUGAUAUUUUAUCUCAAUGUAGGUCAAUGUUGAAGAGCAUGGUGAAUCCAGUGGUACAACAUAACUUUCGGGAGGCUAACAAAGUAGCAGAUAGUUUGUCCCGUGCAAGUUUCUCCUUAUCCCAGUUUGGUGAAGUAAUUUUCUCCAGUCUCCUCUGUCUUCAGUCGUUGUACAUCUGCAAAAUGAUGUUGAUGGUGUUGUUAGUGAUCAUUUUGUGUCCUGGUCACUGUUUAAUAACCUCUUAUAACUAGAAAAUCAAUCUAUUUUAUCUCAUGUAAAUAGCAACACUAAGCCUAUUACUACUACAACUACUGUAUGUAAUUCAACCAAUUUAGGGGCCUCUCAUAGAAGAGUGAUCCCCCUGUUUUGUAAUGUCUCCCCCCCNNNNNNNNNNNNNNNNNNNNNNNNNNNNNNNNNNNNNNNNNNNNNNNNNNNNNNNNNUAUAUAUAUAUAUAUAAUAUCCAGUUUACCCAAAAAAUGAAAUUAAAACUACGUCAUUAUUAAAGUGUAAAACAUUUCAUGAUUUUAUCAAAUUGUACUACAUUCAUUAUAUCUUUUGCAAAUAUUAAUUAGGCCUUUUUAUAUAUAACUUAUCUCGGUGACGGCCUUAGUCUAUAAAAUCACAUCAUAUUAUACAAGUAACAAUCAUAUUAUACAAGUAACUGGGCAUUGGAUUAAUUAGAUUGUACUUUUAUUUAUGUGUAUGGAACUUACUAGUUACUAUAUCUAACUAUCUAUGUAACUAUAUGUUUAUUUAACUAAGGUGCGAUUUAAGUGAAAGGGAGCAUAAAUAGUUGAAUUUAGAGAAGGUGCCUUAUAUGAAAAAAUCUCUUAUAGUAUAAAAGACACCCUCAAGAAGAUUGAAUCUUCAAGCAAGCAAUUUCGGCAUUGAAUAUAAACAAAGGUCUUACCCUCAACUUUCACAAGAAUUUUACAAAUAAUCUCAAUAUCACAAAACAAUCUGAAUUUAAAGGAGUUAUUCUUUACUAUUUAUAGUCUAAUCUAAUUAGUAAUCAAAUGUCCUUAAUGAAAUAAGGGUCUUCUUAAGCAUGCAACUUGUAUUUGAAGAAUAGCUUCUUUUCACACUUAAAUAUUUUCUUCAUACUUUUAUUUUCUUUCAAUUGGAGCCUUGUACUUUCACUUUAGCUUGCUAGUGAUUGUCAAGUCUUCCUUCUAAAUUUCCAACACAAUGACUUGAUGUGAUGUUCUUGAGCUCCUUAGCUUUCCUUGACGUACGCAUGCUUCAAAAGGUGAGAGCUGAAAAUGAUAUAUUAAUUGUGAAUAUGGUGAAGAAUUUGAAUUACCAACUAAUUAUAGAGGACAUGAUCAACAUCAAAGAUAUGGAAAAAGAACAUGUAGUACAUUACCUCCAUGCUAAGUCAUUAAUGAAGUCUCGUACAAUGUCCAAAGAAUGAAUCAUUGGAUAGUUAGUCCAUUAUUAGCAUAUCAGCAAAAUACUUCAUUCCAGUGGCUUUCAAGGUACUUUUAUUAAACAGGGAACGUUAAUUUUCAAUUCGAUCCUAAUUUUUUGUCUCAUGGAUUUAAGACAAGUAAAUCCUCCGAAAAAAUUCAUACCCUACAUAAACAGCCUUGUUAUGUUACAUGAGCUGAAGGACUAGUAUGAUUGUUGAUAUUGUCAAUGAAUGUCAAGUAAAAAUACUUUUUUGUGUUCUCUAUUGAAACAUAUGCUCUCUCCUUAAUUCUAUUGUUGUUGAUUUGUUCAAUGUGGAAUUGAACAUCUUUCAUGUUUUUUUAUUUGUUUGACUUGGAUGAUAGAAUAAAGAGUCUUAGAAUUAUAACUCUUGAAGAAAUAAUUAAGGCAUUCAUGAAGUAGGUUUCUUCAUAGAAUCCUUUUUUGUUCUCUUCCUUUUUUUUUAAAUCAACACUAAGUUAUUCAAAGUAUUUACUCUAUCAUCCAAAUCAAGUAAACAAAAACUUGUAAAUAAUUCGUGCCCUACUGAUUAUCUUACUUUCGCCUAACUGUUGCUUAUCGAUGGAGCGGGUUGCCUGACAUAUUUCACUAAUGUGUUCCAAAAAAGCAGUAAAACAAAAAGUAAGAAUACAAUGAUUUUCAUGUGGAAAACAUCCGGCUCAAAAAGGUGUUAAAAACCAUGACCUGUACCUCUACAGGAUUUAACCCCAACUUUACUAAAUAACUCUAAGCCUCAACAACGACUGAUUACAAAACUCUUGUAACCAACAAAUAGGAAUUAUAAACUCUAAUCCCUAUAACUCAACAACUAGAAAUUAUAAACUCUAAUUCCUUUGAUUCAACAACUAGGAAUUAUAAACUCUAAUUCCUAACUACACACACACCACCCAAGGUAUGCUUUCCCAAAGUCUCUGAGUUUUCCCCAACUCAAAGACUAGCUCCUAAUUCAGUUUAUAACACACUGAAACUAAUAUUACAUCAAUAGUUCAAUCACAAUGAACAACUCUAAAAAUCAACGCUAAAACUCUUAGCUGAAUUCUAUACUUAGGACCAGGUUCUUCAAUGUGUUUCUUCAGUGAUUGAGUAGCACUUCGUGAAGUCAAUCUGUUGCUUGUGCUUUUCUGAUUUGUAAGUGCGUGAGUUAUUCUAAAUAAUACAUCUUCUAUUUAAGCAUAGCUUUCCAAAGAGUCAUUCUUUAUUUUAAACUCCUCCUUUAAUCAAAACUCUCAUUGUAUAGAAUUCUACUUCAAGUGAGACUCCUUCUUCAAUUCCAACUCUUGUCUUCUUAGUGUUGUAGUCAAACUCCAACUCUCCAAAGAGUCCUUUAAAUUAUACGUUUUGCAUAAACUUCUGCAAUUUUUAGAUUCUUUCUCCUUCUACACAUAGGACUUAAGAAUAUGCCCAGAAGUGAAACUCCUUCUUCACAUAGGACUCCUCUUUCAACUCAACUUGUUUUCCCUUAUCAUCAAGUGUUUGAAUCAAAUUCAACUUGUUCUAUUCCCCAUGUGAUCAGUAAGUUGAAGUUUUCAGUUGUAGUAAAAAAUCACGACCUGUACCUCUACUGGAUUUAACCUCAACUUCACUAAAUAACUCUGAGCCUCAACAAUGACUGAUUACAAAAUUCUUGUAACCAACAUAUAGGAAUUAUAAACUCUAAUCCACAUAACUCAACAACUAGGAAUUAUAAACUCUAAUUCCUUUGACUCAACAACUAGGAAUUAUAAACUCUAAUUCCUAACUACACACACACCUCCCAAGUUAUGCUUUCCCAAAGUCUCUGAGUUUUCCCCAACUCGAAGAAUAGCUCGUAAUUCAGUUUAUAACACACUGAAACUAAUAUUACAUCAAUAGUUCAAACACAAUGAACAACUCUAAAAAUCAAUGCUAAAAUUCUUAGCUGGAUUCUAUACUUAGGACCAGGUUCUUCAAUGUGUUUCUUCAGUGAUUGAGUUGUACUUCGUGAAUUCAAUCUGUCGAUUGUGCUUUUCUGCUUUGUAAGUGCAUGAGUUAUUCUGAAUAAUACAUCUUCUAUUUAAGCACAGCUUUCCAAAGAGUCAUUCUUUAUUUUAAACUCCUUUUAUCAAAACUCUCAUUGCAUAGAAUUCUACUUCAAGUGAGACUCCUUCUUCAAUUCCAACUCUUGUCUCCUUAGUGUUGUAGUCAAGCUUCAACUCUCUAAAGAGUCCUUCAAAUUAUACGUUUUGCAUAAACUUUUGCAAUUUUUAGAUUCUUUCUCCUUCUACACAUAGCACUCUUAAGAAUAUGCUCGGAAGUGAAAAUCCUUCUUCACAUAGGACUCCUCUUUUAACUCAACUUAUUUUUUCUUAUCAUCAAGUGUUUGAAUCAAAUUUAACUUGUUCUAUUCCCCACAUGAUCAGUAAGUUGAAGUUUCCAGUUGCACUGAUUUAACUCAUUCUGAUUUUUAAUUAUUUAUACCGUAGACUGCACUCCUGAACUUAUCAGAUCAGUGGAACAUGUAUAUCAACUUGUUUAAUUAAUAUUGUCAUUUAUAAAAACUCCAAGGUUCUAACAAAUUCCCUCUUUUUGAUGAUGAAAAACCUCUUGUCUUUGUGCAUUCAAACAUCUUCAUCUGUAGGCACUAAAUUAUAAGACACUAGAAUGAAACAAGUUAAUCAAUGGGUUAUAAACAUUGCACAACCCUAUCAUCCCCCUUUUGGCAUCAUCGAAAUCCAUUUCAAUGCAAUAAUAUACUAGCCAAAGUGAUUUGUUAUGUUAUUCAUGGACAUUGGGGCUAUCACCAGAACAAUCAGACAAAGACUUUAGCCAACAUAGUAAUGUAUUAAAGAGAGUAAAAAUAUGAGUCAAUUUAGCAAAGAUAACAAUUCCAUUUAACUAUCAGAGCAUGCUCCACAUUAAACCUAAGCUAGUACUAAACAAAGAAAAACAAUUAAGCAUUAAAAAAGUAUAAAAGUAGGACAUGGCUAAGGAUACGAAUAGUGAGAAGGUGAUGAGGAAGGUGAAACAGGUGUUAUCAACUAUGUCAAUUGACGAAUGACUUCAAUAUUUUCAUCCCUUUCUUAAUCAAGGUCAAGCUUCAAAGUCAUGAUCCUAGCCUGAAGGACCACUUAUUCCACUUCAUGACUGUCAGAUGUAGCUUCUAGUUCAGAAUUUAUCUCAGCUAAAUCAUUUUUCUUAUUUUUUUUUGCAAUGAGUUUUAGCCCUCCUUAUUGAGCAAGGUAGAGCAACAUGAUUCAUUUGUUCAAAAACAUCCAUUGUUGUUUGAAAAGUCAAACCUAAACUAGGACUGAGAAAUCCUAAAAGAUCUGAGCCAAUUAAGAACUAAAAUGAAGAGCAUGUCCCUUUUCAUUCUUUAGAAACAUAUGCUGCAUGUGAUUGAUAAUCAAGCUUGGCAAAUCCAUGGUACAAAACUGAUAUUUUUGUUGAGAAAGAAGAAGGAUUUUCUGGUGUAGGAUUAACACAUUUGUGCACACCCAUUUGGAGAGAAUCAAAGAAAGUUUGGUCAACCAAUUCAUUAUCUUUAUUAGACAAUGAGAGGAUGAAGUAUGUGGAAUUGAAAGGUAUGCUCAACUGUUUCAACUUAGACAACUUAUGCUUAUGUCAGUGUAGAACAUACCUGAUAAGAAGAACUUUAUGGUCACAAUUGCUUGCUUGUGCCUAUUUUUCUGCACAAUCUCAUAAAAAAUUAGGUUAGAAAAGUCAAAAAUCUGGAAUUGGGACACACAACUAAAUGUGCAAGACUGAAUAAAAUAACUUUUUAGCUAAUAAGAUUAAGAAGAAAAAUGAUUAUUCUAGUCAAUCAUUGAAGGGAGUUCAUGCAAUUUUAAUCAUCCCCAAGUCUAACCUAUUUCUUUCAAAAUGCUCUCUACUUAGUGCCUUUGGUGCUUCUCCAGUCAAUUAAGUAACCCGCAUAGUCAACAUUUUUAUAGCCCUCAAGAAUAAAAUUACUUUCUUUGAAUACCAUGGUCUCAAGCCAUUGAUUCCCAUGAGAUAUCUCAAGAUUCUUGUGACAACACCAAUUCUUAUGAAUUACCAAAAAAAUUAUCAUUAGCUUGUGUUGGUGUUAUUGAUGCAUCAAUUUCUUGAUUUUUUGUUCCCUCUGUCAAUAUGCCCUCUGUCUGUACAACAGUUGAACCAGGUGUUACAACAUGUUCCUGUGUAUGCUCAUCAAUUUCACAUUCAUCCUCUUUUUUUAUUUUUUUAAAUCUCCCUUGCUUCACCCUUACACGAGCACUACAAAUCUAGCCAUCUUUCAUAUGAUCCAUUCCCUCUUUAAAUAUUGUGAGUGAAAGAAACUUUAUUUUCUUAUAGUCUUAUGACUUGAGAAAGCUUUAUCCAUGUACAAAUUUUGCUUGCCUCAUUUCACUCUCACCUGCAUAACAAAUUAGGGGUUAACUUUAGGCACCCAGACAAGCUUGAGUUCUUUCUUAUAAGAAAAAGGAUGUAUGAGGUUCCUUCUAGCCCAUCGAGGCAACAGGUUAUGUGACCUAUUUCUCUGACCAGAUUUGACCUUCUUGUUAGCUUGUGCUAACAUGGAAUCAGAUUUUCUUGCUAGGGUUAUGCUUCUUGAUUUGCUUUUUGCUGCAACUGGACAUUUAGUGGUUGGAUGCCCCUGGUUACCACAAAUAUAACACAAAUCUUUAAUAGCAUUAGAACUUUUAUAAAAGCCCAACCCAGCCUUUUUAUUGUGAGUUCUUUGACCUAACUUAUGAAUAAUUCUUGAAGAAUGUGUCCAUCUAUUAGCUCUUUCAAGAUUAAGUUUCAAUUUAGAAACUUCUUGACUCAAUUGACUAACCUUUUCUUUUUCACAAAAGUAUUCAUGUUUAAUCUUAGUCAAUUCUGACUCAAUUUUUUCUUGUUCCUUACUUUUGACCCUUUUUCCCUUGAAAAGAUUCAGUUUGUAAAUUUCAAAUUUGAGGGGCAGGUUUGAUAAAUCAAGUCUGCCAACCUGUUUCUUAAGAGUGCAGUUUUCCUUUUCAACAGUGUCCUUACAAGUUUCUAGAUUAAUAAAAUCAUACUUGAAACUUGUAAGAUUGUUGAAUAACUCAUCCCUAUCAGAAGUUAAUUCUUGGAAACCAUCAAUUAGAGCACUCAUUAAGGAAAUACGUUUUGUUUUAGAAAACAAAUGCAACUUUUCUUUAAGUUCAAGUAUACUUACCUCAGAAGUAUCAUCUUCUUCCUCCAAGUCUGAAUCUCCAAGAGCCAUGAGUGCUGUUUUAUCAACUUUAUCAUCAUCUGAGUUAGAUCCCCAUGCUGCUACCAUUGGAUGUUCUUCCAUCUUUUUGGUUUUUUUCUUUCAAUUCCUUUUCAUCCCUUUUCUUUCUCCAUUCUAUUUCCCAGACAGGACAAUCCCUGAUUUGAUGAUCAGUCUUACCACACUUGUAGCAUCCAUUUGGAUUGUCAUUGGAUCAUUUCUUGCUAUUUGUUCCCUUUUUCUUUUUGAAGAAUUUGCUGAAGUUCUUAGCUAUAAAGGCAACUUGUUUUUCAUCAAGUUCAAUUUCUUCAUCACUCUCAGAUGCCUUCAGAGAUAAGGUAUCCUCAAAGGCUGCUAGCUCUUUAGUUCCAUCAAUUUCCAUUUCAUAAUGUCACACCCCUUUUUUUCAACUGCAAAAGAUUUGAUUUUAAGUUUUGAAAGGAUUUUGUUAUUAAAGUGACAAAAGAUGAAAAUUGUUUUAAAAAGGAUUUAUUAGUUUCAAAACACAGAGUUUCCACUUGUCAUAAAUUGGGUGUGCCAAGUCACCCGUGGAUAUCCUUUUUCAAAACGGUUUUGACUCUAUAAAAUUGAUCCGCGAACAGAGAUUUCGACUAAGGAAUUCUGUUGACUGAGGGGAAGGUGUUAGGCACCCCUCGAUCCCGUGGUUCGACCACGGUUGCUUGGUGGAGUAUAUCAGCUAAUUUGAACACUAUGAAUGUAUAAACCACACCAAACACAAAUAAAACAACCAAUCAAACAAACAAAUCCAAAACAAUGUCCAGUCUAAUUAUUACAACCCAAAAUAAAGAAAAGGUACGUGAAAAGUAAACCUAUGCUAACCUACACUAAUCCUAAACUACGCUCCAAUGCUUGAUCCACUGUCUCGAGCCUUCAUCACUAACAUCCUCCGAGUACAAAAUACACGGGACAUUCCCUGUCCAAUAAACACAAGUACCUCAGGGCAUUCUCCGAUCGAGUAGUACAUUUUAAUCUAAACGCGAUAAACUAGCAAACAUUCAACCAAGAUUCCAUUUUCAAACAUUCAAGGAAAACAAUUAUUCAUAAGAAUUUUGCCUACCCGAACUUAUAUUCGUCUAUUCGUUUCAAUGUAGCAUGAUAAUAUCACGUUUCAUAUCAACAGUAAAUCAAAAUUAAAUCGAAUCUAUCCUUUUUGUCAGUUUUUAAUUCUCACCCCCUAAAUCCCAUUUUACACAAAAUUUCAACAAUCCAAAAUCACUAUUUCAACAAUCUACAACCAUUUCUUCAACGCAAUGAAGCAGAACAAAUCAAUAUCACUCAAUAUUCAAUCGUAUCUCACACCAAUCAAACAUAUAUGACAAGAUGAAGAAAAGAUAUCGUUGGACCUUUCGAUGAUGAACUUUUGUUGAUAGUAAUAUUUAAGAAAACUCGGAUUUGGAACCCCAAAUAGGAUAACCUCAACCGUGACGAAUCCCAGACUUGGUAUUUGAGAAAUUAAAACCCAAACUACUCACAAUAACCCAAUUGGGAUGAACAGACAUCAACUUCCAAAUCAAUACGAGCAACCAGAGAGUCUGAAAUAGAAAACACGAUAAAAUCCAAACUCUAACCCAAUUUCAUAAGACACGAUUCCAACGGGUCGAUUCAAUGAGGAAGUGGUUGCUGAUUAUUUUUUUUCAGAAUUUGGAGACUAGUUCGAUCGAACUAUAAUACCACGGGAACUUUUUCAUUGAAAUUUUGUGUGUAAACGUGUUGGGUUCUAUCUUCUAGAAUGAAUUAUAAAUUUUCUGUGCGGAAUGUCUUAGAUUAUGACCUACCAUUGCAUAGAGUAUCAAAUAAUAUUUCCAAUGAUAUGUGGAUCAUCCAAAACGGACACCCGAGCGACGAGUUAUGAACAUUCCGUUCAAACCGUGAAUAGUAGUGAACAGUAAAACGUGCAGGAAAAAAAGUACUGAGGCUUGACGUAUUUUUACUUUAACUUUAAAUGAUCAUAACUCCUUGUACAUAAUGAUCUGGGUGAUCUACUAUAUAUCAAAGGAAAGCUCUGCGAGUCCUCUUUCCAAUGAAAUUGGUUCCAUCUAAUUUGUCUAUCAGAGCAAAAAGUUAUGGUCGAUCUACUUCAGUCUAUCAAAAGGGAAUUUUUGGGUCAACUUCAAACAAUCAUAACUUCUUGUACACAAUGAUCUGGGUGAGAUACUAUAUAUCAACGGAAAUAUAUGAGAGUCCUCUUCUAAUGAAAUUAGUUUAAUCUAAUUUGGAUAUUGGAGUAAAAUAUUAUGGUUGAUCUAUUUCAGACUAUCAAAACAGUCCACCAAAGGAUAGAUUCGAGAAUUAUUUGAUUUUUAGGGGCAUUUUGGUCAUUAUUCCUCACCAAAAUUCCGUCCAAACCCUAUAUUAAAGCCUAUUAGAAGCAUUAUAUGUCAUAUUUCAUCAAAUUUCCUCAAAAAGAAAACCCUAAGCUCCUACAUCCAACUUCAAGAACCUCCAAAGUUCACCAUUAAUUCUGCAAAUUUAUUCAAGAUUCCAAGUUCCUAGUUCAAGAACUCCAAGAACCAUCAUUCAAAGGCACGAUUAACAUCUCAAAAAUGAGUAUCGAUCUAAAGUUCAUCAUUCAAGGUAUGUGGGAUUUUUCAACAAUAACUCUCUUUCGUUCUUAUGCCCAAAAGUAAUUUUCUUUACAAAGGCAUGAUUUUUAUUUGAUUUUUANNNNNNNNNNNNNNNNNNNNNNNNNNNNNNNNNNNNNNNNNNNNNNNNNNNNNNNNNNNNNNNNNNNNNNNNNNNNNNNNNNNNNNNNNNNNNNNNNNNNNNNNNNNNNNNNNNNNNNNNNNNNNNNNNNNNNNNNNNNNNNNNNNNNNNNNNNNNNNNNNNNNNNNNNNNNNNNNNNNNNNNNNNNNNNNNNNNNNNNNNNNNNNNNNNNNNNNNNNNNNNNNNNNNNNNNNNNNNNNNNNNNNNNNNNNNNNNNNNNNNNNNNNNNNNNNNNNNNNNNNNNNNNNNNNNNNNNNNNNNNNNNNNNNNNNNNNNNNNNNNNNNNNNNNNNNNNNNNNNNNNNNNNNNNNNNNNNNNNNNNNNNNNNNNNNNNNNNNNNNNNNNNNNNNNNNNNNNNNNNNNNUUGUACGUUGGACUCCAUGUAGCUCACAUGGUUUAUGUCGGUUAUAGGAUCUCCCAGUGUGUGUGUGUUUCCUUGUGUCUAUGGGGAACGGUGAAGUGAUUUGAAAGUGGAAUUGUGAAAGUUACUCUUUCGAAAGAUUUAAAUGUUAUUUACAUUAUGAGAAUUGAUAUUCUUGAUGAACUGAAAGUGAUUGACAAAUUAUAUGAUGAAUCACAUGUGUUAUUGUACUUAUUUCAUCCUUUCAUGAUUAUGAUGAUUUUCUUUGGGCUAUGUGAGUCUUUCAUACAUCCUGCAUAUUUCUUAUAAAUAUUUAUGAUGAUGAUGUUUAUAAAACUGCAUAAACCCCCAUAUACUCGGUUCCUUCCCAUGGUACUGACCCACAUCUUUGGAUGUGGGCUAAAUUUUCUCGGAAUGUAGAUUCAGGUGCUUAGUUCCAGGUUCGACAGUGAUUCUUUGGGCACGCCGUUCUAUAUCCUCUAUCGUGGUGAGUCCUCGUGUUUCGAGGAUGUGAUGUUUGAUGUUGGUUUCACGAAAUUAUUUACAUUUGAUAACUGAGUAUGAGUCGGUUGGGGCAUGACUCAAUGGCUCGCUGGGUUUAUUGAUUUUCUUAGAGGCUUGUCAGACUAGUAUAGAUGUUGGGAGUUAACUAAUAAGUCGUAUUUUGUUAUCUUUCUGAAAUUCUUUUAUUCUUGGAUGAUGAUUACUCUGUUGAUAUUUGAGGGUUAUUUAUGAAAACCCCGUUGAUUCGUGUUGAACUGAAUGAAAAUGGCUCAAAGGGUUAGCUUGGGGCUACUCAUAUCCUCAAGCACUGUGUGAUGCUCCGGGACCCGUUUUCGUGGUGUUACACAAGCACGAACUGAAACAAACCAGUUCUGUCAAAAAAGUUCACCGGACAAUAGUAAAAAAUGAUAGAAAAUUCCGUGCCAGUCAGAUUUUCUCUCAAUCUCUAUCUCGCCUCUCUGUUUUCUCUAAUCUCCCUCAAUUUUCGAUCUCCCUUUACUCUCUCUCGAUCUUCCUUCAUUUUUCUCCGCUCUUCGGUCGGUUUCAGCUCACCAUCGCCUUUCUCUAUCUCUCUCGAAUCUCACUAUCCGAUGUAUGUAGAAGAGUUCUAGAGGUAGUUUGCAGUUGAUGUUAUUGAUGUAUUGCUGGUGGUGGUUAGGCGGUGUAAUUAUGGUUGUGCAAACCAGGCCAUAAAAAUGGUGGUGGAGGUGUAUAUGUCGUGAGUAUGAGAAUGGAGGAGUGAGUGUUUCUUCUUCGGUGAGGUGUGAUGGUGAGUGAUCUUAUUAAUUGUAUAUUGUGUGAAGGAAGUUCCUAUGAGUGGAAUAGUCUCUCCCCUUUCCAGUGAUGGGGUAGGGUAUGGGAUAAAGUUUGUUAGGAUAAGGUUAGGGAUUUAUUGAAUUUUUGUUAUUUUUGUAUUUUUGUGGGGUAUAAUUACAUGGGUGAGGGUACACGGUAGGAUAAAGUAAAAAAUGGGUAAAAAUGAUAUCGGGGAAGGACAAAAUUAGGUGUCUACACAUGCCCCCUUUGAAUGUAAACACAAAGUGUUUUUAGACAAAGAAGUAGAUAAUAAGACAAAAUUUUAUCCCGACCAUUAUUCAAAGGAAGAAACAUAAAGAAGAAGAACAACCGAGUUCUGACUUAAGCCAUCCUACCUACCCAAGUUAUGGAGGAAUCAAGUGAAGGUGUCUCAAAGGAUUGGAAGUAAAUGGACUAUACCGAGUUGGAAAGUCGAGUGAAGUUCCAUCGAGGUUCCAUUCUGCGGCUCUGUCAUUGCGUCAAAAUGAAAAUUACAAGUUAAAACAUAAAUAAAAUUACAAAAUCCUAUCUAUACAGAUUUUGUUGGACUCCUGGCUUAAGUUUCAUCACCCUAUUCUUCAGGCAGACUCCUGACUUGCAAUUUCAUCUCUUGUUGCUUGGUCUUCAAUUGCUUCACCUUGUUGCUUAACUUUCUAUUUAUUCACCCUGUGCUUCGGGUGGGCUCCUGACUUGCCAUUUUAUUACCCUGUUCUUCAGGCAGGCUCCUAUCUUGCAAUUUUAUCACCCUGUUCUUCAGGCGGGCUCCUGACUUGCAAUUUCAUCACCCUGUUCUUCAGGUGGGAUCCUGACUUGCUAUUUCAUCAAUCUGUUAACUUUCAACUUUUCACCUUGUUGCUUGACUUUCAAAUUCUUCACUUUGUUUCUUUACUUUUCAUUUCUUCACCCUGUUCUCCAGGUGGGCUCCUGAAAUCACAUCAAAACUAAAAAUAAAAUUAUCCCAAACAAAGAUUAAUAUAAAGAGGUUUAAUUUGCCAGAAAAGUGAAAUUCCAACACAAGAAUUAAAUUUUGCCCCAGUUUACUAUCAAAGGAAUUUUGCGGAAGUCACAUCAUUAUAGGAAUCAAGGAUAAAAGGUACGUCUUAUAGGAAUCAAAGGAAAUGACUCGACUAAAAGGUACGUCUUCUAGGGGUCAAGGGGAAUGACUCAACUAAAAGUACGUCUUAUAGGAAUCCAGGAAAUGACUCAACCAAAAGGUACGUCUUAUAGGAAUCAAAGGAAAUGACUCGACUAAAAGGUACGUCUUCUAGGGGUCAAGGGGAAUGACUCAACUAAAAGUACGUCUUAUAGGAAUCCAGGAAAUGACUCAACCAAAAGGUACGUCUUAUAGGAAUCAAAGGAGAUGACUUAACUAAAAGGUACGUCUCCUAGGAAUCGAAGGGGAUGAUUCGACUAAAAGGUACGUCUUCUAGGGGUCAAGGGGAAUGACUCAACUAAAAGGUACGUCUUAUAGGAAUCAACUAAAAGGUACGUCUUAUAGGAAUCAAGGGAGAUGACUUGACUAAAAGGUACGUCUUCUAGGGGUCAAGGGGAAUGACUCAACUAAAAGGUACGUCUUAUAAGAAUCAAAGGGAAUGACUCGGAUAAAAGGUAAGUCUUCUAGGAAUCAAAGGGAAUGACUCGACUAAAAGGUAGGUCUUAUAGGAAUCAAAGGGAAUGACUCAACUAAAAGGUACGUCUUCUAGGGGUCGAAGGGGAUGACUCAACUAAAAGGUGUGUCUUCUAGGGGUCAAGGGGAAUGACUCGACUAAAAGGUACGUCUUCUAGGGGUCAUGGGGAAUGAAUCGAAUAAAAGGUACGUCUUAUAGGAAUCGAGGGAGAUAACUCAACUAAAAGGUAUGUCUUAUAGGAAUCAAGAGGGCUAAACCAACUAAAAGGUACGUCUUAUAGGAAUCAAGGGGGGGUUGACUCGACUAAAAGGUACAUCUUAUUGGAAUCGAAAGGGAUGACUCGACUAAAAGGUACGUCUUCUAGGGGUCAGGGAAUGACUCGACCAGAAAGUACAUCUUCUAAGAGUCAAGGCUCAAUUUUAGAAGUGUACCACCUGACAGAUGAAGACUGAAAUCCCUAGACAAAAAAGUAUGUCUCUGAGGGAUAUAGGCUGAUGAAUUUUACCAUGACUGAAUUAUCAAACCUGUGCAGCAACAUCGCUUCCUGCAUUUGUAAAAGCAAAAAAUUACGGGCCUUGAUGUUUAGGCUUUGAAAUCCUUGAUUUGAAGGUAAUAUUUUCCUGUUUCAUCAAAGAAAACUUGUGAGUUUGAAACAUAAAGGCAGGUUUGUGUCUUUGGCUUUCGUGCCAAAUGCUCUUGCCGUCAUCACAUUUAACCUUGCUUCCAACCAUUACAUAUAUCAUUGACUUGAUGCAUCAUUGACCCAAACUCAGAUUAUUAAGAGUGGCUUUUAAACAAACACAAUAUCUUUGCUUUGCUAUGCUCUUCAGAUAAACCCUUUGAACUUUGGUAUUUCCAUGAGUGCCCAGACUUGUCUGUUGACAGAACUUUCUGUAUGCCUUAUUUCAACUCAUAAUCAUGUCUUUUGUAUGUGCUAGCUCUUUUGUCUUACUUUGUACAAUUAAAGAAGCUGGUAGGCAGUUUUGAAAUCUUUUCUCACUUGUUUUGACACGGACUUGACUCAAAGACAAAAAACGAAAAAAAAAGAAUGACAAUUUUUGUUUGGAUAACUGACUCAAGAAAGAUAAAAUAAAAAUAAAGAGAAGAAAGAAAAGGCAAUGAAUGUCCCAUUUUGAAACAAAAAAACAAAAAAUUCAUCUAAAAAUGACAGUCAACACUAAUGAUUAUGCCAUGCAUUUUGGAUUAAGCAGCUUGAUCUUUUCAUCAAAACUUUCUACCCAUUGUUGUUGAGUUAAUGGCCUUGAAACUGAGUUUCUUCCUCAGGUCAAUUGUAUUUAAGACCCCAUUCAGCUAGUGGUGCCUUGAAGGGCUUUCGCCAACAAGCUUCUCUCAUUUUCUUAUCCUCAGCUCACCACUGCCUUAUGGUGUCUGUAAGGGUUUUCCACUAAUGACUCUUUUAUCUUCAUUUCCCUUAACUCAUAGUUGUCUUACGGUGCCCGUGGGAUUUUUCACCGAUAAGACUCUCAUUUUUAUCUCUCUCAAUUUACCAUCGUAUUAUGGUGCACGUGAAGGUUUUCACCAAUAAGACUCUCUUAUUUUUAUUUCUCUCCUAAUUUCUUAUACUGAGGAAGGUAAGUAGUUCCCAAAUGCAUCAUCAUAUCCUUUGCAUGCUUAGCCUUAACAUCUUCAAAGAUUGAUCUGAAGGUCUUUCUUUGGUUGUAACUUGGCUUUUGGAUAGGGUUAGAAAUAAAGUAUGGCAUGGGGCCCAAACGACACUUAAAGUAGGGUAGGACUUACCACUUUUGGAAUCGACUCAAACAAUGAGUAUUAAAUCAUGCCCAGUUUCUUCUGACUGGUUGACUCUAAAUUGUUUAUUUGGUUGGAUCGAGCCCCGGGUAGGGCAGCUUAUGUAUCUCACCCCUGAAAGAGAAGAAUCAGGUCAUGCGUAGUUCUGACAGCUUGUUCUUUUGCUUGAUUCUGUUUUUUCUUUUGUUGAGUUCUUUUUUUUCUUUUGUUGACUCUUUUAUUGAUUUUUUUUCUUUUUGGAACCUUCUGACUCUAUUUUAUUCUUGACGCUCUUUUCUUUUCCUUCUUUUGGACACAUUUUUUCUCUCAUUUCUUAUUGAAACUUUUUGACUCUAUUGUUUUGCUUGACAUUUUUCUUUUGAGCUUUGCUGACUCUAUCUUGAUUCCAAAAGAGGGGUAUGAAAGAAAAUAAGACUAAAGCUCAAAUGGGGUAAACAACGGAUGACACGAUGUUUGUAUAGCAGAAUGAAAUGACUUCGUCAUAUCAAUCCUUGAAAAUGCAAGUUCAUAUCAUGCAAUAUGAAAAUAAGAGAUGAAGAUCAUUUGUGAUAUUUUUUACAGCACUAAUUUUAACUGAGAUUGUGCCUCGCUACUUUUUCUACAAACUCCAUCUUUGUUGUACAUUCCUCAUGCUUUCGUGGAGCUAAUUUUUCUAUUCCUUUUGAUGUAGGAUCACACAUCCACUAUUUGACCUAAUUGAGACAUGUCUUUCAAAUGCUGACCAAGUUAUUCUCACGAUACUCAAAAUAAUUGCCUUAAUUUUCAAAGAAGGCUUCAACUUGAUCACCCAAUGCCCCAUCACUCUAUCAAUUUUCUCAGAAGCUCUCUUUUUCUAACUUUAACCCUCUGAUUCAAUGCUCAUGCUUAAACUGGAUUUUAAGAUCUAGAUGAAAAUUUCACUAGCAUGUCAUAUCACUAAAGUCAACAUAAAAUGUACUAUAUAAAGAAAACAAACAAACAACACAUAUUUAAAACACAAAGGAAAAUGGGAUACUUCAUUUAGUUGAAACAAAAGAUAGAAGGGUUUGAACAUAAAUGACAAAAGGACAAAACAAGAUAGAUCCCAAAAUACAACCCUGAAAUAACCCGGAUAAUAGAAAAUAAAACAAAACAAACUACCAAACCUCUUCCUAGUAGGGAGAGGGUGACUUCUCAAUUGCUCAGCCUGACAUCUUAGCCACUGGUUUGCAUAUCAGCAUGACUAGAGUUUCCCUUACUGUCAAUGUUCUGCACCAUAAUUGAUCCAUCUUGAAUCAUCUUUUCAAUUUCUCUUUUCAAAUCUCAACAAUCUUUAAUACUAUGACCCUGAGCAUCAGAAUGAUACGCACAUCAUACAUUAGGAUCAAAAUUUCUUGAACGCCGAUUAAGAGUGCACCCAAGGAGAGGAGUGAGCAUGACCCAUUGUACCAAUCUCUGAAAUAAAUUAGCAUAUGACUCUCCAAUUGGUGUGAAGCUAUCUCUUGACUUCUGCCUUAUUUCAUCAUUUGGCUUGGAUUAAAAAUCAGGAUUAGAAGGCUUUUCGUAUAUUUGUGGAGUUAGAGGACGACUCUCAGGAGUUGGUGUGUUCAACUAUGGGUAACAUAGGGGUUGAAAAUGUGGUUGUGCAUUAUAUACUGGAUAUAGAGGUGGAGGAGCAGAGUAUAAUGGAUUUUGGGAGUGAUUAUGUGGAGUUUUGGUAUGAACUUGGGUUUUUGCCUGAGAGUGACGACGACGGGGUCUUCUUGAUCAUUUCCGCUUUCCAACUACAAUAGUAGAUGCAUCUUCCUCAUUUUUUGUCUCCCUAACACUUCCUGAACCCUUUUGAAUUUCUUGAGUAGUCGCUUUUAAUGUUGCGAAACUCACAAUGCGAACCGUCUUAAUUCCCUCUUCUAUCAUCUCCCCCAUUUUAAGGACCUCAAUAAAUGACUUUCUCAAUGUAGGUAUCAAGUGUUGAUAAUAUGUUUCCUUCUGCGCUUGAAUAAAUACCUCCACUAUUUUUCUUUCUUUCAUUGGCGGUUUCACUCUAGCAACUUGUUCGCACCAUCUGAUUGCAUACUCCCUGAAUCUCUCAGUAUUCUUCUUCUUCAUACUAGUUAGGGAUUUUUCGUCAGGGAUCAACUACAUAUUGUAUUGAAAUUAUUGCAUAAAUUCAUUAGCUAGGUCAUCCCAACUAAUCCACUUGUCAAUGUCUUGGUCAACAAACCAUUCCGAAGCUAAGCCUGAAAGACUAUCCUCAAAAUAAGCCAUAAGUAGUUCUUCCUUCCCUCCAGCACCUCUUAAUUGGUUACAAUAGCGCCUCAAAUAUGCCGCUGGGUCCCCAUGUCCGUCAUAUUUCUCAAACUUUGGCAUUUUAAAGCCAGGAGAAAGGUUGACACCUGGAAACAUGCAUAAGUCCUUAUAUGAGACAUUUUGUGACCCCCAAGUCCUUGCAAGUUCUUCAUAGCCAGUUCCAAACUUCUCAAUUUUCUGGUCAUUUCCUCUUGUUCUUCUAUUAUAAUAAGCUUCUCAGUGUUAGGAGGAAAUUCAGGAGGGUGAGUGUCACCAUAAAGACCAGUCAACUUGAAUGUAGGCUCGAAAAUGUAAUGCUGAUCACCAGUAAUAUUCAAUUCAGGCUCUCUUGUAGAGUAGAGAGGAACAACUUGUGGAUGAACAUCAAAAGUAGGAGCUUCAGGUGGGGGUGGCACCGCAAAACUAUGAACAACAGGUGGAACUGAGUAUGUGGUAGUCUUGGAUUGGGGAGUGAGAAAAUAAACAUUGGAAGUGGUUGGAUAUUAUUGCCCCGGAGUCGAUCCUGAUGCAUGUUGUGGCAUAUCAACAAAAAUGGGAAAUUGUGCAUGUGACACGGAGGCAAGCUAGAAAGAUAUUCCAGAUUAUUAGUGGGAACUGGAGGAGGCGGCAACCCAUUAGCCCAAGCUCGAUGCAUUUCUAUCAUUUGCUGCCUUAAUUUCUGAAUCUCUUCAUUAUCUCCUAAAUUCUCAUUUUCCGAACUCUGUAUCUGAUUAGUGAUAACAAACUCGGUAUCCUUUUUGGCUAUAACCUUGUCUAUGACUUGGUACAAUAUGGAGGACCGGCCAAAAUGCGACAAACCAACCACCUCAAACUAACUGAACAAGAGAUAGCAAAUGCGUUAGAAUUCAACACUUUCUCAAAAUUUCUUUUUUUUUUUGAAAAGAUCACCGAACCCAAGAAGGGCGCCUACGUAUAUCACUCCUGAAAGAGGAGAAUCAGAUGUGCGUAGUUCAUGAAGUCUUGCCAAAAUGGCCAAUUAAACUCUUUUUUCUUUUCUUGAAAUUUUAAGAAGAAAAGAAAAAUGAAAAAUUGUCAUAAGAAUAGACGAAAAUCUUUUUUUGAAUUUUUCAGCUUUAAUAACCUAUAAAAAAUGAAACCUAUGAUUACUAAAGAAACUCUUUUUGGGUUUUCAAUUUUGCACUUCAUACGAAAAUGAAACUUGAACCUAUUAAAGGAAAAUCUUUUGUAGUUUUCUUUUAUUGAUGCAUAUGACAUCUACUCUAAAUGAAGAGUGAAAAAUAAUAUUUUUGGAUUUUUGAAAUAAGAUCAACCAAAAAUGAAACCUACGACUAUUGAGGAAAAUCUUUUUUUUUUAUUGUUCUUUUCAAGACAUGUAUGAAACACAUACUCUGAAUGAAGAGUGAAGAAAAUCUUUUUGAAUUUUUUUAACUAAGAUCCCCGAACCAACAAUAGGCUGUCUACGUAUCUCACAUCCCGAAAGAGGAGAAUCAGGGGUGUGUAGAUCGUCCAAAUUGGACAAUUAAGAAUUAAUUAACAAACUACACCAAACUUGAGAGACACGACCAAAGACUAACGAUGAAAAAUGUCAAUACAAUCUUUUUUGGAGUUUUGAACUUGACACUUCAAAUAAAAAUGACACCAACAAUUAUGAAAGAAAAAAUCUUUUUGGUAUUUUCAUUACAAUGAAAUGUACAAAUUUCUACCAUUUUCUUUUAUAAAAACUGCUAAAAAAAUCUUUUUUGAAAAUUUCAAAUUAUUAAUGCAUGCUAAAGGAGACAAAGUGAGAAAUUUUUUUGAUGCUUUGAUUUAUGAACAAAUGAGUGCAGAAAAUAAAGAAAUCUUUUUGAAUUUUUGAAUUGUGAAAAACAAAAGUCAUAACGAACUCUAAAACUACGAAACUUUUUUUUUCUUUUCGACUCACUUUUUUUUUUCACUUUACUUCUAACACAAGUUUUCCCCAAAUCAAUCUUUUAAAUGACCACGUUACCCUCAGAAAUGCAAUGUUUAGCACGUAGAGAUGCUUUAGAGGAGAGUCUCCUACAAAGGACCAAGUGGGCCCCGCUAAGUCUUCAAUAUGAUGCACAUAAGCAUGACCUAAAGGCUGACCUACGUUGGGGUCCACUAACAAGGCUGUUCGGGGGAGGGUAUGGUCGAUAGUGGAUUGCUUUAGCUGUCCACCUACUCUAUACAACCCAACGGCUCCCCCUCCUAAAAUAAGGGUGACUCAACUAUAGGUUGUAUACAACAUGUGUACUACAGACUCUUUGCAGAAAGAAUGACUCGGAUUAUGCACAUGAUGCCAGAUAUAAAGCGGUAACACAUAGGGUAAAAACUGUAAACAAAGAGCACGUAGGCACUCAGCAAUGAUAAAACAAUAACAAAAAACAACACAAACAAUGUCUAUACACCCAUAAUGCCAAACAAAGCCGAUACAACUCCAAAAAUAAGCUCGAAUUUUGAAAAAGAUCCCCAGCAGAUUCGCCAGAGCUGUCACACCCCUUUUUUUCAACUCCAAAAGAUUCGAUUUUAAGUUUUGAAAGGGUUUUAUUAGUAAAGUGACAAAAGAUGAAAAUUGUUUCAAAAAGGAUUUAUUAGUUUCAAAACUCAGAGUCGCCACUUGGCAUAAAUUGGGUGUGCCAAGUCACCCGUGGAUAUCCUUUUUCAAAAUGGUUUUGACUCUAUAAAACUGAUCUGCGAAUAGAGAUUCCGGCUAAGAAAUUCUUUUGAUCGAGGAUAAGGUGUUAGGCACCCCUCGAUCUCGUGGUUCGACCACGGUCGCUUGGUGGAAUAUAUCGGCUAAUUUGAAUACUAUGAAUGUAUAAACCACACCAAACACAAAUAAAAUGACCAAUCAAACAAACAAAUCCAACAUAAUGUCCAGCCCAAUUAUUACAACCCAAAAUGAAAAAAAGGUACUUGAAAAGUAAACCUACGCUAACCUUCACUAAUCCUAAACUACGCUCCAAUUCUUGAUCCACUGUCCCGAGCCUUCAUUGAGAACAUCCUCUGAGUAUAAAAUAAACGGGGCAUUCCCCGACCAAUAAACAUAAGUACCUCGGGGAAUUCUCCGACCGAAUAGUACAUUUUAAUCCAAACGCAAUAAACUAGCAAACAUUCAACGAAUAUUCCAUUUUCAAACAUUCAACGAAAAAAAUUAUUCAUAAGAAUUUUGCCUACCCGAACUUAUAUUCUCCUAUUCAUUUCAACGUAGCAUGAUAAUAUCGCGUUUCAUAUCAACAGUAAAUCAAAAUUAAACCCAAUCUAUCCUUUUUGUCAGUUUUUAAUUCUCACCCCCCAAAUCCCUUUUUAACACAAAAUUUCAACAAUCCAAAAUCACUAUUUCAACAAUCUACAACCAUUUCUUCAACGCAAUGAAGCAGAAAAAAUCAAUAUCACUCAAUAUUUAAUCGAAUGUCACACCAAUCAAAUAUAUAUGACAAGAUGAAGAAGAGAUAGAAUUGGACCUUUCGAUGAAGAACUUUCGUUGAUAGUAAUAUUUAAGAAAACCCAGAUUUGGAACCCCAAAUAGGAUAACCUCAACCGCGAUGAAUCCAGACUUGGUAUUUGAGAAAUUGAAACCCGAACUACUCAUAAUAACCCAAUUGGGACAAACAGACAUCAACUUCCAAAUCAAUACAAGCAACUGAGAGUCCAAAACAGAAAACAUGAUAAAAUCCAAACUCUAACCAAAUUUUGUAAGAUACAAUUCCAACGGGUCGAUUCGACAAGGAAGUGGUUGCUGAUUUUUUUUCUUUCAGAAUGUGGAGACUAGUUUGAUCGAAUAUGAACUGAAACAAACCAGUUCCAGUGAAAAAGUUCACCGAACAACAGUAAAAAAUGACAGAAAAUUCAGCGUCAGUCAGAUUUUUGCUCAAUCUCUAUCUCGCCUCUCUGUUUUCUCCAAUCUCCCUCAAUUUUCGAUCUCCGUUCACUCUCUCUCGAUCUUCCUUCAUUUUUCUCCGUUCUUCGGUUUGUUUCAGCUCACCAUUGCCUUUCUCUAUCUCUCUCCAAUCUCACAUGUUCGGUGUAUGUAGAAGAGUUCUAGGGGCGGUUUGCAGUUGAUGUUGCUGAUGUAUUGCUAGUGGUGUUUAGGCGGUGUAAGUAUGGUUGUGCAUAUCAGGCCAUAAAAAUGGUGGUGGAGGUGUGUAUGUCGUGAGUAUGAGAAUGGAGGAGUGUGUGUUUCUUCUUCGGUGAGGUGCGAUGGUGAGUAAUCUUGUUAAUUGUAUAUUGUGUGAAGGAAGUUACUGUGGCUGGAAUGGUCUCUCCCCUUUCCAGUUAUGUGUUGUGUCCAUUCCAAAAGAGAGAAAAAAAUAUGAUCAAGGGUACCAGGUAGGGGUAGGGGUGGUGAGGUGGUAUGGGUUAGGGUAUAGGAUAAAGUUUGUUAGGAUAAGGUUAGGGAUUUAUUGAAUUUUUGUUAUUUUUGUAUUUUUGUGGGGUAUAAUUACAUGGGUGAGGGUACACGGUAGGAUAAAGUAAAAAAUGGGUAAAAACGAUAUCGGGGAAGGACGAACUUAGGUGUCUACACAUAAGUUCUCAGAUUCCCUACUAGUUCAUCUAGUAUCAUGCCUGUGAGAUCCUUAUUUGCCUCCCUAGUAGCAGUCACUUUAACAUUCCAUUUUGAUUUUGGUAGCACCCUCAACACCUUUUCAACUUGUUCUUCAACAGUGAUGACUUUUCCUAAAGAAGUCAACUCAUUUGUCAAGGCAGUAAGCCUUGUCAUCAUUUCAUGCAAGGUUUCAUUCUCCUUUAUCUUAAAAGCUUUGUAUUCAGUAAACAGAAGAGCAAUCCUAAAUUUUCUUACCUAAGAGGUACCCUCAUGUGCAUUGACCAGUGCAUCCCAGAUUUGCUUAGCAGUGGUACAGUAAACUCACUUCUUACAUUUUUGACCUGUUCACCAUCUUCUAACUUCAUUAGAAUAGUAGGACCAUCAGUCUUCCCCUUGAAUGAAUGUUUCCAUCCUAUCUUUCCACCAAAUAAAGUGAUAACCAUCAAAGAGUGGAGGUCUAAUAGUGGAUUGACCUUCACUAUGACCAGUAGGUGGUGCGGAAUUCAUCAUAUUGAUCUUUGUCUUAGGUGCUAGACCCUUUUAAGAUAACUUCGCUCUGAUACCACUUGUUAAUAAUUCGUGCCCUACUGAUUAUCUUAUUUUUGCCUAACUGUUGCUUAUAGAUGGAACGAGUUUCCUGACGUGUUUCGAGGAAGCAGUAAAAUAGAAAGUAAGAACACAAUGAUUUUUACAUGGAAAACACCCGACUUAAAAAGGUGUAAAAAACCACAACCUGUACCUCUACAUGAUUUAAUCCUAACUUCAUUAAAUAACUCUGAGCCUCAACAACGACUGAUUACAAAACUCUUGUAACCAACAAAUAGGAAUUAUAAACUCUAAUUCCUAUAACUCAACAACUAGGAAUUAUAAACUCUAAUUUCUAACUACACACACCUCCCAAGGUAUGCUUUCCCAAAGUCUCUGAGUUUUCCCCAACUCAAAGACUAGCUCCUAAUUCAGUUUAUAACACACUGAAACUAAUAUUACAUCAAUAGUUCAAACACAAUGAACAACUCUAAAAAUCAAUGCUAAAACUCUUAGCUGGAUUCUAUACUUAGGACCAGGUUCUUUAAUGUGUUUCUUCAAUGAUUAAGUAGCACUUCGUGAAGUCAAUCUAUCGAUUGUACUUUUCUGCCUUGUAAGUGUGUGAGUUAUUCUGAAUAAUACAUCUUCUAUUUAAACACAGCUCUCCAAAAAGUCAUUCUUAAUUUUAAAUUCCUCCUUUAAUCAAAACUUUCAUUGCAUAGAAUUCUACUUCAAGUGAGACUCCUUCUUCAAUUCCAAAUCUUGUCUCUUUAGUGUUGUAGUCAAACUCCAACUCUCCAAAGAGUCCUUUAAAUUAUACGUUUUGCAUAAACUUCUGCAAUUUUCAGAUUCUUUCUCCUUCUACACAUAGGACUCUUAAGACUAUGCUCAGAAGUGAAACUAUUUCUUCACACAGGACUCCUCUUUCAACUCAACUUGUUUUCCCUUAUCAUCAAGUGUUUGAAUCAAAUUCAACUUAUUCUAUUCCCAACGUGAUCAGUAAGUUGAAGUUUCCAGUUACACUGAUUUAACUCAUUCUGAUUUUUAAUUUUUUAUACCAUAGACUGCACUCCCGAACUUGUCGAAUCAGUGGAACAUGUAUAUCAACUUAUUUAAUUAAUAUUGUCAUUCAUCAAAACUCCAAGGGUCCAACAAAUUCAUGAAAGAUGUGCAAUUAACAUUAAAAAAAAAAAAGUAACAACGACAAAACUAAGCCCUUGUUUGAAUGAUGGUUUUCCAUGGUAUGCUAUGAUAUGGUUACCCAGGAAACCAUGUUUGUAUUGAUUGUAUUUUAAAAGUUAUGGUAUGGCAUGGUAUAUUUUCAUGGUUACCAAACCAUGAAAUCUCCCAAUUUUCAUAACCACCAAUUUGGUGGUAUACCAUUGUUUUAUUCUUUUUUUUUUUUUUCAAUUAUACUCUCAUCUAAUAUUCUUUAAUCUCAUUUUACCCUUCAACCUAUAUCACUUUUAACCCUAACAUAUUUUUAUUUUACCCUUUUCUAUUUACCUAUCCUCUGCGUUUUUGCGUACUUCUCCUCUGUUGUUCUUCAUCUUCCGUCUUCUCUUCUUCUACGCUCAUUCUCUCAAGUAUGCCUUUUGAAACUUUAACUGCUUAUUAUUUUAAGAUGCCUUCUCUUCUUCUACGCUCAUUCGUCGUUGGCAUUGUUGGCGUCUGAUUUUCCUAGAUGUUUUGGAAAUAGGAUUUACUUUACUGAUGAUUGUUUCACUUGGUGAACUAUAUUUAUAGUUUGAAUUGAUUGUAGGAUAUUCGAACUUAUAGAUGAAGCACAACUCAACUUAGUAGAAAUAGACUGCGCACAGCUAACUCUUUAAAACUUGUAUUGAGAUAUUUGUACCUCCAAUACAACUGAAAUCUGACCAUAUAGUGCCAAUAAUAAAGAUUCCAGUUAGGGACUUUAGGGAUAAGACAUCAGUGAGCAUUAUUUAUUUUCCAAUGGAACCCCACAUUUUGACUAUUUCAAGGCAAAUAAAUUGCUUUCUUUGGCCUAGAAUAUGUUAUUUUGUGUUGAUGUUGUGGAUGUGCUAUACAUAGGGAGUCUUCCAUAAGAUGUAGUAGUACCAGAUGCAUUAAUCCUAUCGGAAUAAUUUAAGUUUUGCUACAUUAUGUCUUGUUUCACUUGAAUUCUUAUUACUGAAUUGCCAGUUCAUUGGAGUGUAUAUUAGGACGUUCUCUUGAUUUGAGUUUGGGAGAUUAGAUUAAAAACAAAAUAGAGUAAGUUUUCCUCCAAAAUCUUAAUAAUACCACAAGCUAGAGAAGGAAUAAAGUCCCAUAGUAACAGAAAGUAAAAGUAGUCUGAAUGGUUUCAUCUCGUGUAACCUUCCGCUUAUAAAGUGAAAAGCAUCUUUAACAUCAACUUCAACACCUCAGAUUUGGCAACGAAAACUAGUUCAUAUUCAUCCCUACCUCCUCUUCCCCUUCCUCUCCCACCUACACUAGCUUUUCUAUCUGUAAAAAAAAAUUAACAAUAUUCUAGCUAAGCUGAAUAUUCAAAAACUAAUUGUAGGCAAGCAGGGAGAUAUUCGUAUAAUAAACAAACCCACACUGAUCAAAUAGUUAAAGUAGAAGUGGUUGGAUAGUAAGAAUCCGUCACUUCAAAACUUGAGGUUGUGAAUUCGAGUCACCUUAGAGCAAAAAGGGUGGGAGCUCCUAGGGAGAUUUAUGGAAAAAAAAUAGAAGUGGUUAUAACACUUUCUGAAAAUUAGCAGUCCAAAGUAGUACCUGCAAGACAUUUUGUUUCUUCUUGAACUUUAUCAAUCACCUGAAAAAGAACAAAAAUCAUAUAGUUAACACCAAACAAAACUAAGAGGGAUUAGCAACUUGGUCAACAAAGAGCCAGGAGAAGACCAAGCUUCAAGAAUUAUAAACCGUGGACUCAGCCUCAAACCCCAGUGAUAAAAAUGAACUAUUCAAAACAGUAAACACAAGUAGGUAUUUCCAUAUGAAGGAAUAUAUAUACACAAAAAAUCUACAAAAUCUAACCUCUCAGAAAAAUAGAGUUGCAAUACUGUAGGUAUUUCAUGGAUAAAAGCAAAGGCAAUCUGUAGUAGUUUAGCAUUCAACAUAUAUUUGUUUUUCCAUGCAUGUAUGUUAGUUAUAAAUGUGUAAUCUCAUAGCUAAUUUUUAUUUAAAUAUAUUUUUAUACGUACAUAUUUUAAUUGAUUUGAUGCAUCUCUCUUAAUUUUAUUAUAGAUGGCUGAUCAGAAUACUCAAGAUAGUAGUAGCAUAUUGAGACAAGUGACCUCAUUAGCUUCAAAUGUUGCUGUUCAAGUAGUUAUUUAGUUUUGGACUUAUGUCUAUGAAAUUGAAAAUGAUAAACGUACGAUCACACGUGAUAUACGGCUUGAAAGAGAGAGAGUUAGAGAUGAAUUAUUCAGUCAUCUAUUUUCGACUGAACUUUGCCGUAGUAUAUUAAGAAUGACCCCUUUAGCUUUUACUGGUCUGUGUGAGAUUUUUGUUAGAGAUGGAGGCCUUAGACCAAUACUUCAAGUUACAGUUGAAGAACAAGUUGCGAAAGCACUUUACUUGUUAGCACAUAAUGUGACAAAUCGUGAGCUAUCUUUCAUCUUUCGACGAUCUAGAGAGUCGGUCAGUCAUCAUUUUCAUGUUGUCCUACAGACUAUCUUGAGGUUAUAUUAAAAAUUUAUCAAAUAACCUGAUGACUCCCAUGUUCCUUCUGAAAUCGCCAACAAUCAAAGAUUCUACCCAUAUUUUAAGGUAAACACAAUUUAACAUUAUUUAAUUUAAUCUAUUAUAAAAAAUAUUUAUAUUAUUAAUUGAUAUUAUAAUAUCAGGAUUGUAUUGGUGCAAUUGAUGGAACACAUAUACGUGUUAAAGUUUCACAAUGUGAAGCACCAAAAUAUCGUGGGAGGAAAGAUUAUCCAACUCAAAAUGUACUAGCUGCAUGUACAUUUGAUUUAAAAUUCACAUAUGUGUUAGCUGGGUAGGGAGUGACAACGUCUAAUUCAAGAAUCAUGAAAGAAGCAUUAAAUAGCCAAGAUCCAUUAAAAAUUUCAGAAGGUAAAAUAUUUUAUAUAUAUAGAUUGAUAGAUAGAUAGAUAGAUAUAGGUAUAUAUGAUAAGUAUAUAAUUGAGCCUUUUACUUUUUAUGUUUAGAAAAUUUUUCCUUGUUGAUGCUAGACUCAUGUUGAGAAAUGGGCUUAUUACACCUUAUCGGGGGAAGCGAUAUCACUUGAAAGAGUAUUCAAGAAAUCCACCUCGAAAUUCUCGUGAAUUAUUUAAUUUACGACAUGCUUCUUUGCAUAAUGCUAUUGAACGAGCAUUUUGAGUUCUUAAAAAGAGAUUUUCGAUAAUUUUCAGCUCAAUUGAACCAUCAUACGGAAUUGAAACUCAAAAGCUGAUUAUAUUUGCAUGUUGUGUCUUGCACAACUAUUUAAGAGGUGUAGAUCCAAAUGAUGAGUUACUCGAUCAAGUUGAUGCAGAACUUAUGAAUGAUAACACUGUGCAUGAAGAACCUCCAAAUUCUAGGGAAAGUAAUGAAGAAUUUAGAAAGGGGGAGUUUAUUCGAGAUGGUAUAGCAGCUGCCAUGUGGACUAAUUAUCAAGAUUAAUUUUCUAGGAAAAAACUUAAGUGAUUAUUUGUGUCACAUUUUUUCUUAUUUGAUGUUAUUUUUAAGUAAUUUCGUGAUGCUAUUACUACAAAUAUUAUGUAUAGUUGAUUUACUUUAUAUUAUAUCUUUUAUCAAUACUUAAGUGUGACAACAUUUUUUUUUUUGAAUUUUAUGAAUAUUUAUCUUAAUUCUGUAGUGGUUGAUAUGACGAGAAAAGCAAAGGAAUUCACCUCAAGUGAUCUAAAUGUACAAGAGAAUUCUAUAUGCGUUUGGACAAAUACGAUGGAUGACACAUUAGUUGAUGCCUAUUGUCACGAAGAUGCACUUGGACAUAGGGUUGGAGGAACUUUUACUACGCACGCAAUGAAUAACAUUGUGAAGGAGCUACAAUUUAAAUUUUCAGAUAAGGUUAUUAACAAGGAAAAAAUUCAUAAUCGGAUGAAAAUAAUCAAAAGGCUAUUAACCAAGUAUUACGACACAUUUCAUCAGUCGGAAAUGAGCGGAUUUGCUUAGGAUUCCAUCACACAUAAGUGGGAUGCUAAACCUGAAGUGUGAGAUCAACUAAUUUAGGUAAAUUUACAGCCCACCGCAAAUAAGUAUGUUAUAUUUAUUGUCAUAACUGAACUUUUAUUGUUUCGUGAAAUUCUUUAGUAAACAUGGACAGGUUACUUUUUUCAAUAUUAUUUUCUUUAAUAAUAUUUUGCACUUAUAAUAUAUAGGCUUAGUCUUAAGCUGCUGAGUUGAAAAAUAAGUCAUUUCAAAAUUAUGAAAAGCUGGUGAUGCUAUAUGGAAAGGACAGAGCUACUGAAAAACAUGCCGAGACUAGUUCAGAUAUGUUAAAGAAGAAUGCUCAUAAAAAUCUAAAAAAAGUAAGUGUUGAUUCAAUCACUAUUGAUAACAUAGAUGAAAUGGGUUAUAUAAAUACUGACUCAUUGGAAGAUAUGGAAGGACAUGAACUGGGUGAUCAAAGUCAAACAACUAAUGAUGCACCUACACCUAAUGUCUAUUCAGAAGCACCAAUGCCUACCAGAAAUAAAAAAUUUAAACAUGAGUAUCUUGAAGUCAUGACUGGCAUGUUGAGAAGUGGAAUGGACAACUUGGCUGGUGCUAUUGAUUAUCUUUCAUCCCUUCUGUCUAUUUUUGAGACCGAGAUAUGGAAUAUAUUGGAGGAGUUGGAUUUGGAAUCUGGUGUGGAUACAAAGGCUUAUAUUUUUCUUUGUCAAAAUGCAAGUACAGGUCGUAUACUGAUAGGAUGUCCAAAGGAACAAUGCAAGGAUCUUUUAUCACAAAUGAUGCCAUAAAAUAAUUAAGAUUAGCUUCUAUUUUUUUUUUUUACUUUAUGAUUUAUAUUGUUGACAAUAAAGAAUGUUUGAACUUUUGUUGGCACGUUGUGCACAAGGUUUAUUUAUUUUGAGUUUGGGGCAUUCUUGAAGUGUUCAAGUGAACCUAAUAAAUGUUAUUGCGAUGAAAUUAUUCUUUUCUUGAGUACGUGUAGUGGUGUACCAAAAUGGUGUAAUUGAUGUUGCUUCUCUUCGCACAAAUAUAUGAGAUGUUCUGAGUUUUGACAAUUGAUUCUCUACAACAAUUACUUGAUAAUAGUUGCAACCAGGUGUUCAAGUUGUUUGCUUUAGUUCUUGACGAUUGUGCAAUUGGUCAGUUUUUAUAAGGCGAUUGGUGUACGAAAUCACAUGAAGGUUGUUGUCAUUUCUGCAUUUAGCGUUGAAGAUUGCUGAUAUUAUCUGUGAAGGACUUGGGAUUCAUUUUCUCUAUAUUUCGUUUAUUGAAACUCCAAGGCAAAUUGGAGGUGAUAUGCAGUAUUUGGUUAGAACAAAUGAUGAGUUUUGACUUCUGACGAGAUUUUUGGAGCUUGAUAUUGAUGCUGCGUAUCAUCAACUUGAUGUUGUGUAUAACACAGUUGAAUUUUGUGUGUUUAGGUUGGUUUUAGAAGGGCCGAGAUGGGAGAAGAUUAAUUGUUUGGGUGAUUAGAUAUUAUUUUUAGGAGAAAAUUCGUCAAACAGAAUUUACUUUACUAAUGAUUGUUUCACUUGGUGAACUGUAUUUCUAGUUUGAAUCGAUUGUAAGAUAUUCGAAGUUAUAGAUGAAGCACAACUCAACUUAGUAGAAAUAGACUGCGCACAGCUAACUCUUUAAAACUUGUAUUGAGAUAUUUGUACCUCCAAUACAACUGAAAUCUGACCAUAUAGUGCCAAUAUUAAAGAUUCCAGUUAGGGACUUUAGGAACAAGACAUCGGUGAGCAUUAGUUAUUUCCCAACGGAACCCCACAUUCUGACUAUUUCAAGGCAAAUAAAUUUCUUCCUUUGGCCUAGAAGAUGUUAGCUUGUGUUGAUGUUGUGGAAGUGCUAUACAUAAGGAGUCUUCCAUUAACAUGUAGUAGUACCAGAUGCGUUAGUCCUAUGUCAAAUCGGGGAAGAGAUAUUGAGUUUCUCCAACUUCUUGGGAAACCGUUAUCUUAUGUUUCCUGUGUCUGUUUUUCUUUGAAUAGGCAACUCAUGUAAUUUCCAGAAGUUUUUCCCACAAAUUACCAGGCUAGCUAAAUGAGAAUUAUGGUUUCUAGCUCUACCAUCACGUGUAAUUUUGAGAUUUGCAUAAAUGCAUAUGUUUCUUGAAUUAUUUGUUUUGCGAAAGCUUCUUUUACGAUUUGUACAGUGGAAAAGUUGAUUUAGAAAAAUAGGCAAAAGAUAGAACUUUUUGAUAGAUGUGUUUAUCCAUACUCUAUUUUGUUCUCUACUUGCAGUGUGUAAUACCUUUUGAAUCGUGUUGUUAUCUCGUUGCGGUGUACUUUGGUGAAUUCCUCCAUUGAGGUGGUUUGUGAAUAUGUUAUUCUGGCCAGAGUUAAAUUUGAUGGAUGAAAUUUCUUUGUAUAUGAAUUGCAAACAAUCAAUAGUUGUGUGCUGUAAGUAAAACUGUAUCUACAUUUUCUUGAUGCAAUCUUAGUGAAACAUUCCCUGUAAUCAAAUAUUCAUGUGAAAAGAAGGAAGGAUAAUGGAGUUGAUUAAUACAUCAAUAAGAGAAAGAAAAUUAUUUUAUUUAUUAAUAAUUUUUGAUAAAUUUAAAAUUUAUAAUAAGGGAAAUUUUAGUAAAUUUAUCAGUUAUGAUACAAUACCAUACCAUCAAACCAACAAUAAAACUGUUAUUAAACAAUAGUGAAUGAUAUAGUCGAUCCAAACAUUGUAUUGUACUAUACCAUACAGUACAAUACCAUACCAUAUUGUACCAUACAUUAUGAAACCAUGUCAAACCAUCAUCCAAACAGAGCCUAAGAAGAGUGUAUAAACUUCAACAAAAAACACGAGAAAGAUUUAUGAGUUGACAACUAUCAAAAAUAACAUCAACGAUACUAAUUCUUCAACUCAUGCAACAUAACAAGACUAUUUAUGUAGGUAUAAAUCUUCUCUGAAAAUUUAGUUGUUCAAGACUCAUGAAACAAAAAUUUAGAAUUAGAUUGAAAAUUCACAUUUUUUUUUUGAUAAAAAUAGCUUUAAAUUUUUUUGAACGAAGUACUUUGCUAUUAUGAUAAUAAUGGAGUAACAAUUCAGUAGAUUUAUUCUUUUGAUACUGCAUGAAACUUUAUUAAUGACUUAAUGAGGAGAAAAGACACUACAUAUUUCUUGGCCACAUAUUUGAUAUUCAUGUCCUAUAUAAUCACCAGAUAUUAGGUUUCUUACGUUAACUCUUGAACUACUCCCUGAUACAUAUAUAAUAAUGGGUAAAUCAUUUCCAUUUAUUUAAUUACCACAUAAUAAUUAUAUCACUAGGUAUAUUUUUUUAAGAUAAUGCUACAUUAAUUAACAAGAGCUCAAAUCAUAAUAUGUAAUUAAAAAAUUUAAUAUACUUACCUCAUUGUCAUCGACACUUGUCAACCCAUGAGUUUUUGAUGAAUCACCUUCAACAAAGUUUUAAGUGAAUCUAACAAUCAUUAAAUGAAUACUACUUUCCUCUUUCAAAUUAUUUUGCUUGACUCAAAAAUUAAUUAAUGUUUGAUGUAAAAUUUGAUUAUAGAAUCUCUAAUUGUAUAUCUUAAAUUUAAUAGCUAAAGAUUCGUUCAAAUUCAAAAUGUAAAACUUUAUAUGUUAUUUCUAGGAUCUAAGAAUCGGGUAAAAAGAUUAAGUGAAAACCCUUAGAACCAUAAUCUCACAUGAUUGACCAAAUCGUAUGAGACAUAUGAUUUAUAAGAAAUUAAAUAAAAGACUUUAACUAGUUGGCAAGAUGUAAAUAAAUAAACAAAUUCAAAUACAAUACUACAAAAUGAAAUCACAACAUUAAUUCCACAAUUUAUAAGAAAAUCUAUAUAUAAAAAUGAAUCUUACAUUUUUAAUUUUCUAUUUUAUUUUUGUCCGAAACCUAUAUUGAUUUAAGGACACGAUUGAAAAUUUUACCUUGAAUAAUGAUGCUGGCACCCACAAAGAAAUUCAUUUUCAAAUGAAUUUUGUUACCUGCUAAAGAAUUACAAAGAUUUAAUCAAACUCAAUGACAUUGAGCUAUGAGAAUAAUAUAAACAAACACACACACAUAACAUACACAAACAUAUAGUUCAUUAAAAAUAAAGGAAUAUAUAUAUAAAUUUAAAUGCCGCAUACCUUUCAGAGAAGAAGAGAAGAAUGAAAAUGAAUUACAUCUUCAUAGGUUUUAUAGAGGAAACUAUAUGUCUAGAAAAGAUUACAAUAAUUUCUAUUUAAUUCACUUAUGAUUUUAAAGGCAUAGUCAUUAAUUUUAGUUUGACUCACUUUUAAUUCUAACUGAUACUAAUAAAUUAUAAUAAAGGCAUAGUCAUUAAUUUUUAUUUGACUCACUUAUAAUUCCACUGAUUGAUACUCCGUUACUAAAUACUUGUCUCUAUUUUGGUUUGCAUUUUCUUAGGAAAAAAUUAAUUACAGGCUAAAUUGAUUAAAUUACCCUUAUUAAUUAAUUUUUUCUACUUAAUACUUCUCUUUUUUGCACUAUAUUAAACGUCUCUUCAUAUUUAUGACUAAUGAAAACUGUGCAAAAAAUAAAUAAUUAUGACUUAAUUUUUUAAAAAAACAAGUAUUAUGAAAUAUCUAUUUUUAAUAAGAACGAUAAAUAUUUAGGAAUGAGGUAAUAAUAUACACUAAAGUCAUAAUGAUUAAUAAAUAUGUUAAAUUUGGAAAACAUAAGAGAAUCGCAAUGAUCAACCAAAAGCCUUGUAUGACUGAUAUCGUAAAUUAAUUAUAAUCAUACUUGAUAUGAAUAAAUACUUAGAUAUUAUAGUGUGAAAUUGCUAAGACAACACUUGAUUAAUAGAGCAUUCUAUUUGGGCUAGAUAAGUGAUGCCCCUGCAAGCACGGGCCCAACACAGUGAUUUAAUCCCUUUAUUAAAUAUAUCGAGUCUGUGUAGUAAAACAAUACAAAAUCAUAUAAAUUAAGAUAUGAUAAUAUAAUACAACCCGCGUUCAGUGAAUAGAGGAAUAUUAAUUUACAUCCCAUCGUGUAAAAUAUUAAAGUGAACAACUAAACAUUGGAUUGCCCAAGUAAUUGGUCAAUAAAGGUGAAUGAGCAAAACAUAAUGUCUUCCGUGUCUUCCACCUUUAUGUCCAUAUUGAUGUCUCUAGUACUCCAGCUUGACGCUGCAAAAGUAGUAGUUAUGGAUAAAAAAUUGUGUUGUUAAAACAAAUAAAUCCCCAGCAACUCUACUUUUAAUACUGAAUUGAUGUAAAAGUUGAACCACGAAUCGCAAUGCAAUCCUAAAUUAGUGUAUACAUUCAUUUCAGAAAAAAAAAUAGUAUUACAUAAAUUUCAGAAUGUUGACAAGUAGUAUCAAGAGCUAAGGUGAUCUUAUGUGUUUUUUCAGGCGAGAGAGAAAUGAUUAGUAGCCAGUUCCUUGAAUGUUUUGGGAAAAUCUAUCAACAAUACUCAAGGAAAUUUUAUCAAUAAAACUAUCAUUACUCUCUACAUUCGGCUAUAGUAAACUAUUAGUUCAUAUAUUUUUUUUUUUUUUUAAUCAAGUUUCUUUAGGAUAUUUUGUAAGUACUUUCUGAAAGAAUUUAGAUUGUAGGAAUGCAGGGUACCUGUAUUAUAUUCUUAGGAUAUAUUCAUGAAUCUAAAAGUGACAGAAUUGUCUAUUGAAUUGAAAAAAAUUAAACAAAUUUUCAUUAUUUAAGCCCAUGUCCAAAGAGCAAUAUGAAAAAACAAAUCAAAGUUUGUAGCAGACAAAAAAAUGUAAACACUAUGUCAAAAUGUUAUAUCUAAUAGCAUGAAAAAGUGAAUCAGUAGAUUUGUUGUUCUUUAUAGCUUCGUCGGUUAUUUCAUUUGAUCAUUGCCACAGAACCCUUGUUGUCAUAUUCAUCUUCAAUCUCCUCCUAUUUAAAGAUACGGAUGACAUUGUUUUCUCUUUUAUAAUUUUAUGUGCUCGUAAAAUCUAGAGAUAUUAUCUAGGCACUCUUCCUAAGUUCAAAAAAAAAAAAAAAAACUUUGCUCUUAACCCAUUUGGAUUGGCUUGUUUUAAGUACUUUUAAGUCAAAAUUGAUUUUUAAGUACGUGUUAGAAUAUAUUUAAAAAGUGCUUAUAAACACUUAAUUUUAAGCUAAAAUACUAAAAAUAAGUCAAAAGUAGGAUGGCAAUGGGGCGGUGCGAGUGAGGGGCGGUUCGGGUUUUAAGCUAUGCGGAGCGGUGCGUGUUUUAUGCUAUGCAGGAUGGUGCAAGUUAAAGUAAGUUUUUUUUUUAAAUGGUGCGGCGCGGUGCGGGUUGCGGUUAUAUGCGGAUUUAAAUUAAAAAAUGCUAAAAAUUAGUAUUAUUCUCGUGAAUAUACCUAAAAUUAUAUGUAUUUUUUACUUAAAAUUUUAUGAUACUUAAAAUGACAUGUAUAACACUAAAAAUAAAUAAUUUUAUAUUUUUAAAAAUAUCUCUAUUUAUUUUUAAAAAAUAUAAUAUUUAAUCAUUACUUGUACACGUGAUACUUUUUGAUAAUUUCUUAUUGAAAAGUGAUAGAAUAGAAAAUAGUUGUUAUUUUAGAUUUGAAAAUAUUAUGAUUUUCAAUGGAGUUACGAAUUUUUUAAAACAAGAAGAAAAACAAAAAUAUGAGGCGGUGCGGUGCGGGUAUACGCGAGUAUGAGUGCGGGGCGAAUUUAUGCGCGUUUAAAGGUAAUGCGGUGCAGUGUGAUUUUAAAAUUUGCGGGUUUAGAAAAAACCCGCACCGCACCAUUGCCACCCCUAGUCAAAAGUCAUAAAUUAGAAAUUUUAACUUAUGAUUUUUGAUUUAAAAUGCUAAAAAUAAAUUAAAAAGCUAUAAGUUAAAAUUUCUAGCUUAUGGCUUAUAAAUCAAAAGUCAAAAAGCUAAAUGCCAAUCAAAAAGCCAAAUGCCAAUCCAAAUAGGCACAAAAACGAAUAUCAUAACUACAUUAACAACAACAGACACACACUAAUUAAGUACCUGGUAUAUAGUUUUUCAAUAACUUUCAUAGCCAAAUUUAAGCUAUCUAAAUAUCUAUAAUUCUAUAAAGAGCAUCUUUCUAAUGAGAACCUUUAAAGUUAUAAAAAUAUAGAUCAAAACUAGAGAUAUCAUGUGGAAUAUAAAUAAAGACAUUUUGCCCAUAUGUAAGUUACACUUACUUGGCACAAAUAGCCUGUCAUCAUUCUUGAAAUACCUAGUUUAAAAAUCGUAUUCCUAUUUCGUUUGCAUGAAAUGAUUCAGAUAAAAUUUACAGCUUCUGCUUGCACUUGCACCGUUCAAAUCCAUUUUAUAUUCAUGAUAUGCUAACUAAAAUACUGUUACAUCCUAGUGUUAAGCACUUAUAAGACGGCUCAAUGAAAAAAAAAUAAUAGAGCCAUGAAAUUGAGGCAGAUAAACAGAGUAAAUGAUGAAAAUAAAAAAAAUUAGACAAUAUAAAUUACCAAUAAAAUUGUUAAACUCCCACCAUUGAUGGAUCACUGGACAGAGAUGAGAGAGUUAUCUAGGAAAAAUAAGGGAGAGAAAGCUAACUGCUUGCAUUACUUUGUAAAAUGUACAAGAGUGAGUCUACAGAAUAUCUACACCUGCACUUUUAUAUAACUGCCUAAUCCUCUUAACCGAUAGCUGUCAAUCACUCAAUUUAAUCCUAACUAACUCAACCAACACAUCAGCCACUAAUAGUUACACUGAUUUACAUGUAUGCCACUAAUCACCUACAACAUCUUUGCUUAUUAUUUCAACACCCCCCUUCAAGGUAGGUGGUGUGAAAAUGUUCAAUACACCUAGCUUGGACAACAUAUAAUAAUGAUGAGCUCCUCCAAGACCUUUAGUGAGUAAAUUAGUCUCUUGUUCACUGGUUGGGAUGUACACUGGAUGCAUUAGCUUCUGUUGCACCUUCUCCCUUAUAAAAUAACAAUCAAUCUCUAUAUGCUUUGUCCUAUCAUGAAAAACUGGAUUAUUUGCUAUCUGUAUGGCUACUUUACUGUCUGUAAGUAACUCAAUAGGAGUAGGAAUCUCAACUCCCAGGAACUUGAACUAUCCUGUUAACCAUAUCAACUCUGAGACUGUCAAAGCCAUACUUCUGUAUUUCGACUCUGCUGAGCUUCUUGCAACUGUGUUUUGUUUCUUUGACUUCCAUGAAAUUAAUAAACCUCCAAACUUCACAAGAUAUCCUAUAACUGACUUUUUUAAAUUGGGGCAGCUUGCCCAAUCAGCAUCACAAUAUGCUUUCAAUGAUAUGUUUCCUCCUGAGCUUAACAGAAUGCCAAGUCCAGGCUCAUUUUUAAUAUAUCUCACCACUCUAUACGCAGCUUCCAAAUGAGACUUUUUGGGAUGUUGCAUGAACUGGCUUAGUGUUUGUACACUAUAAGCUAUGUCUGAUCUAGUUAGGGUCAAAUAUAAGAGUUUCCCAAUCAAUCUCUGAUAACUUUUUACAUUACUCAAUGCUGAAUCUUCCACUUCAUUACAAUGCUUAUCAUAUUCCAUGCUAGUCAAUUUGUGAUUCUGCGCCAGUGGUGUAUAAGCAGGUUUUGAACCUGUUAAUCCUAAUUUAGCUAUUAGCUCCAUAGCAUACUUCCUUUGACAUAAUACAAUCCCCUUUUGUGACCUAUAACUUCAAUGCCCAGAAAAUACCUCAAAGUGCCAAGAUCUUUAAGUUUGAAUGCUUUAUGUAAGAUAUUUUUGGCUUCCUGUAUUAAACCAUCAUCAUCAUCGGUAAUUAGCAAAUAAUCUACAUAAACAAGUAUGAUAACUUGUUUGCCAUACUUGUUCAAUAUAAAAAGAGAAUGAUCAUGCUAACUCUGAAUAAAACUAGCCAACAAAAGAGCAUUAGAGAGCUUUAGGUUCCAUUUUCUAGACGCUUGCUUUAAGCCAUAUAGAGAUUUGAGUAGCCUGCAACUCUUAUUCCCCCCUUGGCUAUCAAAUCCAGGUGGAAGUUGCAUGUAAACUUUUUCUUCAAGAUCACCUUGCAAGAAGGCAUUAUAAACAUCCAUAUGGUAUAAGGACCAAUUCUUCAUAGCAGCCAAAGCUAAUACAGCUUGAAUUGUGACCAUUUUGACCAUGGGAAAGAAGGUUUCUUGGUAGUCUAAACCUUCUUGUUGGCUAUAACCUUUAGCAACAAGCUGAGCCUUAAACCUCCCUACUUCUCCAGUAGACUUAUAUUUGAUCUUGUAUACAAUCAACAACCAAUGGGAACCUUGCCCUUAGGUAAGUCCACUACUUCCCAUGUAUGGUUAUGAACUAAAGCAUUGAGUUCACUCUGUAUAGCAUCGACAUCUGGGAUCAGUGAUGGCUUUACCAUAACAACUAGGUUCAAUAUCAGAGGAAAGUGCUACAACAUAAGCCCGAAAAGAAGCUGAAAGUGAAUUGUAACCUAACACAUUAGACAUAGGAUAUUUACAAGCUGACCUAGUUUUAUGAGAACAGACAAAAUAAGACAUCCAUGCUGGAGUUUUAGAACCCCUAGAAGACUUUCUCAACACUGGAACAAUAUUAUGAGAUAUGGAAGGCACUGCAAUAUGUGAAAGAUGGCCAUAAGGUUCGGAAGAUGAAACUAGUGAUUCACUUGGAGCCGUAACAGGUGGAGAAGAUGUAACUGGUGCAUUAGCAGAAGGUAAUGCAUCAUGAGCAAGCACAAACACUGGAGUAGGCACAUCUAUUGAUUCUAAGAAUACAGGAAGAGAAUAAACCUACUUCAUCUGUUGGAAAGGAAAGAUGUGCUCUCUAAAAGUGACAUCCCUACUUAUAAACAUCUUCCCAGUCUUGAAGUCAUAUAAUUUGUAAGACUUUUGAGAGGUAGCAUACCCCAUAUGUACAACAACUACAGAUCUUGGUUCAAACUUAUCAAUAAUGUGAGGAAUGGUAGCAAAACACAAACAACCUAUCACUCUUAAAUGAGUCAAGCACUAGAGUGAUAAAACACUUCAUAGGGAGAUUUACCAUGUAAAACAAUAGAUGGUAUCCUAUUAAUGAGAUAUACUGCUGCAAGUACACAUUCACCCCACAAAUGUAAUGGUAUGCUUCCUUAAAAUUUGAUAGCCAUUGCCAUUUCCAAGAUAUGUCUAUGUCUCCUUUCAACUACUCUAUUUUGCUGUAGAGUAUGAGGACAACUGGUUUGAUGCUCAAUGCCACUGUUUAAUAGGAAUUCUUUACAUUCUUUAGUAAGGAAUUCUCCACCAUUAUCUAUUUUUGUCAUCUUGAUUUUCUUGCCAAACUGCAUAUUAAACAUCUUGACAAAAUGCUUAAACAUAACAAUUAAGUCACUUUUCAAUUUCAACAAGUAUACCCAUAUCACUUUAGAAUGAUCAUCAAUAAUGGUCAAAAAGUGUCUGUGACCAUUAAAAGUAGAAACUCUAUAAGGCCCCCACAAAUCCAUAUGAAUCAAUUAAAAAAUUACAGUAGAUCUAGUACUACUCAAAGGGAAAGACUUUCUCACUUGUUUAGCUAAUGGACACACUGUACAAUUAUUAAACUUGUACAUAGGAACUUUAAGCUUCAGAAUAUCCAUCUUCUUCAUCACACUUGCAGGUAUAUGUCCAAGUAUUUUAUGCCAAACUUCAAAAUCUACUGUGGAGACUUCAGCUGAACAACUAUUCACUUUAUUAAUGAUAUUCAGAUCUUGUGUUUCAUCAUGAUCUUCAACCUUGAGAACAUAUAGACCUACGUCUUCUUUACCAAUCCCCUUCACUCUUCCAUUGUAUAGGUCCUGGAACACAUAAAAUUUUGGAAAGAAAAGUACUAAGCAAUGCAGUUCUCUUGUCAGUUUUGACACAGACAAUUAGUUAAACUUGAAGUCAGGUACAUAUAGGACUUCUCCUAUAUCAUAACCAUUCCAAAUGUUACAAAUACCUUGAUAAGUAACAUUCACACUCUUACCAUUAAGGAGAUGCACAUUAUCCUUUCUGAAAUCUGGUAAAUCAGUCACAUUUGUCAACAUUUUUGAAUUGUUAGUCUUAUGGGUGGCUGCUCCUGUAUCUAUAACCCAAGAAUCAUUGUUUUUCCCUNNNNNNNNNNNNNNNNNNNNNNNNNNNNNNNNNNNNNNNUACAUUUGCAGGUACAUUUUCUGCUCUUUUUUCUUUGGUUAAGAGUCCAAUAAUCUAAUCAUAUUGCUCAUUUGUGAAAUAAUUCUGCAUUCCUGAUCCAUGAUUUUUGCUAGUACUGCUGCUUGCCUCAUGAUCAAUAUCCCUGUGACAUUGCACAUUCUUCAUAUUUUCUUGUUUCUGAUAUUGGCUACCCAGCAUAUAUCCAUGACGGUUACCUACAUUUGCUCUGUAACCUGCAUCUUCACUUUCAAAGGAAUUGUUGUCAUUCAUUACUGCAUCAGCUUGCCUGUAUAUUGGCUUCUUUUUUUCCUUUAAAACCUAAUGGCUAACCAACAUGUUUAUAACAAGUCUCUUUUGUAUGCCAUUUGUUUUUACAAACAUCAUAAAAUAAGUGGCCAAAGCUUCUAUGUUUCUCAAAUCUCUGGGGAGUCUCAACAACAUUGUAUCUCUGCAGACUGUUACGAAACUUCUCUUGUAUAAUACCCCAAACUUUCUUUAAAGUCUAAUUUAGUCUCCAAAAUAUUUAGGAAUGACUUCAUAAGUGAGUAAUUCUUUCCAACGAUACCAAUUUCACAAAAAUCCAAUAUUGGGGUAAAAAGUUAUGGACGUUUUAUAGAAAGCAAUCUAAACAACCCAGGUGCGAUGGACCAUCGAGCUAGCGAUGGACCAUUGUCCAGACCAUCACAGCUGAGGCAGUAGUCCCAGUUCUAGUCCAGGUGCGAAUGGUCAGUCCGACGGACCAUCGACCCAGCGACGGACCGUCGCACCCACCGUCACAUAUCCCGUUUAGUGAUUUUUAGUCAUUUUAGAAAGGACUUUUUGGUCCUUUCCACCCUUUUUAACACCUAUUUAUAUCAGAUUAAGACUCCUAACUUCAUUAUUCAUCUAUUACAUCAAAAGCUAGGGUUUCUUUCAAGAUCAAAACCCUUCUUCAAGAAAACUCAAGAAACUAAUAAUCUCUCCAAGAACCUUCAAGAAAGAGUCUCCUAAGGUAUGUUAGAUGUUGAUUCUUGGGUUCCUUCCACCCAAGAAGUCCAAGAAUCCUUUUCAAAAUUACAAAUUUUAUGUAUUUAUGAGAUUUCAUGAUAUAUGUGUAUUGAAGUUCAUGAUUAUGUGUUGUUGAGUUUUAAUUCGUGAUUGAGACUACAGGUAUUAAGAAUUGAUUCUAGCAUGUGAUUAACUGUGUGAUAUUCAUAAUAAACCCUCUUCAGGUUGCAUGUUGGUUAAUGAAAUCAUGAUACUUAGGUGUAGUAUUUGUUGUAUAACCAAAGCAUGCUCCCCAUAUAUUUGAUAAAAUUCUUGUGUGAAGGAAAUAAGGUCAUUAUAGCAUGUUGACAAGAAAUCCCCAAAUUGUGUAUAAAUUUAUGAAUGCCAAGUAUUUGUUGAAAUACCUUAGUAAAUGAAUUAUGAUAUGUUGCAUGCAUUCUUAUGCUUAUGCAUUCCUUAUUGAAUGAAUUAUGAGAAAUUAGUAUGCAUCCCUAUACCUUUACACAUUUUAAGAUUCCAAAGUGCUUGAAGAAAUGCUUUAGUGAUUGUAAUGGUGAAUGAAAGUCCAUUGUCAUGGUUAUUCAAGAAUGGUUAUGUUUAACUUUUAUAUUAUCGAUUCCUGGGGGUAUUUAUACCUGACAAAUUAGCUGCAAGUCUAGAACGAGUAUCAGUUUCAAGAUACUUUCAAUCAAGCCAUGAUUAGUAGAAUCCAGACAGUUACAAAACGUAAGGAAAUUCAGUAAUCUCAGUAUUAGUGCAAUUUAGUCUCAAUAUCAGUCUAAUCCAACUCAGUAUUCAGUUCCAGUUCAAUAGUAUUCAGUAUUGAGUUCAGGCUUCAGUGAAACUCAGCAAGCUAACAAGAAUUCAGUAGUAUUCAGUCAGAUAGUAGAAUCCGAUCAGCAUUCCGUCAGAUAACGGAACCAAGCAAACUCAGUCAGACUAGUCAAGUAAUAUAGUCAAUAACAGAUUCAACUCCAUCUAAGUUCAGUUAAGAAUCAGUUCAGAGUCUUUCAGUUGCGAGUAGGAACUAGCAGCGAGCGAGUGCAGAGAUGACGACUUCCCCGUUAGAGAGAAAGAGUUGUUAGCAGUAAUCUCUAUACUCUAGAACUGCGUAGCUAGUGCAGGAUCAGGAGUCACCCGCUAGAUUAAGGCUUGACUACCUUCUACGAGUCACCCCUUGCCUUAGGCUUGACUUCUUGUUUAGGGUCGCCCAUUAGAGAGGCUUGACCAUAGUAGUGUCUAUAUCCGUGGCACGGUAUUGACACCCUUCUAGCUGGGGUUACAGGUUGGACCCCACUAGUUCAGAUUUGGGGCAUGUCGGUUAAGUGAGAACUCCCACAAUUACAGUUCAGUCUCAGACAUCACAGCAACACUCAGAAAUUAGGACUGUCAGAUACAAUCACCUAUCUCAGUAAGGAACUUAGAUAGUUCCAUAGAUUCAUGGACCACCCACUAAAUAGGCCUGGUCUCAUAUAAAGUUAAUCAAUAUUAGUACUAAUAGAUCCAGAGAUCACCCGUUAGAUAGUCCUGAUCUUAAACUAAGUCCAUUAUUUUUAUUAUAAAAAGAUUCAGACAUUUUUUGCUACAUAUAAUCUAAUCUCAGAUACAAUUAUUCCUUAUCAUUAUUAGUAGAUUCAGAGAUUAUUCAUUAGAGAGGUCUGAUAUCAGAUUUAGUCAGUCGAUAGUAGCAAGCUCAGAACUCAGUUAUUGAUAUGAGUAGAUUCUGUUAUUCAGUAUUCUAGAGUUAGUAAACUCAGAUAUCAGUAUUAGUAGACCCGAUCAUCAGUAAGUCAGUAUUCAAAAACCAAUAUUCAGAGUUAGUAUUCAGUGUUACUGCGAUUCUAGUUUUGGUUUGUGCGUUCAUGCAUAUAUCCCUAUAUUCAGUUAAGUAAUGUUCAUGCAUAAGCCCUUGCAUUCAGCCUUACCUCAUCUAGCAUACCAGUACAUUUAAAGUACUGACGCAUACUUUCCUGCGCUAUGGUGUCUUAUACCAUAGGUUCAGACGUACGGGAUCCAGAGCACCCAUAGCAGUCCAAACUUAGUCAGCAACAGUAGACGUAGCAUUGAGUCCUCUUCAUUCGAGGAUGAUCCGUAUUUUAUUAUUGCAUUACAUUUGGUUUAUUUUUAGCAGAUGGAGUUAGUUGGGUACAUAUCCCAUCAACUCCAUAGUUCAGAUAGUUUAGAGGCUUUUCAAACAGAUGUAUCAGUAUUUAGUUUCUAGUUUUGAGUAUUUUAGAUGUUUUGAACCUUAUGGAAAGUUUCUGCCAGUUUUAUGCAUUUAUUACCUAUAUUAUCCAGUGCUCAGGUACAAAUAUCAGAAGAGAGUUAACUUGUGGUCCUUCAGGGUCAUGAGCACCGUGUGGCAUUUUGGUUAUAGAAAAUCGGAGCAUUACAUCUUGGCUGUCUCUAGUAUUGUAUCUCCUUUGAUUUUCAUUCAUACUCAACAAAGCUGUACCUUCAUUCAUUUCACUCACUACAUUUCCAUGUGAACCAAAAUUAGACUCACAAAUAAUUCUCUGACUUUCUUCAUGAGCUAACAUAGCAUGAGCCUGACUGACGGAAAGAGUUGGUACCAUUAAGAGAAUUUGACUUCUAACAGAAUUAUACGACUCAUUCAAUCCCAUCAUAAAUUGAAAAAGCUUUUGUUGUUCCAAAUGAACAAGAAAUUCUUUUGACUUAGCACAACCACACACACUAGGAAUCAAAGACUGAUACUCAUCCCAUAAUAAACGUAAUUGUAAAUGAGAGAUAUUAUCAGUACCUUGAGAAAUUGUGGCCAUUUCUCUAUGUAAAUUGUAGAUUCUCGAUCCAUUCACCUUAUCGAAUCACUCCUUAAGAUCCAUCAUACUGCAUGAGCAUCAUCUGCAUACACGAUUCUAUUUACCAAUUCCUUAGAUACCGUAUUCAUAAUCCAAGUCAGAAUCAUGGCAUUAACGCGCUCCCAUUCUUCUACCGUAUCACCCUUGAACAAGCUCCUCUUGCAUGUACCAUUGAUGAACCCCAACUUUCGUUUAGCUCAAAGUGCAAUUUUCAUUGCUCUGCUCCAGACCGAAUAAUUCUUAGAUCCUUUUAGCUGGACUGAGAUUAUCACAUUUCCUGGGUUAUUAGAUGGUUGUAAGUACAGGGGAUGGCGAGGAUCAUUGAUAUCCAAAUCCACCAUUGUUAGCCCACGAAGAAAAACUCUAAAUCAGUUGAAACAAAUCAACAAUGUUUUCGCAAGCCCAAGGUGUACCUUUGAUCUGCCUAACCUGACUCUGAUACCAUGUUAAACUCCCACCAUUGAUGGAUUACUGGACAAAGAUGAGAGAGUUAUCUAGGCAAAAUAAGGGAGAGAAAACUAACUGUUUGCAUUACUCUGUAAAAUGUACAAGAGUGAGUUUACAAAAUAUCUACACAUGGCCUUUUAUAUAACUUCCUAAUUCUCUUAACCGACAACUGUCAAUCACUCAAUUUAAUCCUAACUAACUCAACCAACACAUCAACCACUAACAGUUACACUGAUUUACAUGUAUGCCACUAAUCACCUAUAUCAUCUUUGCUUAUUAUUUCAACAAAAAUAAAAGAGGAAAACCUCAAUAAAAGAUUACCAAUGAUGCAAAGAGGUAUUAGGAUGAAGAUACAUGGAUUCCUCCAAACUCGAUGACCUCUAAUCUUACUUUGAACAUAUGGAGAUGAAAUAUAUAAAUUAAUCUUAAUAUCAGUUCAAAGAAUUUUCUUCAUUUGGAUUACUUUAUUUUUGCAGAAACAGUAUCAACCUCAAAUACAAUUCAAUAAAUAAUAUCACAAUAGAGAAACAGAGAGAAAUUGUAAUCAAAUAGAGAAUUUUUGAAAAGAACCCAAAUAAAGUGAGAAAAAAAAUGAAGAUGAUUAGAAAGAAUGAAAAAUUUCUAGAUAAAGGUAAAAAAUAAUGAUGUGGUGGAUAUUCAAACUUAGAAUAGCUGACAUGUUGAAAUUUGGUCUGAUGUGAAAGCCAUUAAUUGAAAUGACCAAAAUACCCUUCAUCAAUUUAACAAAGACAUGAAGCACACAUGUCAAUCCUUACUGGCACUUCUAAUAUAGUAGAAAAAUAUCUAUGAUGUAAGAAAUAUAUGUAAUUAUUAUAAUUUAAAGUUUGACAGAAAAAUUAAAACUUGACCAAGUUUCUUUAUAAAUAUUUAAAAUUUAUAUUUAAUUAAUGAUGUCACAAUUUAUGGAAAAAUCUAAACUAUAUUUUGUUUUAAAAUGUCAAAUAUGACUUAAAACUUAAUGUAAGGAAUAUAUAAAAUUAAAAAAUGUGGUCCGGGAGUGGUCAUUCGCAACUUUUCAGGUGAUUGGAUCACGGGUUUCUCUACCAUGGGCAAUAGCCAUUGUCAUACACUGGCUGAACAUGAAGCCUUAAAAAUUGGUAUUGACUUAGCCUCACACGUAAUAUCUUACCUAUUAUUAUUGAAACUGACUCGGUGGAGGUAAUCCAACUGUUACAGCAUCCUACCAUGCCGUUUACUGAUAUUUUAUCUCAAUACAGGUCAAUGUUGAAGAGCAUGGGGAAUCCAGUGGUACAACAUAACAUUCGGGAGGCUAACAAAGUAGCAGAUAGUUUAGCCCGUGCAAGUUUCUCUUUAUCCCAGUUUUGUUAAGUAAUUUCUCUUCAGUCUUCUCCGUAUUUGGCCGUUGUACAUUUGCAAAAUGAUGUUGAUGGUGUUGUUAGUGAUCAUUUUGUGUCCUGUUCGUUGUUUAAUAACCUCUUAUGUCUAGGAAUCAGUCUAUUUUAUCUCAUGUAAAUAGCAAUGCUAAGCCUAUUACUACUAUAACUACUGUAUGUAAUUCCACCAGUUCAGGUGCCUCUCACAGAAGAGAGAUCUCCCUGUUUUGUAAUGACUCUCUCUCUCUCUCUCUCUAUAUAUAUAUAUAUGUAUAUAUAAUAUCCAGUUUACCAAAAAAAAUAAAUUAAAACUACAUCAUUAUUAAAGUGUAAAACAUUUCAUGAUUUUAUCAAAUUAUACUACAUUCAUUAUAUAUUUUGCACAUAUUAAUUAGGCAUUUUUAUAUAUAACUUAUCUAGGUGACAGCCUUAGUCUAGAAAAUCAUAUCAUAUUAUACAAGUAACUGGGCAUUAGAUUAAUUAGAUUGUACUUUUAUUUAUGUGUAUGGAACUUACUAGUUACUAUAUUUAGGAUCUAACUAUCAAUGUAACUAUAUGUUUAUUUAACUAGGGUGCGAUUUAAGUGAAAGGGAGCAUAAAUAGUUGAAUUUAGAGAAGGUGCCUUAUAUAAAAAAUCACUUAUACGAUAAAAGACACCCUCAACUUUCACAAGAGUUUUACACAUAUUCUCAAUAUCACAAAACAAUCUGAAUUUAAAGGAGUUAUUCUUUACUAUUUAUAGUCUAAUCUAAUUAGUAAUAAAAUAUCCUUAGUGAAAUAAGUGUCUUUUUAAGCAUGCAACUUGUAUUUAGAGAAUAGCUUCUUUUUGCACAUAAAUAUUUUUUUCAUACUUUUAUUUUCUUUUAAUUGGAGCCUUGUACUUUCACUUUAGCUUGCUAGUGAUUGUCAAGUCUUCCUUCCAAAUUCCCAACACAAUGACUUGAUGUGAUGUUCUUGAGCUACUCAGCUUCCUUGACGUGCAUGCAUCAAAAGGUGAGAUCUGAAAAUGAUAUAUUAAUUGUGAAUAGGAUAAAGAAUCUGAAUUACCAGCUAAUUAUAGAGACAUGAACAUAAAAGAUAUUACAAAAGAACAUGUAGUACCUUACCUCCAUGCUAAAUCAUUAAUGAAGUUUCAGACAAUGUCCAACGAAUGAAUCAUUGGAUAGUUAGUCUAUUAUUAGCAUAUCAGCAAAAUACUUUAUUCCAGAGACUUUUAAGGAACUUUUAUUAAAGAGGGAACGCGAAUUUUCCAUUCGAUCCUAAUUUUUUGUCUCAUGGAUUUAAGACAACUAAAUCCUCAGAGAAAAUUCAUACCCUACAUAAACGGCCUUGUUAUGUUACAUGAGCUGAAGGACUAGUAUGAUUGGUGAUAUUGUCAAUGGAUGUCAAGUAAAAAUACUUUUUUGUGUUUUCUAUUGUAAUAUAUGUUCUUUCCUUAAUUUUGUUGUUGUUUCUUUGUUUAAUGUGGAAUUGAACAUCUUUCAUGUUUUUUUAUUUGUUUGACUUGGAUGACAAAUAAAGAGUCUUUAGAAUUAUAACUCUUGAAGAAAUAAUUAAGGCAUUCAUGAAGUAGGUUUCUUCAUAGAAUCCUUUUUUGUUCUCUUCCUUUUUUUUUUUAAAUCAACACUAAGUUAUUCGAAGUAUUUACUCCGUCAUCCAAAUCAAGAAAACAAAAAUUUAUGAAAGAUGUGCAAUUUACAUUAAAAGAAGUAACAACAACAAAACUAAGAAGAGAGUAUAUACUUCAACAAAAAAUACGACAAAGAUUUACGAGUUGACAACCACCAAAAACAACAUCAACGAUACUAAUUCUUUGGGUCAUACAACAUAACAAGACUAUUAAUGUAGGUAUAAAUCUUCUUUGAAAAUUUAGUUGUUCAGGGCUCAUGAAACAAAACUUUAGAAUUAGAUUGAAAAUUCACAUUUUUUCUUUGAUCAAAAUAGCUUUAAAUUAUUUUGAACGAAGUAAUUUGCUAUUAUGAUAAUAAUGGAGUAACUAUUCAGUAUAUUUAUUCUUUGGACACUGCAUGAAACUUUAUUAAUGACUUAGCGAGGAGAAACGACACUACAUAUUUCUUGGCCACAUAUUUGAUAUUCAUAUCCUAUAUAAUCACCAGAUAUUUCAAAUUCUCCAUUUCAUUGCAGUUACUAUAUUAUUAGAGGCCGCUUAUUAGGUUUCUUAAGUUAACUCUUGAAGUACUUCCUGAUACGUCUAUAAUAAUGGGUAAAUAAUUUCCAUUUAUUUAACUACCAUAUAAUAAUUAUAUCACUAGAUAUAUUUUUUAAGAUAAUAAUACAUUAAUUAACAAGAGCUCAAAUCAUAAUAUGUAAUUAAAAACUUUAAUAUACUUACCUCAUUGUCACUGACACUUGUCAACCCAUGAGUUUUUGAUGAAUCACCUUCAACAAAGUUUUUAGCUAAAUCUAACAAUCAUCAAAUGAAUACUACUCUCCUCUUUCAAAUUAUAUUGCUUGACUCAAAAAUUAAUUAAUGAUCGAUAUAAAAUUUGAUUAUAGAAUCUCUAAUUGUAUAUCUUAAAUUUAAUAGCUAAAGAUGCGUUCAAAUUCAAUAGGUAGAACUGUAUAUGUUAUUUCUAGGAUCUAAGAAUCGGGGAAAACGAUUAAGUGAAAAUUACUCUUUUAUAUUUUUAAGAUUUACUUUUUACCUAGUGAUCAUCAAAUGACAAAUCGUUCAAUCAAGAAAUUUGAAACCCUUAGAACCAUAAUCUCACAUGAUUGACCAAAUCGUAUGAGACAUAUGAUCUAUAAGAAAUUAAAGAAAUGACUUUAACUAGUUGGCAAGAUGUAAAUAAAUAAACAAAUUCAAAUACAAUACUACAAAAUGAAAUCACAAUAUUAAUUCCACAAUUUAUAAGAAAAUCAAUAUAUAAAAAUGAAUCUUACAUUUUUAAUUUUCUAUUUUUAUUUUUUUCUGAAACCUAUAUUGAUUUAAGGACAAGAUUGAAAAAUUUACCUUGAAUAAUGAUGCUGGCACCCACAAAGAAAUUCAUUUUCAAAUGAAUUUUGUUACCCGCUAAAGAAUUACAAAGAUUUAAUCAAGCUCAAUGACAUUGAGUGAUGAGAAUAAUUUAAACAAACACACACACAUACACAAACAUAUAAUUCAUUAAAAAUAAAGGAAUAUAUAUAAAUUUAAAUGCCACAUACCUUUCGCAGAAAAAGAGAAGAAUGAAAAUGAAUUACAACUUCAUAGGUUUUAUAGAGGAAAUUAUAUGUCUAGAAAAGAUUACAAUAAUUUCUAUUUAAUUCACUUAUGAUUUUAAAGGCAUAGUCAUUAAUUUUAGUUUGACUCACUUUUAAUUCUAACUGAUACUAAUAAAUUAUAAUAAAGGCAUAGUCAUUAAUUUUUAUUUGACUCACUUAUAAUUCUACUUAUUGAUACUCCGUUACUAAAUACUUGUCACUAUUUUGGUUUGCAUUUUCUUAAGAACAGGCUAAAUUGAUUAACUUUCCCUUAUUAAUUAAUUUUUUUAUAUUUAAUACUUCUACUUUUUGCACUAUAUUAAACAUCUCUUCAUAUUUAUGACUAAUGAAAAAUGUGCAAAAAAUACAUAAUUAUGUCUUAAUUUUUUAAAAUGACAAGUAUUAUGAAAUAUCUAUUUUUAAUAAGAACGAUAAAUAUUUAGGAAUGAGGAGUAAUAAUAUACACUAAAUCCAUAAUGAUUAAUAAAUGUGUUAAAUCUGAAAAACAUAAGAGAAUCACAUAUGAACAACCGAAAGUCAUGUAUGACUGAUAUCGUAAAUUAAUUAUAAUCAUACUUGAUAUGACUAAAUACUUAGAUAUUGUAGUGUGAAGUUGCUAACACAACACUUGAUUAAUAAAGCAUUCUAUUUGGACUAGAUAAGUGAUACCUGUGCAAGCACGGGCCUAACACAGUGAUUUAUUAAAUAUAUCGAGUCUGUGUAGAAUCAUAUAAAUUCAGAUAUGAUAAUAUAGUACAACCCGCGUUCAGUGAAUAGAGGAAUAUUAAUUUACAACCCAUCGUGUAAAAUAUUAAAGUGAACAACUAAACAUUGGAUUGCCCAAGUAAUUGGUAAAUAAAGGUGAAUGAGCAAAACAUAAUGUCUUCCGCGUCGUCCACCUUUAUGUCCAUGUUGAUGUCUCUACUACUCCAGCUUGACGCUGCAAAAGUAGUAAUAAUGGAUAGAAAAUUUUGUUGUUAAAACAAAUAAAUCCCCAGCAACUCUACUUUUAAUACUGAAUUGAUGUAAAAGUUGAACCACGAAUCGCAAUGAAAUCCUAAAUUAGUGUAUACUUUCAUUUCAGAAAAAAAACAGCAUUACGUAAAUUUCAGAAUGUUGACAAGUAGUAUCAAGAGCUAAGGUGCUCUUAUGUGUUUUUGCAGGUGAGAGAGAAAUGAUUAGUAGCCAGUUCCUUGAAUGUUUUUGGGAAAAUCUAUUAACAAUACUCAAGGAAAUUUUAUCAAUAAAACUAUCAUUACUCUCUACAUUCCGCUACCGUAAACUAUUAGUUCAUAUUUUUUUUCUUUUUUUAUUCAAGUUUCUUUAGGAUAUUUUUUAAGUACCUUCCGAAAGAAUUUAGAUUGUAGGAAUGCAGGGUACCUGUAUUAUAUUCUUAGGCUAAAUUCAUGAAUCUGAACGUGACAAAAUUGUAUAUUGAAUUGAAAAAAAUUAAACAACUUUUCAUUAUUUAAGCCCAAUCAAAGUUUGUAGCAGACAAAACAAUGUAAACACUAUAUUAAAAUGCUAUAUCUAAUAACAUGAAAAAGUGAAUGAGCAGAUUUGUCGUUCUUUAUAGAUUCUUCGGUUAUUUCAUUUGAUCAAUGCCACAGAACCUUUGUUGUCAUAGUCAUCUUCAAUCUCCUCCUAUUUAAAGACACGAAUGACAUUGUUUUCUCUUUUAUAAUUUCAUGUGCUCGUAAAAUCUAGGGAUAUUAUCUAGGUACUCUUUCUAAGUUCAAAAAAAAAAAAAAAUUUUGCUCUUAACCCAUUCGGAUUCGCUUGUUUUAAGUGCUUUUAAGUCAAAAUUAAUUUUUAAGUACGUGUUUGAAUAUAUUUAAAAAAUGCUUAUAAACUGUUAAUUUUAAGCUAAAAUGCUAAAAAUAAGUCAAAAGUAGGAUGACAAUGGGCGGUGCGAGUGAGGGGCGGUGCGGGUUUUAAGCUAUGCGGGAUGGUGCAGGUUAAAGUAUUUUUUUUUUAAAAUGGUGUGGCGCGGUGCGGGUUGCGGUUAUAUGCAGAUUUAAAUUAAAAAAAGCUAAAAAUUAGUAUUAUUCUCGUGAAUAUACCUAAAAUUAUAUGUAUUUUUUACUUAAAAUUUUAUGAUACUUAAAAUGACAUGUAUAACACUACAAAUAAAUAAUUUUAUAAUUUUUUUAAUAUCUCUAUUUAUUUUUUUAAAAAAUGAUAUUUAAUCAUUACUUGUACAUGUGAUACUUUUUGACAAUUUAUUAUUGAAAAACGAUAGAAUAGAAAAUAGUUGUUCUUUUAGAUUUGAAAAUAUUAUGACUUUCAAUGGAGUUACGAAUUUUUUAAAACAAAAAGAAAUACAAGAACAUGAGGCGGUGCGGUGCGGUGCGGGUAUACGCGGGUAUGAGUGCAGGGAGGGUUUAUGCGCAUUUAAAGAUAAUGCGGUACAGUGCGGUUUUAAAAUUUGCGGGUUUAGAAAAAAUCCGCACCGCACCAUUGCCACCCCUAGUCAAAAGUCAUAAAUUAAAAAUCUUAACUUAUGGUUUUUGACUUAAAAUGCUAAAAAUAAUUCAAAAAGCUAUAAGUUAAAAUUUCUAGCUUAUGGCUUAUACAUCAAAAGUCAAAAAGCUAAAUGCCAAUCCAAACAGGCACUAAAACGAAUAUCAUAACUACAUUAACAACUGACACACUAAUUAAGUACCUGAUAUAUAAUUUUUCAAUAACUUUCAUAGCCAAAUUUAAACUAUCUAAAUAUCUAUAAUUCUAUAAAAAGUAUCUUUCUAAUGAGAACCUUUAAGUUUAUCAAAAUAUAGAUCAAAACUGGAGAUAUCAUGUGGAAUAUAAAUAAAGACAUUUUGCCUAUAUGUAAGUUACACUUACUUGGCACAAAUAGUCUGUCAUCAUUCUUGAAGUACCUAGUUUAAAAAUUGUAUUCCUAUUUCGUUUUCAUGCAAUGAUUCUGAUAAAAUUUACAGCUUCUGAUUGUGCUUGCACCGUUCAAAUCCAUUUUAUAUUCAUGAUAUGCUAACUAAAAUACUAUUACAUCCUAGUGUUAAGAACUUAUAUGGUUCAAACGUCUUUGGGUUGGCCCAAAAACAAGGACUAACCCGCCACUAUAAGGCUGACCGAGCCUAAAACAGUCCACAAAUUUGCUCCCCGAUAAGAAGCUCACAAGUAUCCUAAUCCUAAAGGGUUCCAAUGUUUUAAGUGCCAAGGUUAGGAACAUAAAGCCAAUGAAUGUCCAAACCGACGCAAUGUGAUCCUAAGGAAAGGGAUAUUGUAUUACCUUGGUGAGGAAGUGGGUCUUGAAAAAGAAGAGAAUGAGGCCGAUCCUUGAGAUGGAGAGGAACCCGAAAAUGAGCCACAUAAUGAUGAUGAUGAUGAUUGUGAGGAUGCUUAUCCACAAGAAGGGGAGUGCGUGGUUCCAAACUUUGUAGUGAGGCAUGCCAUGAUUAGUAAGGCGAUAAAUGAUCCUAGCCAACGGGAGAAUCUAUUCCAUACUAAAUGCCUUGUGAAGGGAAGUGUGUGCGCUUUGGUGAUAGAUAGUGGUAGUUGUGCAAAUGUUGUUAGUGUUGCUAUGGUGAACUUCUUGAAAUUGCCAACUACAUUUCAUACUAGCCCUUACAAGUUGUAAUGGUUGAAUGAAUAUGGUGAAUUAAAAGUCAUGAGGCAAUGUGUGAUAUGGUUUAAGGUAGGAAACUACCACGACGAAGUUCUUUGUGAUGUAAUACCAAUGCAAACGUGUCACUUGUUGUUAGGUAGACCUUGGAAAUAUGAUAGGUCUACCAAACAUGAUGGGGGGUCUAAUCGAUAUACACUUAAGAAGGAUGGCCGAAAGGUCACACUUCAUCUACUUUUGCCUUCACAAGUGAAUGAGUUGCAUCAAAGGAUGAUAGAAUUGAAAGAAAAGGGGAAGAAAUUCAAAAAUGAAGAAAAAGAGGGGGAACCCGUAGGAUGGGUAGUGGGGAUAUCCGAGGCUGCCUCAACAUCAAAGGGAAAAUAAAACAUGGUGAUGUUGGUUAGAAAGAAGGAACUCUUCAUUGAUCAUGAUGAGGAGACACCCAUGCUUCUUUUGGCACAUUAUUUUAACACUAACCCCACUAAUUCUUCUAUUUCUCCUUUGAUUUCUUGUGUGUUGCAGGAUUAUGAAGAUGUUUUCCCAAAGAACUUCUACAAGGGAUGCCCCCGCUUUGGGGAAUUAAGCACCAAAUAAAUUUUGUGUCGGGAUCACAAUUGCCAAACAAACUGGCUUAUUGGAGCAACCCGACGGAUAUCAAGGAAUUGCAAUGCCAAGUUGAGUAACUCCUUAACAAAGGGUAUAUCAAGGAGAGUAUGAGCCCUUAUACGGUCCCGGUGCUACUAGUUCCCAAGAAAGAUGGGACUUGGCGUAUGUGCAUUAAUUGCCGAGCCAUCAAUAAGAUAACGGUAAAAUAUCGUCACCCUAUUCCUAGUCUAGAUAAUAUGAUUGAUGAAUUGAGUGGUUUGUGUUUGUUUUCUAAAAUUGAUUUGAGGAGUGGCUAUCACUAAAUCCGUAUGCAACUGGGCGAUGAGUGGAAAACCGCCUUUAAGACCAAAUUUAGUCUCUAUGAAUGGAUGGUUAUGCCAUUUGGCCUAACAAAUGCUCCAAGUACUUUCAUGAGGCUAAGGAAUCAUGUGAUGAAGUCUUUUAUCGAAAGGUUUGUUGUUGUCUACUUUGAUGAUGUGUUAGUGUAAAGUAGGUCCUUAGAUGAGCAUGUAAAACAUUUACAAUGUGUGUUUGAUGUCCUCCGAAAGGAGAAGUUAUAUGCUAAUUUAGAAAAGUGUUCUUUUGGUGUCCAAGAAGUUGAAUUUCUUGGUUUUGUGGUGAGUUCAAGAGGGGUCAAAGUAAAUGAAUCUAAGAUUGAUUCUAUCAAAAAUUGGCUAACUUCCAAAACCAUAGGUGAAGUGAGAAGCUUCCACAGGUUGGCUAGUUUCUAUAGAUGUUUCGUCAAAGGAUUUAGAACCAUUGCCGCCCCCUUGACCGAAGUGAUUAAAAAGGAUCGGCCUUUUAAGUGGGGAGAUGAACAAGUUAAGGCCUUCAAGGACUUAAAAUCUAUGCUUAUCUCAGCCCCUUUGUUACAAUUGUCGAAUUUUGACAAGACUUUUGAGGUUGAAUGUGAUGCUAGAAAAGUUGGUAUAGGCGCGUUUUUAAUGCAAAAAUUGAAGCCUAUUGCCUACUUUAGCAAAAAUCUCAAAGGAGCAACUCUAAACUACUCUACGUAUGAUUUAGAGUUGUAUGCCUUGAUUAGAGCCUUGGCCACUUGGAAACAUUAUUUAUGGCCUAAAGAAUUCGUGAUCCGAACGGACCAUAAGUCCUUGAAGCAUCUUCGGGCACAAGAUAAGCUUAAUAAAUGGCAUGCCAAGUGGAUUGAGUUUCUUGAAACUUUCCCUUAUGUUAUUCAUUACAAGAAGGGUAAGGACAAUGUGGUUGCUGAUGCUUUGUCUCAAAAACAUGUUCUUGUGUAUACUUUAUCUUCAAAAUUAAUGGGUUUUGAGAUCUUAAAGGAAUUGUAUCCCAGGACCCUCACUUUGCUCCUAUCUAUAGGGAAUGCGAAGAAUGGGGUAGGGACAAGUGGGAUUUGGCUAGGGGUUCAAAUCCCUAUGCCAAGUUUGGCGGUUACUUGUUUAAAGGUAGGCGAUUAUGUGUACCCUCUAUUUCUUGGAGAGAGUUUUUCAUGAUGAAAGCACAUAAUGGAGGUUUAAUGGGUCACUUCGGGGUCGAAAAGACCCUCGGAAUAUUGGAGGAGCAAUUCUAUUGGCCCAAAAUGCACAAGGAUGUGUCUAGGAUUUGCGGCCAAUGUGUAGAUUGCAAAGGAGCCAAAUCUCGGCUCCAACCUCAUGGGUUUUACACCCCGCUACCCACCCUUUUACAUCCUUGGCUUGAUAUAUCUAUGGAUUUUGUGUUAGGGUUGCCAAGGACUAGAAGAGGUCAGGAUAGUAUCUUUGUUGUGGUUGAUCGGUUUUCUAAGAUGGCACCCUUUAUUCCAUGCUCUAAAUGUGAUGAUGCACCUAGUGUGGCCUCUUUGUUUAUUGAUAAUGUUGUCAAGUUGCAUGGUGUUUCGGGGACCAUUGUGAGUGAUAGGGACUCUAAGUUCCUAAGUCACUUUUGGAAGUCCAUGUGGGGUAGGCUUGGUACCAAGUUGUUGUUCUCCACUUCCCUCCACCCACAAACCGAUGGCCAAACGGAAGUAGUAAAUAGGACUUUGGGUGCUAUGCUACGUUCCAUGAUUAAGGGAAAAUUGACUUCUUGGGAGGAACACCUACCAUUGAUUAAGUUUGCCUAUAAUUGUGUCAUACACUCAAGUAGGGGAAUGACUCCCUUUGAGUGUGUAUACGGCCUCAACCCCUUUGGAUUUAAUUCCUUUGCCAAGUGAUCUUAUGAUUAGCCUAGAUGUACAAAAACGGGCAGAUUUUAUGAAAAAGUUGCAUGAAUAGGUGCGGCUUCAACUUGAGAAGAAAAAUCAAGAGAUUGCAAAGAGAGCAAAUAAAGGAACAAAUAAACUCAUUCUUAAACCUAGAGAUUGGGUAUGGGUGCACCUUAGGAAGGAUCGAUUUCCAUCUCAAAGGAAGACCAAAUUGAUGCCAAGGGGUGAUGGUCCAUUCCAAGUACUUGAAAGAAUCAAUGAUAAUGCCGACAAGAUUGACCUUCCCCCAGAAUACCAAGUACAUAACACUUUCAACAUGUGUGAUCUUUCUCUAGUGGAUGCGGUUGAGGAUGACCAAAUGUUGAAUUUGAGGUCAAAUUCCUCUCAAGAUGGAGAGGAUGAUAUGGGUGUACCAAGCUGUCCAACAAGUUCUACAAGCUGUCCAACAAGUUUAUGACCAUUCACACGUAGCCAAGCUCGGGAGUUACAAAAAUUCCAAGCUAUGUUCACGCAAAUGGCCAUGUGUGAGUUGGUACUUGAGCCUUCCAAUGGAUUUAAAUGUGUUUAAGUGUGAAGAGGAGCCUUAAAGUGUAAUAAACUUACACUCCAAGGCCACCCCUUGGCAAGGGUAGGAUGGUCAUUUGUUAUCUCACUUUGUGGACUAAUAUAAAUAGAUAGUGUUAGGGUUAUUUUUGAGUUAGUUCAUUCAUAUUUUGGAAGACAACAAACACUUUGUAAUAAUUUGAAACUUCUCUCUUCCAUUGGAGAAGACCCAAUUCUCAAAACUCACUNNNNNNNNNNNNNNNNNNNNNNNNNNNNNNNNNNNNNNNNNNNNNNNNNNNNNNNNNNNNNNNNNNNNNNNNNNNNNNNNNNNNNNNNNNNNNNNNNNNNNNNNNNNNNNNNNNNNNNNNNNNNNNNNNNNNNNNNNNNNNNNNNNNNNNNNNNNNNNNNNNNNNNNNNNNNNNNNNNNNCUUGAGUUGUUGGAAGCUUGAAGUCUAGUGAAGCCAUGUGAGGCUCUUUCGAUUCACUAGCAUUAUUAUUGAUUUUCUUGUUCUUGUUGUUAAUAUCAUUUUCUUAUUCUAAAAAUGUGACUCUUGAAGACUAGUGAAGCCGUGUGUGGCCUAUUUCGAUUCACUAGCACUUGUUGUUCAUCUUGUUGUUAUUGUUGUUGUUUGUUUCUUGUGUUGAGAACUUGGGCUUGUAUCACCUAGAUUGGACAACGGAUAAUAAUGUUGAGCUCCUCCAAGACCUUUAGUGAGUAAAUCAGCCUCUUUUUCACUGGUUGGGAUGUCCACUGGAUGUAUCAGAUUCUAUUGUACCUUCUCCCUUAUAAAAUAACAGUUAAUCUCUAUUUGCUUUGUCCUCUCAUGAAAAACUGGAUUAUUUGCUAUCUACAUAGCUGCUUUACUGUCUGUAAGUAGCUCAAUAGAAGUAGGAAUCUCAACUCCCAGGAACUUGAACAAUCCUGUUAACCAUAUCAACUCUGAACUGUCAAAGCCAUACUUCUGUAUUCCGACUCUGCUGAGCUUCUUGCAACAGUGUUUUUUUCUUUUACUUCCAUGAAAUUAAUAAACCUCCAAACUUCACAAGAUAUCCUGUAAUUGACUUUCUUAAAUUGGGGAAGCUAGCCCAAUUAGCAUCACAAUAUGCUUUCAAUGAUAUGCUUUCUCUUGAGCUUAACAGAAUGCCAAGUCCAGGCUCAUUUUUAAUAUAUCUCACCACUCUAUACGCAGCUUCCAAAUGAGAAUUUUUGGGAUGUUGCAUGAACUGCAUUAGUGUUUGCACACUAUAAGCUAUGUUUGGUCUAGUUAGGGUCAAAUAUAAGAGUUUCCCAAUCAAUCUCUGAUAACUUUUUACACCACUCAAUGCCAAAUCUUCCACUUCAUUACAGUGCUUAUCAUAUUCCAUGCUAGUCAAGUUGUGAUUCUGCUCCAGUGGUGUAUAAGCAGGUUUUGAACCUGCUAAUCCUAAUUCAUCUAUCAUCUCCAAAGCAUACUUCCUUUGACAUAAUAAAAUCCCCUUUUGUGACCUAUUAACUUUAAUGCCCAGAAAAUACCUUAAAGUACCAAGAUCUUUAAGUUUGAAUGCUUUAUGUAAGAAAUUUUUGGCUUCCUGUAUUAAACCAUCAUCAUCACCGGUAAUUAGCAAAUCAUCUACAUAAAUAAGUGUGAUAACUUGUUUGCCAUGCUUGUUCAAUAUGAAAAGAGAAUGAUCAUGCUGACUCUGAAUAAAACCAGCCAACAAAAGAGCAUUAGAGAGCUUUAGGUUCCAUUGUCUAGACACUUGCUUUAAGCCAUAUAGAGAUUUGAGUAGCCUACAACUCUUAUUCCCCCUUUGGCUAUCAAAUCCAGGUGGAAGUUGCAUGUAAAAUUCUUCUUCAAGAUCACCUUGCAAGAAGGCAUUAUAAACAUCCAUCUGGUACAAGGAUCAAUUCUUCAUAGCAGCCAAAGCUAAUACAACUCGAAUUGUGACCAUUUUGACCACGGGAGAGAAGGUUUCUUAGUAGUCUAAACCUUCUUGUUGGAUAUAACCUUUAGCAACAAGUUGAGCCUUAAACCUCUCUACUUCUCCAGUAGACUUAUAUUUGAUCUUAUAUAUCCAUCGACAACCAAUGGGAACCUUGCCCUUAGGUAAGUCCACUACUUCUCAUGUAUAGUUAUGAACUAAAGCAUUGAGUUCACUCUACAUAGCAUCGACCUAUCUGGGAUCAGUGAUGGCUUCACCAUAACAACUAGGUUAAUAUCAGAGAAAAGUGCGGCAACAUAAGCCUAAGAAGAAGCUGAAAGUGAACUGUAACCCAACACAUUAGACAUAGGAUAUUUACAAGCUGGCCUAGCUUUAUGAGAACAGACAAAAUCAGACAUCCAUGCUGGAGUUUUAGAAGCUCUAGAAGACUUUCUCAACACUGGAAAAAUAUUAUGAGAUGUAGAAGGCAUUGGAAUAUGUGAAAGAUGACCAAAAGGAUUAGAAGAUGAAACUGGUGAUUCACUUGGAGCUGUAACAGGUGGAGAAGAUAUAACUGGUGCAUUAGCAGAAGGUAAUGCAUCAUGAGUAGGCACAAACCUUGGAGUAGGAAUAUCUAUGGAUUCAAAAAAUACAGGAAGAGAAUGACCGUGCUUCAUCUGUUGGAAAGGAAAGAUGUGCUCCCUAAAAGUGACAUCCCUGCUUAUAAACAUCUUCCCAAUCUUGAAGUCAUAUAAUUUGUAAGCCUUUUGAGAGGUAGAAUACCCCAUAUGCACAGCAGCUACAGAUCUUGGUGCAAACUUGUCAAUAAUGUGAGGAAUGGUAGCAAAACACAAACAACUUGUCACCCUUAAAUGAGUAAAGUAGGGACUAGAGUGAUAAAAUACUUCAUAGGGAGAUUUACCAUGUAAAACAAUAGAUGGUAUCCUAUUAAUGAGAUAGACUGCAACAAGUACACAUUCACCCCACAAAUGUAAUGGUAUACUACCUUGAAAUCUGAUAGCCCUUGACAUUUCCAAGAUACGUCUAUGCCUCCUCUCAACUACUCCAUUUUGCUGUGGAGUAUGAGGACAACUGGUUUGAUGCUCAAUGCCACUAUUUAAUAGGAAUUCUUUACAUUCUUUUCUAAGGAAUUCUGCACCAAUAUCUGUUCUUAUCAUCUUGAUUUUCUUGCCAAACUACACAUUAACCAUCUUGACAAAAUGCUUAAACAUAACAAUGGAGUCAUUUUUCAAUUUCAACAAGUAUACCCAUAUCAUUUUAGAAUGAUCAUCAACAAUGGUCAAAAAGUGUCUACGACCAUUACAAGUAGAAAUUCUAUAAGGCCCCCACAAAUCCAUAUGAAUUAAUUAAAAAAUUAUAGUAGACUAGUACUACUCAACGGGAAAGACUGUCUCACUUGUUUAGCUAAUGGACACACUGUACAAUUAUUAAACUCAUACAUUGGAACUUUAUGCUUCAGAAUAUCCAUCUUCUUCAUCACACUUGCAAGUAUAUGUCCAAGUCUUUUAUGCCAAACUUCAAAAUCUACUGUGGAGACUUCAGCUGAACAACUAUUCACUUUAUUAACGACAUUCAGAUCUCGUGUUUCAUCAUGAUCUUCAACCUUGAGAACAUAUAGACCUCCGUCUUCUUUACAAAUCCCCUUCACUCUCGUAUUUCAUAGGUUCUGGAACACAUAAAAUUUUGGAAAGAAAAGUACUGAGCAGUGCAGUUCCCUUGUCAGUUUUGACACAGAUAAUAAGUUAAACUUGAAGUCAGGUACAUAUAGGACUUCUCCUAUCUCAUAACCGUUCCCGAUUCUACAUGUACCUGGAUAAGUAAAAUGCACACUCUUACCAUUAGGGAGAUGCAUAUUACCCUUUCUGAAAUCUGGUAAAUCAGUCAUAUUUUUCAAUAUUUUUGAAUUGUUAGUCAUAUGGUUGGUUUCUCCUGUAUCUAUAACCCAAGAAUCAUUAUUUUCCCUGUAUAUUUAAAAGUAGCAUUACCUGCCAUGUUAACUGUAGGUACAUUUGUUGCUGCUUUUUCUUUGGUCAAGAGUCUAAUAAUCUGAUCAUAUUGCUCAUUAGUGAAAUAAUUCUGCAUUCCCGAUCCAUGAUUUCCGCUAGUACUACUGCUUGCCUCAUGAUUAAUAUCCCUAUGACAUUGCAUAUUUUGCAUAUUUUCAUGUUUCUGGUAUUGGCUACCCAACAUAUAUCCAUGGCGGUUACCUAUAUUUGAUCUGUAACCUGCAUCUUCACUUUCAAAGGAAUUGUUGUCAUUCAUUACUACAUUAGCUUGCCUGUAUAUUGGCUUGUUUUUUCCUUUAAAACCUAAUGGAUAACCAACCAUUUUAUAAUAAGUCUCUUUUGUGUGCCCUUUGUUUCUACAAAAUUCACAAAAUAAGUGGCCAAAGCUUCUAUGUAUCUCAAAUCUCUGAGAAGUUUUAGCAACAUUGUAUCUCUGCUGACUGUUAUGAAACUUAUCUUGGUUGUCUAUAGUAUUUUAUCUCCUUUGAUUUUCAUUCAUACUCAACAAAACUGUACCUUCAUUCAUUUCACUCACUAAAUUUCCAUAUGAAUCAGAAUUAGACUCACAAAUAAUUCUCUGACUUUUUUCAUGAGCUAUCAUAGCAUGAGCCUAACUGAUGGAAGGAUUUGGUACCAUUAUGAGAAUUUGACUUUUAACAGUACUAUACGACUCAUUCAAUCCCAUCAUAAACUGAAAAAGCUUUUGUUGUUCCAAAUGAACAAGAAAUUCUUAUUACUUAGCACAACCACACACACUAGGAAUAAAAGACUAAUACUCAUCCCAUAAUAAACAUAAUCGUGAAUGAUAGUCAGAGAUAUUAGCAGUACCUUGAUAAAUUGUGGCUAUUUUUCUAUGUAAAUUGUAGAUUCUCGAUCCAUUCACCUUAUCGAAUCGCUCCCUGAGAUCUAUCCAUACUACAUGAGAAUCAUCUGCAUACACAAUUCUAUUCACCAAUUCCUUAGAAAUCGAGGUCAUAAUCCAAGUCAAAAUUGUGGCAUUAACGCGCUCCCAUUCUUCUACCAUAUCGCGCUUGAAUAAGCUCCUCUGGUAUGUACCAUCUCAGCUCUAAUCCAAAUGAGUUGAGUGUGAAUACAAGUUUUAUGAUCAUUAUCCUAGUCUAUGGAGUAUUUUAGAGGUGAAAAAUGUUCAUAGCAAUGACCUAGAACAAAGUUGAGCUAAGACCAAUUGAUUCAUCCAAAGCUUGACAUUCGAUUCUACAACGGUCAACUUCAAAUGUGUAUAUCUCUUAAUAUACAUGGAAUUUUUAUCCCGAGACCUAUGAAAUUGUAGAUAAUUGAAUUAGCUUUCCAAAGAUAGCAAUUUUGCAAAAAUCCGAUACCCGAACGAAGAGUUAUGCCCAUUUUUGUGAGAGGCAGUAAGGGUGUGCGAUGGGCAAUGCGCCGCCCAAUCAAAUGUGUGCGAUUGGGAGUGCGAGGAACACUUAAAUGUCUGCCAUAAGGUGUGCGACGCACACCUUAAGAUCUGCCAUGGGUUGUGCGCCGCAUACCUCACUUCCAAGUGCCAAAAACACCCCAAUAUAUGUCUAUAACAUUGGAUUUAACCCCAAUUAUCCAAAGCCCUUUCACUUUCAUCAAAAAAUUGGUCAAGAAACUCGAAUAAGGUUUCAACUUGAGAACCCAAAUAAAUCAAAAACUAACCAUAGCUUUUCUAUAAUUUUUGGAUAUUCGGAAUCCUUAUUCUCUUUCGUUCUUGUGCCCAAAAAUACUUUCUUUUACAAAGUUAUGGAUUUCAUAUGUUUUACUAUGAUUUUGAAGCAUGAACUUAUAUCCUAUAUUGAUUAUCAUGAUAUUAUGAUAUUUUUGAUAAUUUUAGAAGCGGAAUUAUAUAAGAAUGAUGAUAUUUUGUGCCUUAUAAUAGAAUUUUCUAGAUUUUGAAGGGAUUUAUAUAUGUUUAUGAUGUAAAUCUUGAAUCUGGAUAAGUUUUAAUGUGAUAUUGAGACAUGAGUUUUGAACACUAUUUGAGAUUGUUGUUUUUGAGAAAUCAUGUGUUAUAAACACCUUGAGUUUGAAUGAUUUGAGAUGAUGAAGAAGCUUUGACCUUUUAGUCGUAAAAAGGGGUGUUUUUGAACCGGAGAUGAGAAAAAAAAUCCACUUUUAUUGAUUAUUAUGAAAAGGGUAGCAAGACGGCUCCCGUUAUGAAUUGUUGAACUGUUUAUUAGUGGAUUUUCUUGUAAAAAGAUCUGAGCUAAGUCCUGGAGUAGUCUUUAGCACCGAGCGGGAGGUAUAGCUAUUUUGGUACUUUCCUAGAACUACGUACCCCCUUAGGAAGUGAGCCUGAAGCUAAUUAUAUAGUGAUCACUAGUGUUUGGAUUGAUGAUUUAAGGUCCUACUCCGAUGGCAAGGAAUAGGGCGACUCUCCCCAACGUGGGUAGAACAUUGGACUCCAUGUAGCUCACAUGGUUUAUGUUGGUUGUAAGAGACUCCCAGUGUGUGUGUGUAUUCUUCUAUCUGAGAUGAAAAUAUAAUUGCUUGAAAGAUUGAGUUUAAGAAAGUCAUUAUUUUCGAAAGAUUUAAAGACUAUAUAUUCUAAAGAGAUUUGUCAUGAGAUUUGAUUGCUUUGAUGAAUUGGAAUUAAGAUGAAAGUGAAUUGAGAUUUAUAUGAUGUCUCAUGUGUUUUACUUUACAUAUAUUACUCAUCCAUACUUAUAAUGAUUUUAAUCGAGCUAUGUGAGUCACUUGUUGUAGCAUGCAUGUUUUCUAUGAAUACUUAUGAUGUAUGAUUUCUGAAACUUGCAUAUACCCCUAUAUACUCGGUCCAUAUUCCAUGGUACUAACCCAUUUAUUCUUCCGUGGGCUACAUUUUCCCUAUAAUGUAGGUUCAGGUGCUCAGUUCCAGACUUGAUCGAGAUUCUUCGAUCAUAUUGAUCCACAUUUCCUGCAAUGGUGAGUCCUCAUGAUUUGAGGACUAGUUAUUCAGAUUUCCUCAUUUACUUUGAGUUGUUCAAUUUAUCUCCUGAGUUAGGGUCAGUUGGGGUCUGUCCCAAUGGCUCAUUGAUAUAAAGUUUAGUAGAGGCUUGUCAGACUAGAUUGUCAGAUUGAUCAGAUUUGUCAGAGAUGUCGUAUUUUGUUACUUUCUAUAUUUCAUUCAUAUUGCAGUAUGACAUCAUUGAUGAUGUUUAGAUUUUUUGAUUAUAAAGAUCUUGAUAUAAGUGUUGAAUGGUAGAAAAAUGGCUCAAAGUGUUAGCUUGGGGCUACUUGUAGCCUUAAGCACCGUGUGACGCUUCAGGACCCAUUUUUGGGGCAUUAUAAACUUGGUAUCAGAGCCUAAGGUGUAAGGAGUCCUAGGGAGUCUAACAAGCCACAUUAAGUAGAGUAUUGAUCAUUGGUGUGUAGCGCGUCAUAUCUAUGAGCAAGAGGCUACGAGACGUUUUAGGAAAAAGGGUCUUUUCUUUCUUUCAGAAGUUCAUCAUGCUUAUCGUGUCUCUCUCUGCUAUUGAUUCUUGCUCUUUUCUUUCAGAAUAUGCCUUCUCGCCGAACUAGAAGAGAUAAUGCCGGUCAGUAACCUCAGCCUNNNNNNNNNNNNNNNNNNNNNNNNNNNNNNNNNNNNNNNNNNNNUCAGGCGCUGGCCCAAGUUGUUACUGUGAAUGUUCAGGCCAACCUAGCCCCGGUUCCAUAGCAGAAGGGAGGUAAUUUAUCUACUUCUAGAAUUCAUGAUUUUAUACAGAUGAAUCCGCCAGAAUUUUAUGGGUCCAACCCAGGAGGAUCCACAGUUGUACUUGGAGUAGGUGAGAAAUAUCACUCAGGUGAUGCAUGUUUCUGAGGAGCAUAGUGUAGAGUUGGCAUCAUAUCGGUUGAAAGAACUUGCUUAUGAUUGGGUUGUUGCUUGGAGGAAGGGUAGAGGUGAGGAUGCCGCCCUUAUGACUUGGCAGGAGUUCCAGGAUGCAUUCCUGGAUAAGUUUUUCCCUUUGGAGAUGAGAGAGGCGAAGGUGGAGGAGUUCAUGAACUUACGGCAGGGCUCUAUGACUGUUAAAGAGUACUGCUUAAAGUUCAAUCAGUUGGCCAAAUAUGCUCUUAACUUAGUAGCUGAUAACCGGGCCAGUAUGAGUAAAUUUAUGACAGGAGUGUCGAGCUAUAAUGUUAAGGAGUGUAGAUCUGCUAUGAUUAAUAGUGAGAUGAACCUUUCCUGACUGAUGACAUAUGCCCAACAGAUUGAAGCAGACAAGAUCAAGGAGAGGGAUAGAAUCAAAGGGAAUAAGAGAGCUAGGUCCGAGCAGCACGAACAUGGUCAGACUAGAUCGCAGGAAGGGGAUCGCCCUUAGUUUUAGAAUUGUUCCUUAGCACCAACACCAUCAUCAACUAGCACUCUCAUGCCUAGGGGUAGGAAGGAAAAGAGUAGCAGGUCAUAUGUAUCCAGGUCCCAGUUCAGUGUUGGCAGUAAGCCAAAUUAUCCUCCGUGUACCCAGUGUGGUAGGGUCCAUUCCGAUGAGUGUUGGGGAGUGAAUAGAGGUUGCUUUGGGUGUGGUGACAUGGGUCACAAACUCAGGGAGUGUCCACAUGCUAGGCUAGGGCGUCGUGAUAAUCGCACUCAGACUCAGACUCAGACUCAGACUGCUAGUGCCCCAGUUCAGGUGACUCGCCCAGCCCCAGCUUAGGGCGCCUCUUCUAGCACCACUAGCGGUCAGCGCCAGAACCGAUUUUAUGCUUUACCAUCUCGGCAGGAGCAGGAGGACUCUCCCUAUGUUGUCACUGGUAUGCUCCAUAUAUUUCAGUCUGAUGUUAAUGCAUUGUUGGACCCUGGGUCUAGUUUUUCAUAUGUUACACCUCUGUUUGCUGUGAAUUUUGAAAUGAGUCCUGAAAAUCUUCCUAAGACUAUCCUAGUUUCUACCCCAGUGGGUGAGUCAAUUGUUGCCCAGAAAGUGUAUAGAAAGUGCCCUGUUACAGUCCUUCAUAGAGUCAUGUUUGCUGAUCUGGUUGAGUUAGACAUGGUGGACUUUGAUGUCAUUUUGGGUAUGGACUGGCUUCAUUUUUGUUAUGCCUCUAUUGAUUGUCGUACCCGAGUAGUCAAGUUUUACUUCCUGAUGAGCCUGUGUUUGAGUGGUCUGGGAGUUCUGUAUCUCCCAAGAGUCAUUUUAUCUCAUAUCUCAAAGCCAGAAAACUUAUUUCCAAGGGGUGCAUUUAUCAUUUGGUUAGAUUCAAGGAUACUAAGUCUGAGACUCUAACUCUCCAAUAAGUUAGCAUUGUCAAUGAGUUUCCCGAUGUCUUUUCGAAAGAUCUCCCAGGGAUACCUCCUAAUAGAGAGAUAGAGUUCAGGAUUGAUCUUCUUCUCGAUACUCAGCCCAUUUCUAUUUCUCCUUACUAUAUGGCACCUACAGAACUUAAGGAUUUGAAGGAGCAACUCAAAGAUCUAUUAGAUAAGGGUUUCAUAAGGCCCAGUGUUUCUUCUUGGGGUGCUCCUGCUUUAUUUGUGAGAAAGAAAGAUGGUUCUUUGCAUAUGUGCAUUGACUAUCAUCAACUAAAUAAAGUCACUACAAAAAAUAAGUAUCCCCUCCCAAGAAUUGAUGACUUGUUUGACCAAUUGGAAGGUGCAAGCUAUUUUUCCAAGAUAGAUCUGGCUAUCACCAACUCAAAGUAAGGGAGUGUGACAUCCCAAAAAUAGCCUUCCGAACUCGCUAUGGUUAUUUUGAGUUUCUUGUUAUGUCCUUCGGGUUGACAAAUGCCCCAGCAGCUUUCAUGGACCUCAUAAAUCGAGUGCUCAGGAAAUAUCUUGAUAUGUUUGUCAUUGUAUUCAUAGACGAUAUUCUUGUAUACUCCCAUAGUGAGAAUGAACAUGUAGAUCAUCUCCAAAUCGUCUUGCAAACCCUUAGAAACCAUCAAUUAUUUGCCAAAUUCAGCAAGUGUGAGUUUUGGUUAAGGUCAGUUGCUUUUCUGGGUCAUAUCAUUUCUUCUAAAUGUAUUAGAGUUGAUCCCCAAAACACCAAAGAUGUUAGAAACUGGCCUAGACCUAUCUCUCCGAUCGACAUUCAAAUUUUCUUGGGUCUAGCUGGCUAUUACCGCCGUUUUGUUGAAGGUUUCUCCUCUAUAGUAUCUCCCAUGACCAGGUUGACCCAAAAGAAAGUGAAGUUCUUGUGGUCCGAUUCUUGUGAGAAGAGUUUUCAGGAGUUGAAGACUCGACUCAUUUCAGCCCCUGUUUUGACUUUGCCUGAGGGAGUUGAUGGUUUUGUGGUAUACUGUGAUGCUUCUAGAGUUGUUUUGGGUUGUGUACUGAUACAGAAGGGUAAAGUUAUAGCUUAUGCUUCUAGACAGUUAAAACCCCAUGAGAAGAAUUACUCCACCCAUGAUCUCGAGUUAGCUGCUGUUAUGUUUGCUCUGAAAAUCUAGAGACACUAUUUUUAUGGUGUUCAUGUUGAUGUUUUCACAUAUCAUAAGAGUCUGCAGUAUGUAUAUACCCAGAGGGAGUUGAACCUUAGGCAGAGAAGUUGAUUAAAGCUGUUAAAAGAUUAUGACAUGAGUGUGUUAUACCAUCCAGGCAAGGCCAAUGUGGUGGCGGAUGCCCUUACCAGGGUAUCUAUGGAUAGUGUUUCGCAUGUUGAAAAGGGUAAGAAAGAGUUGGCUCAUGAUGUGCACCGUUUUUCUAGACUGAGGGUUAGGUUGUUUGACUCUGCUGAAGGUAGUAUAGGGGUUCAGAGUAGUUCCGAAUCUUCCUUAGUUUUGGAAGUGAAGGAGAAGCAAGACUUAGAUACUAGUUUGGUCAGACUGAAGGAGUCAGUCAAGGACCAAAAGGUGGAGGUUUUCUCCCAAGGGGGAGAUGGUGUGUUGAAAUUGCAGGAUAGAUUAUGUGUUUUGAAUGUUGAUGAUCUGAGACAGAGAAUUAUGGAUGAAGCACACGCGGCGCGGUAUUCUAUUCAUCUUGGUGCCACCAAGAUGUACCGCAACUUAUGGGAAAUCUAUUGGUGGAGUGGCAUAAAAAAGAUAUAGAAACAUUUGUGGCUAGGUGUGCAACGUGCCAAAAGGUUAAGGUAGAACACCAAAGACCUGGUGGUAUGAUGCAGGAGUUUAGUAUUCCCACUUGGAAGUGGGAAGAAAUAAACAUGGAAUUUGUGACCGGUUUACCCCCUUCCCGAUGCCAUCAUGAUUCCAUUUGGGUUGUUAUUGAUAGAUUGACUAAGUCUGUGCAUACUUUUUAUACUGCUGAGGACUACGCUAGGUUGUACAUCCAGGAGUUAGUCAAAUUGCAUAGAGUUCCCUUGUCUAUCAUUUCGGAUAUGGGUACUCAAUUCACUUCGCAGUUCUGGAGAGCUUUUUAGAAGGGUCUUGGUACCCAAGUACUUUUGAGUUCUGCUUUUCAUCUGCAGACAGAUGGUCAGGCUGAGAGGACCAUCCAGACCUUAGAGGAUAUGUUGAGAACAUAUGCUCUUGACUUUAAGGGGAGUUGGGAUGAGCAUUUACCAUUGAUAGAGUUUGCUUACAAUAAUAAUUAUCAUUUUAGUAUUGGCAUGGCCCCGUUUGAGGCUUUGUAUGGGAGAAAAUAUAGAUCACCCAUAGGUUGGUUUGAGGUGGGUGAAGCUGCUGUAAGUGGUCCUGAUUCGGUAUUUGAGGCUAUGGAAAAAGUUAAGUUGAUUAGGGAUAGGUUGAAAACAGCUCAGAGUCGUCAGAAGUCGUAUGCGGAUGUUAGGAGAAAAGACCUUGAGUUCGAGGUUGGUGACUUGGUGUAUUUGAAGAUUUCGCCCAUGAAAGGGGUGAAGAGAUUCGGAAAGAACAGGAAGCUUAGUCCCCAUUAUGUUGGCCCCUACAGAGUUCUUAACCGUGUUGGUAAGGUAGCUUAUGAGUUUGAGUUUCCUUCGGAGUUGUCUACUGUUCAUCCGGUGUUCCAUGUUUCUAUGCUUAGAAAGCAUAUUAGCGAUUUUGUGGUACUGGAUUCUUCUAUGAGAGCUGAGGUUCAAAGUAGUCUUUCCUUGGUUAAGAUCCCUGUUGAGAUCCUUGAUUUCCAAGUCUAAAGACUAAGGGAAAAAAAAGUUCCCUUGGUCAAGGUGUUGUGGCGAAAUCAAUCGGUUGAGGGUGCAACUUGGGAGACCGAGGCAGAUAUCCGAUCCAAGUACCCGUACCUAUUUUUCGCAAGCUCCGAUCAAGCCGAAGGUACCAUUUUUCUCUAAAUCAUGCCUUUUAUGUUCAAAAUUGCAGCAGUUCGGCUGUUAUUUCUUAUUGUUCAGAUGUUAUUUCAAGAAUUUAUGCAUUCUAUGUUGUAUCUGGAGUUUAGAACGAUGAGGAGGUGAGUUUGGUAAGUUGUCUCAGCUGUAUACUUUUGUUUCCCGAGUAUUCUUGGCAUAUCUAGCAUCAUUUGAGGACGAAUGCUCCCAAGGGGGAGAUAAUGUAAUACGCUAUAUUUUCAUGCUAAAAUUCUAACCGUCAAUAUUACGAGUCUAAGCUCUAAUCCAAAUGAUUUGAAUGUGUACAAGUUUCAUGAUCAUUAUCCUAGUCUAUGGAGUAGUUUAGAGGUGAAAAAUGUUCAUAGCAAUGACCUAGAACAAAGUUGAGCUAAGACCAAUUGAUUCAUCCAAAGCUUGACAUUCGAUUCUACAAGGGUCAACUUCAAACGUGUAUAUCUCUUAAUAUACAUGGAAUUUUUAUCCCGAGACCUAUGAGACUGUAGAUAAUUGAAUUAGCUUUCCAACGAUAGCAAUUUUGCAAAAAUCCGAUACCCGAACGAAGAGUUAUGCCCAUUUUUGUGAGAGGCAGUAAGGGUGUGCGAUGGGCAAUGCGCCGCCCAAUCAAAUGUGUGCGAUUGGGAGUGCGAGGAACACUUAAAUGUCUGUCAUAAGGUGUGCGACGCACACCUUAAGAUCUGCCAUGGGUUGUGCGCCGCAUACCUCACUUCCAAGUGCCAAAAACACCCCAAUAUAUGUCUAUAACAUUGGAUUUAACCCCAAUUAUCCAAAGCCCUUUCACUUUCAUCAAAAAAUUGGUCAAGAAACUCGAAUAAGGUUUCAACUUGAGAACCCAAAUAAAUCAAAAACUAACCAUAGCUUUUCUAUAAUUUUUGGAUAUUCAAAAUCCUUAUUCCGAGGGCUACAAGAAGCACAUAACAAUCUUGUGAAUAGCGUGUCGGAGUAGAAAGUUCGCUCUAAGGCUUCAAUUUCGAGGUAUGUGGGGUUUUUCAACAAGGACACUCUGUCGUUCUUGUGCCCAAAAAUACUUUCUUUUACAAAGUUAUGAAUUUCAUAUGUCUUACUAUGAUCUUGAAGCAUGAACAUAUAUCCUAUAUUGAUUAUCACGAGAUUAUGAUAUUUUUGAUAUUUUAGAAGCAAAAUUAUAUCAGAAUGAUGAUAUUUUGUGCCUUAUAACUAAAUUUUCCAGAUUUUGAAGGGAUUUAUAUAUGCUUAUGAUGUAAAGCUUGAAUCUGGAUAAGUUUUAAUGUGAUAUUGAGACAUGAUUUUUGAACUCUAUUUGAGAUUGUUGUUUUUGAGAAAUCCUGUGUUAUAAACACCUUGAGUUUGAAUGAUUUAAGAUGAUGAAGAAGCUUUGACCUUUCGGUCGUAAAAAAGGGUGUUUUUAAACCCGAGAUGAGAAAAGAAAUCCACUUUUAUUGAUUAUUAUGAAAGGGUAGCAAGAUGGCUCCCGUUGUGAAUUGUUGAACUGUUUAUUAGAGGAUUUCCUUUUGAAAAGAUCUGAGCUAAGUCCGGGAGUAGUCUUUAACACCGAGUGGGAGGUAUAGCUGUUUUGGUACUUCCCUAGAACUAUGUGCCCCCGUAGGAUGUGAGCCUGAGGCUGAUUUAUAUAGUGAUCACUAGUGUUUGGAUUAAUGAUUUAAGGUCCUACUCCGAUGGAAAGGAAUAGGACGACUCUCCUUAAUGUGGGUAGAACGUUGGACUCCAUGUAGCUCACAUAGUUUAUGUCGGUUGUAAGAGACUCCCAGUGUAUGUGUGUAUUCUUCUAUCUGAGAUGAAAAUAUAAUUGCUUGAAAGAUUGAGUUUGAGAAAGUCAUUGUUUUCGAAAGAUUUAAAGACUACAUAUUCUAAAGAGAUUUGUCAUGAGAUUUGAUUGCUUUGAUGAAUUGGAAUUGAUAUGAAAGUGAAUUGAGAUUUAUAUGAUGACUCACGUGUUUUACGUUACAUAUAUUACUCAUCCAUACUUAUAAUAAUUUUAAUCGAGCUAUGUGAGUUACUUGUUGUAGCAUGCAUGUUUUCUAUGAUUACUUAUGAUGUAUGAUUUCUGAAACUUGCAUACACCCCCAUAUACUCGGUCCAUAUUCCAUGGUACUGACCCACAUAUUCGUACGUGGGCUACAUUUUCCCUAUAAUGUAGGUUCAGGUGCUCAGUUCCAGACUUGAUCGAGAUUCUCCGAUCAUAUUGAUCCACAUUUCCUGCAGUGGUGAGUCCUCAUUAUCCGAGGACUAGUUAUUCAGAUUUUCUCAUUUACUUUGAGUUGUUCAGUUUAUCUCCUGAGUUUGGGUCAGUUGGGGGCUGUCCCAAUGGCUCAUUGAUAUACAGUUUAGUAGAGGCUUGUCAGGCUAGAUUGUCAGAUUGAUCAGAUUUGUCAGAGAUGUCGUAUUUUGUUACUUUCUGUAUUUCAUUCGUAUUGCAGUAUGACAUCAUUGAAGAUGUUUAGAUGUUUUGAUUAUAAAGAUCUUGAGAUAAGUGUUGAAUGGUAGAAAAAUGGCUCAAAGUGUUAGCUUGGGGCUACUUGUAGCCUUAAGCACCGUGUGACGCUUUGGGACCCGUUUUCGGGGCAUUACAACUAACUUCUUGCAUUACUCUGUAGAAUGUACAAGAGUGAGUCUACAAAAUAUCUACACCUGGUCAUUUAUAUAACUGCCUAAUCCUCUUAACCACUCAAUUUAAUCCUAACUAACUCAACCAACACAUCAGCCAUUAACAGUUACACUGAUUUACAUGUAUGCCACUAAUAACCUACAUCAUCUUUGCUUAUUAUUUCAACAAAAAUUAAAGAAUAAAACCUUAAUAAAAGAUUACCAAUGAUGCAAAGAGGUAUUAGAAUGAAGAUACAUGGAUUCCUCUCAACUCGAUGACCUAUAAUCUUCCUUUGAAUAUAUGGAAAUCUAUAGAUUAAUUUUAAUAUCAGUUUAGAGAAUUUUCUUCAUUCGGAUUACUCUAUUUUUGUAGAAACAACAUCAACCUCAAAUACAAUUUAGCAAAUAAUAGCACAAUAGAGAAACAGAGAGAAAUUGUAAUCAAAUAGUGAAUUUUUGAAAAGAACCCAAAUAAAGUGAGAAAAAAAAAACGAAGAUGAUUAGAAAGAAUGAAAAAUUUCUAGAUAAAGGUCAAAAAUAUUGAUGUGGUGGAUCUUCAAACUUAGAAUAGAUGACAAGUUGAAAUUUGGUCUGAUGUGGAAGCCAUUAAUUGAAAUGACCAAAAUACCCUCCAUCAAUUCAACAAAAACAUGAAGCACACAUGUCAAUUCUUACUGGCACUUCUAAUAUAGUAGAAAAAUACUUAUGAUGUAAGAAAUAUAUGUAAUUAUUAUAAUUUAAAGUUUGACAGAAAAAUUAAAACUUGACCAAGUUUCUUUAUAAAUAUUUAAAAUUUAUAUUUAAUUAAUGGUGUCACAAUUUAUGGAAAAAUUUAAACUAUAUUUUGUUUUAAAAUGUCAAAUAUGACUUAAAACUUAAUGUAAGGAAUAUAUGAAAUUAAAAAAUGUGGUCUGGGAGGAGUCGUUCGCAACUUUUCAGGUGAUUGGAUCGCGGGUUUUUCUGCCACGAGCAAUAGCCAUUGCCAUACACUGGCUGAACUUGAAGCCUUAAAAAUUCGUCUUAACUUAGCCAUCGCACGCAAUCUUUUAUCUAUUAUUAUUGAAACUGACUCGGUGGAGGUAAUCCAACUGUUACAGCAUCCUACCAUGUCGUUUACUGAUAUUUUAUCUCAAUGCAGGCCAAUGUUGAAGAGCAUGGGGAAUCCAAUGGUACAACAUAACUUUCGAGAGGCUAACAAAGUAGCAGAUAGUUUGGCCUGUGCAAGUUUCUCCUUAUCCCAAUUUGGUGAAGUAAUUUCUCUCCAGUCUCCUCCGUCUUUAGUCGUUGUACAUCUGCAAAAUGAUGUUGAUGGUGUUGUUAGUGAUCGUUUUGUUUCCUGGUCACUGUUUAAUAACCUCUUAUGUCUAAAAAAUCAGUCUAUUUUAUCUCAUGUAAAUAGCAAUGCUAAGCCUAUUACUACUAUAACUACUGUAUGUAAUUCCACCAGUUUAGGGGCCUUUCACAGAAGAGUGAUCCCCCUAUUUUGUAAUGACUCUCUCUCUCUCUUUAUCUAUCUAUCUAUCUAUCUAUCUAUCUAUCUAUCUAUCUAUCUAUCUAUCUAUCUAUAUAAAAAAAAAAAAUAAAUUAAAACUACAUCAUUAUUAAAGUGUAAAACAUUUCAUGAUUUUAUCAAAUUAUACUACAUUCAUUAUAUCUUUUGCACAUAUUAAUUAGGCAUUUUUAUAUAUAACUUAUAUCCUUUAUCUAUAAAAUCACAUCAUACUAUACAAGUAACUGGGCAUUAGAUUAAUUAUGUUGUACUUUUAUUUGUGUAUGGAACUUACUAGUUACUAUAUCUAAGAUCUAACUAUCUAUGUAACUAUAUGUUUAUUUAACUAAGGUGCGAUUUAAGUGAAAGGGAGCAUAAAUAGUUGAAUUUAGAGAAGGUGCCUUAUAUAAAAAAUCACUUAUACUAUAAAAGACACCCUCAAGAAGAUUGAAUCUUCAAGCAAGCAAUUCCGGUAUUGUAUAUAAACAAAGGUCUUACCCUCAACUUUCACAAGAGUUUUACACAUAAUCUCAAUAUCACAAAACAAUCUGAAUUUAAAGGAGUUAUUCUAUACUAUUUAUAGUCUAAUCUAAUUAGUAAUAAAAUGUUCUUAAUGAAAUAAGGGUCUUCUUAAACAUGCAACUUGUAUUUGAAGAAUAGCUUCUUUUCACACAUAAAUAUUUUCUUCAUAAUUUUAUUUUCUUUCAAUUUGUUCCUUGUACUUUCACUUUACCUUGCUAGUGAUUGUCAAGUCUUCCUUCCAAAUUCCCAACACAAUGACUUGAUGUGAUGUUCUUGAGCUCCUCAGCUUUCCUUGACGUACGCAUGCAUCAAAAGGUGAGAGCUGAAAAUGAUAUAUUAAUUGUGAAUAGGGUAAAGAAUCUGAAUUACCAGCUAAUUAUAGAGGACAUUGUCACAUCCCUUUUUCUUCGAGGGAUCGAGGUCGAAGGAUUUUUCCAAUUAAAGUGACAGUUUUGAAUAGGGAUUAAUUUAUUACAGAGUCGCCACUUGGAAUUGAGUUAUGGUGUUCCAAGUCACCUUUUUGAAUCCCUAAUCAAAAGGAAAUGACUCUUUAUUAUGGUCUGCGAAAACAGAAGUCUGGGUAAGGAAUUUUGUUGACCGAGGAGAAGGUAUGCGGCACCCCUCGAAUCUUGUGGUUCUAGCACGGUCGCUUUUACCGACUUAUCUUGACUUAAACUAUUUUGAAUAAAUUGUGUUAAGGCCUAAAUUUGUUCAAUUUUAUUAUACCAAAAAUAGAUAUCUACGUCUCUUAUAUUAAAUAAAUUGAUGAAAAAUAAUUUUAAAAGCUAUAUAUCAAGGCGCGUUAUUGCAUCUUUAAAUUUUUAAAUAUCUCAAAAAGAUGCGUACGCCGCAUUCUUAACUGAGACGAAUAUUUAAACGGGUCUAAAAAAAUAGCAUUAUAAGCUUUAAUACUUGAAAUGUCAUCUAACUUUAACUAUAAACUUGAAUAAAAUUCAUUUAGGGUAAUUAACUAAUUUAACAAAAUAAUUAAUAAGAUUUAUUAAUAACGAUGAAUGAAAUUAAAAAUAAAUAAAAUAAAAUAAAAGAUAAUAAAAUAUAUAUAAAGAUACCCAUGUCCAUUUCAAACAACAAAAAAAGUUUCUUUUAAAUAUUUUUGCUAUUUAUAAAUCAAAAGAACCAUAUCAAUAAUAAGUCAUGCUUACAUUUUCCAUAAAUUGAUAAUUGAUCUUCCAGUUAAAAGAAAAACCCCCAAAAAUUUCCUUCUAAUACAUAUUAAAUAUUUACCAAGAAAACCUUUAAACAAUGCUCACAGGAUGAAUUCUUUAAUUCUGGAAGACAACUUAUUUAUGGCAUCACGGCGGCAGUAACGAGUUUGCCGGAUUCGAAGCAACGACGGGGAGGGGAAAGGGUGUCGAUCGACGGGGAAAAGAAAGAUGGGGACAGCGGUGCAGCGGCAUGGCGGUGGAUGGUGGAGGCGCAACUGGCGCCCUUCAUGGUGACUGAUCCAGCGAGUUUAACCGGUUUUUCGGCGGAUCUGACUUUUGAGAGGGGGCGGGGAAAAAUAGCAGCGGUUGUUAUCCACUGCAGAUGAAGCUGUCACCAGUCGAAGAACAGAAAAACCGUGGCUGAAGAGAGUAGUACCCUUAGCUUGGAUUGUUAUACCUAGCCGUUAAAUCUGUUAAGUAACUGUAGUUUCUAUUUAUGGUUAAGUUCUUUUUUUAUUUUGGGUCCCUAAGUUAAUUUAAAUACACUUAGGAAUCUACAAUUGUUCAAGGGUCCCUUUGUAGUCCAAGGAAUAUUCUUGCAGAGGUAGUACAAUUUCAGGCUUAUCCCUUAAGGAUUAGGAUGAGUCAGCUAGGGUUGACAUACUAUAAAUUGUAAUGAGUCAUUUCCAUUUUCACUAUCAUAUAUGAAAAAUAUCUUAGCCGUAAUUAGUUCUUAACUUAGUUCUCAGUCUAGCUUAGUUCCAUUUCUAUAAUUUAUCUGGCUAUUAUUCCACUGGAACACUGUCCUAUUAUCUCUUGUUAAUUGUUCUGCAACAUUUGGUAUUAGAGAACUUUUUUUAGCUCUGUGGGAUAGCAAUGUCUACAGAUAUGGAUGAAAUUAAGUCAAUGUUUGAAAGGAUAACGAUGAAGAUUGCCAACUUUAAUGUUAGACAGAAUCAAUUGGAGGCUCAACAUUAAAAGGCUUUGGUUGAGUUGAAGGAAUCUAUAGAAGAAACUAGAAGGUUCGAUCGGGGUAGGAGUACUGACAUGCAAGAUGGAGGUGGUGAGGUUUAUACCCCUUCAGGGAAUCCCAUGGCUUGGUUACCUCCUUCUACUGGAAGACCUCCAAUGCCCUCUUGUUCUCCAGCUAUAGUUCACGCGGGGGUGGGAUCUAUGCCUUAAUAUGCAGCAACCAUGGGACCAGUUCCACAGCUGGCCCAAGUUGGACAAACAUCAGGAGGAACAUCUGGAGUUGACAGAAACAAUGGUCCACCAAUUCAGGCUCAGUAUCAUGCUGGAGAUCCAACAAUGUCUAGGAUGACCAAGCUAGAGUUCCCUAGAUUUAAUGGUACUCAGCUAAGAACUUGGCUUUGCAAGGUAGAACAAUUCUUUCCUUGGACAAGGUAGAUUAUAAUUUAAGAGUUAAAGUAGCAUCUAUCCAUUUUGAUGAUAUGACCAUUGAGUGGCAUUUGGCUUAUGUAAGGAGUAGGGCUCAUCUACCUCCUCCUUCAUGGGAAGAACAUGUUUAUGCCUUGAUGGAUAGAUUUGGGGAUGAGUUGAAAUUAGUAAAGCAAACUAGAUCGGUAGAAGAGUAUCAGAAGGAGUUUGACAGAAUCAUGACUAGGUUGACUCUACCUCCUGAGUAUGCUAUUAGUGCCUAUAUCUCUGAGUUAAAACCAGAGAUUGGGUUUGCUGUCAAGAAUCACAGACCCCAUUCCCUUCCCCAAGCCUAUCAAUUAUCCCGGAACACAGAAUUGCAAGUUAAUGCUCAACUCAAAUUGACCAGGUCUACAAUGUAUAGUGGGAGUACUAGUCAGAGUAAGGGGUCAUCUCUUGGGACUAGUCACAGGGGUUGAACCUAUAGAAAAGAUUAUCAACCACCAAAAAGAGAUAACAUUGUGGAUCUCAAUAAAAGCAACACUAAGAGGCUUACUCCAGCUGAGAUGAGUGAGAAGAGACAAAAGGGACUUUGCUUCUUUUGUGAGGAAAAGUUUGCCCCUGGCCACAAGUGCAGCACUUCUAAGCAACUUUAUUUGUUGGAAAUGGAUGAUGGGGAGGUAUAGGAAGAAGAAACACAGCCUGAAGAACCAGUUGUGACUGAAAUAGAGGUAGGAGUAGAGGAGAAAUGUGAAAUAUCCAUUCAUACCUUGAAUGGACUUCCUGGAUUUCACACACUAAGAGUGAAAGGGUACAGUGAGAAGAAACCUCUCAAUAUCUUAGUUGACCCAGGAAGUACUCACAAUUUUAUAGAUGGUGAAGUUUCUAGACAGUUGGGGUUGGAAGUGAUAUCAGUGAAACCUUAGUCUAUCAAUGUUGUUGAUGGGGGAAACAAGCAAACCAAUGAGAUGUGUAGAGGUUUCACAUGGAUGAUGCAAGGAACUACUUUUAUUGACAGUUUCCUACUUCUUCCCUUGAGAUCUUGUGAUAUGAUUUUGGGAGUGCAGUGGUUGUUGCCAUUAGGUGAUCUUCAGCUCAACUUCCAGAAACUUACACUAUCUUUUAUGUAUCAGGACCAGAAGGUACAGUUACAAGGAGUCAAGGAAAGCACCAAGAUAGUGGAUGCAAGGGGGUUGGACAAGAUGACUCACAAUAGUGGUCAUUUGUUCAUGAUCAAGGUUUUACCAGCAGAAUCCCUCACUAAAAAAGAAUCAGCAGAUAUCCACCCUGAAAUUGUGACCUUGAUCGAGGAAUUUCACAUGUUGUUUGGGCACCCUCAACAACUCCCUCCAUCCAGGGCCACAUUUGAUCACAUGAUUCCACUACAAAGGGGCACUAAUUUUAUAAACACUAGACCCUACAGGUAUUCAUCAAGACAGGACAUAAUUGAAAAACUGGUACAAGAGAUGUUGGAUCAAGGCAUAGUACAGCCUAGUUAUAGCCCUUAUGCCUUACCAGUGGUGCUAGUAGGUAAGAAGGAUGGCUCUUAGAGGCCGUGUGUGGAUUAUAGAGCCCUAAAUAAGAUCACUAUCAAGGAUAAAUUCCCUAUCCCCAUUGUUGAGGAACUGUUGGAUGAGUUGAGGGGUUUCAAGGUGUACACUAAGCUUGACUUGAGGUCAGGCUACCAUCAGAUAAGGAUGGCUCGAGAAGUCGUGCAGAAGACUGCUUUCAGGACAUAUUCUGGUCACUAUGAGUACUUAGUAAUUCUUUUUGGCCUCACUAAUGCCCCCUCAAGUUUCCAAGGUCUCAUGAAUUAUGUUUUCAAAGUAGACCUUAGGAAAUUCAUCCUAGUUUUCUUUGAUGACAUUCUUGUUUACAGCAGAAACAUGGAAGAGCAUUUGCAGCACUUGAGAAUUAUGUUUGACCUACUCAUCAAACAUCAUCUUUUUGAUAGGAAGGGCAAAUAUUCUUUUGGUGCUACCAGGGUGGAAUACUUAGGGCAUUUCAUCUCUGCAGAAGGUGUAACCACUGACCCUAAGAAGAUUGAAGUUGUGUAAAAGUGGCCUGCUCCUAAGUUCGUUAAGGAACAAAGAGGAUUCUUGGGUCUAGCUGGCUAUUACAAGAGAUUCAUUAAGAGGUAUGGUUGGAUAAGCAAGCCUCUUACUGAACUUCUAAAAAAAGAAGGGUUCAUUUGGAGUGAUAAGGCUACACAGGCUUUCAAUCAACUUAAGAAAGCUUUAACACAUGCACCUGUACUCAGCUUGCCUAGUAGUACAUGCUAAUUUAUGGUAGAAACUGAUGCAUGUGACAUUGGUAUAGGUGCAAUAUUGAUGCAGGAAGGGCAUCCUCUAGCAUACCUGAGCAAGGGGUUAUCAUUAAGACAUCAGGGUCUAUCUGUUUAUGACAAAUAGCUCUUGGCUCUGGUUUUGGCAGUAACCAAAUGGUCACAAUACUUGUUGGGAAGACAGUUUGUUGUAAGGACAGAUCAAAAGGCUCUUAAGUUUUUACUUAAUCAAAAGCUUCAUACUGGUACUCAGAUGAAGUGGAUAGCAAAGCUUAUGCAGUUUGAUUUUCAGAGUGAAUACAAGAAAGGAAGAGAGAAUAAAGCUGCUAAUUCCCUCUCAAGAGUACCAGCUGCUUACUUGUUUCUAUUAUCAGUAAUCCCUGUGGGAACCAAUCUCUUCCAGAGGAUCAAGGCAAGUUGGUAUGAGGAUGAAAAACUCAAGGAACUAAUCCAAAAACUGAUAGACUAAGAUAAAGAUCAAAAGGGUUUCACCUACUAUAACCAGCAACUCAGGAGAUAUGAAAGGUUAGUGAUAGGGAAGGAUGAGCAACUCAGGCAUGGCAUUAUGCAGUUGUGGCAUGAUGCUCCUAGUGGUGGUCAUUCUAGAAUGGAAAAUACUUACAGGAGGCUGUCACACAUGUUCUAUUGGUAAAAGCUAAGAGAGGAUGUUAACAAUUAUGUCAGGAGUUGUUCCAUAUGCCAAAGGAGUAAAUAUGAUACAAUAGCAUCACCUGGCUUUCUACAACCCUUGGUAAUCCCUACUUCUGCUUGGUCCAACAUUAGCAUGGACUUCAUUGAUGAGUUGCCAAAGACUAAGGGUAAGACUACCAUCAUGGUAUUGGUAUAUAGAUUGACCAAAAGUGGCCACUUCAUAGCCCUCAGUCAUCCUUACACACCUGUGAUUGUAGCUCAAGUUUUCCUUGAUCAAGUUUUUAAACUACAUGGCAUGCUUGAGAAUAUAGUCAGUGAUAGGGACCCCAUUUUCCUUAGAAGGUUUUGGCAAGAGUUGUUCUCAGCACAUGGAGUAACCUUGAGUACUUCAACUGCGUACCACCCUCAAUCUGAUGGCCAAAAAGAGGUGCUCAACAGAACCUUAGAGACAUAAUUAAGAUGCUUUUGUUCUGAUAAUUAAUCAGAUUGGUCCCUGUACUUACCUAUGGCAGAGUGGUGGUACAACACCAUAUUUCAUUCAGCUAUCCAGACCACCCCUUACAAGGCCCUAUAUGGUCAACCACCACUACUUCAUCUCCCUUACAUCGCAGGAGAAGUUAUAGAUGAAGAGGUGGAUAGGAGCUUACUUACCAGGGAACUCAAAUCUCAAAUGCUCCAAUAUCAUUUGGGAAGGGAACAACAAAGGAUACAGUCCUUAUCUAACACAGGAAAAAGUGACAGACAACUGGAAGUAGGAGAUUGGGUGUACCUCAAAAUACAACCAUACAGAUAAGUCACCCUCUUUAAUCAGGCUUUCACCAAACUAUCAGCCAAGUUUUAUGGACCUUACCAGAUCAUUCAAAGGGUGGGGUCAGUGGCCUACAAAUUGUCUCUACCACCUCAAGUGUCAAUCCACCCCACCUUUCAUGUUUCUCAGCUAAAACCUUAUCAUAAGGUCCCUAGCCACUUCACUCACCCCCCAAUUAUUGAUCCAGCCAGUGCUUGCUGUGAGGAACCGAAAAAUAUACUAGAAAGAAGGAUGAUAAAGAGGGGAAACAAUGCCAUCCCUCAACUUUUGAUUCACUGGAAGAACAUGACCAAGGAGCAUGCCACAUGAGAAGAUUAUCAAGUGAUGAAGAUCAGAUUUUCAUCAUUCUUCCUUGAGGACAAGGAAGUUUGAAGGAAGGAGAAAUGAUGCAGAUGAAGCUGUCACCAGCUGAAGAACAGGAAAAUUGUGGCUAAAGAGAGUAGUACCCUUAGCUUGCAUUGUUGUACCUAGCCGUUAAAUCUGUUAAGUAACUGUAGUUUAUAUUUAUGGUUAAGUUCUUUUUUUAUUUUGGGUCUCUAAUUUAAUUUAAAUACACAUUAGGAAUCCACAAUUGUUCAAGGGUCCUUUUGUAGUCUAAGGAACAUUCCUGCAGAGGUAGUACAAUUUCAGGCUUAUCCCUUAAGGAUUAGGAUGAGUCAGCUAGGGUUGACAUACUAUAAAUUGUAAUGAGUCAUUUCUAUUUUCACUAUCAUAUAUGAAAAAUAUCUUAGCCGUAAUUAGUUCCUAGCUUAGUUCUCAGUCUAGCUUAGUUCCAUUUUUACAAUUUACCUGGCUAUUAUUCCACUGGAACACUGUCCCAUUACCUCUUGUUAAUUGUUCUGCAACAGAUUUCCGGUGAGAUUCAGUCGGCGAUGGGAUGUCGGGAAGAGAGAGAGAGGGGAAAAAAAACUUCACUACUGGUUUGGAUUUUUCGGAGACAAUUCGUCUUAACCGUGACGAACUAGUGAAUAGAAGUGUUUUCCGGCAUCAAAUUCGAUGAGGAUUUUCGCUAGAAACAUCUUCUCACUGUCAUCUCUUUUGAUCUCUCUCUUUCUUUUGCUCUCUAAUUCAUCUGAUUUUACUAUUUUUUCUUUCCGUUUAUUCGAAUUUCCUCACAAUUUUUGAUACGCUAUGUGUAUUGUUGUAUAUCUACUUCUUCAAUGAAUACAAAUGUUGGUGUAUGCAAUCUGUAGUGUAUGUAAAUUGAAAGACAGUGUGUAGUCAUGUAUACAUCAAACAACGUAUCAAUUUUCUUUUCGUCUAUUUCUCUUUUUCGUUUCAAAUUUUAACUUUAACAAAAUUACAACAACACAGUUUUUUUUUACACUCAGAACAUAAAUAAAUAUAUUAUAACUUAAUCAAAUAGCAUGCAAUAAUAAGAAACCCACAUAAUCAACUAACUAUGCUUACUAAAUAUUGCAUAAAGCAACUUAACGAUCAUUUUUAUAAAUGCAUUUAUAAAUAAACUCAUAAUAUGAGUGGUAUAGGAUAAUAAUAAUAAAACUGUGAUUGAUUCAAACGGAAUAAUGAAACAAGCAACAAUCGUCAUCGAAAACUUGAACACGAACCCGACUUCAACUUCACCGUUUUCCUCUCUGAUUUCUUAAAGAAAAAAAAAUUUACUGUCUUUUUCUUUACUCUGAUUUUUAGUAUCUGACUUCCUAGAAUCUUUUGUCUCUGAGAAUGGAAAAAGUUUUCUUACAUAUAGAAAAAAAAUGGGAGGGAAUAAUUAUUAUUUUAGGGGGGAAUAGUUAUUUUUUUAGGCUGAUAGAGAUAGGAUUUAAUAAUAAUAAUAAUAAUAAUAAUAAUAAUAAUAAAUAAAGAUAAUAAAUAAUAAUAAUAAUAAUAAAUAUAAAUAUAAUUAUUUUUUAUAUUUAACAAAACAUAAUAAAAAUUUAUAAAUAGCCAAAAUAAAUAUAAUAAGAUGAUAUUUAAAAUACUAAUUUAUUUAUUAAAAUUUAGAAAACAAAAAUAUAUAUUUUUUUUUGAAUUUUUGUAUUAUUAUUUAAGAAAAAAUUAGAAUAAAAUAGAAUAAAAUAUAUCAAAAUUAACUUUAUUUAAUUAUUGAUUUUUUAACUAAAUAUUUAUUAAAAUUAAAAUAAAAUAAAAAAUUCAAUAAUAUUAUACCAAAUAUAAAUAUUUAAUAUCAAAAAUAAGUUAAAAUUCGAGGAAGAUCAAAAAUCACGUGUCUACGGACAUGAACAUCAAAGAUAUGACAAAAGAACAUGUAGUACCUUACCUCCAUGCUAAAUCAUUAAUGAAGUUUCAGACAAUGUCCAACGAAUGAAUCAUUGAAUAGUUACUCUAUUAUUAGCAUACCAUCAAAAUGCUUCAUUCCAGAAACUUUCAAGGUACUUUUAUUAAAGAGGGAAUGUGGAUUUUUAAUUCGAUCCUAAUUUUUUGUCUCAUGGAUUCAAGACAACUAAAUCCUUAAAAAAAAUUCAUACCCUGCAUAAACAACCUUGUUAUGUUAUAUGAGCUGAAGGACUAGUAUGAUUGAUGAUACUAUCGAUUGAUGUCAAAUAAAAAUACUUUUUUGUGUUCUCUAUUAAAACAUAUGUUCUUUCCUUAAUUUUGUUGUUGUUGCUUUGUUUAAUGUGGAAUUGAACAUCUUUCAUGUUCUUUUAUUAGUUUGACUUGAAUGACAGAAUAAAAAGUCUUCAGAAUUAUAACUCUUGAAGAAAUAAUUAAGGCAUUCAUGAAGUAGGUUUCUUCAUAGAAUCCUUUUUUGUUCUCUUCUUUUUUUUUUUUUUUUUAAAUCAACACUAAGUUAUUCAAAGUAUUUACUCUGUCAUCCAAAUCAAGCAAACAAAAAUUCAUGAAAGAUGUGCAAUUCUCAUUAAAAAAAAGUAAAAACAACAAAACUAAGAAGAGAGUAUAUACUUCAACAAAGUUGAAAAACACUAGAAAGAUUUACGAGUUGACAACUACCAAAAAUAACAUCAACGACACUAAUUCUUCGGGUCAUGCAACAUAACAAGACUAUUUAUGUAGGUAUAAAUCUUCUCUGAAAAUUUAGUUGUUCAGGACUCAUGAAACAAAACUUUAGAAUUAGAUUGAAAAUUCACAUUUUCUCUUUGAUAAAAAUAGCUUUAAAGUUUUUUGAACGAAGUACUUUGCUAUUAUGAUAAUAAUGGAAUAACUAUUCAGUAGAUUUAUUCUUUGGACACUGCAUGAAACUUUAUUAAUGACUUAGCGAGGAGAAAAGACACUACAUAUUUCUUGGCCACAUAUUUGAUAUUCAUAUUCUAUAUAAUCACCAAAUAUUUCAAAUUCUUCAUUUCAUUACAGUUACUAUAUUAUUAGAGGCCGCUUAUUAGGUUUCUUAAGUUAACUCUUGAACUACUUCCUGAUACAUCUAUAAUAAUGGGUAAAUCAUUUUUAUUUAUUUAUUACCACAUAAUAAUUAUAUCACAAGGUAUAUUUUUAAAUACAAUGCUACAUUAAUUAACAAGAACUCAAAUCAUAAUAUGUAAUUAAAAACUUUAAUAUACUUACCUCAUUGUCACCUAUACUUGUCAACCCAUGAAUUUUUGAUGAAUAGAAAUCAUCAAAUGAAUACUACUCUCCUCUUUCAAAUUAUUUUGCUUGACUCAAAAAUUAAUUAAUGUUGAUGUAAAAUUUGAUUAUAGAAUCUCUAAUUGUUUAUCUUAAAUUUAAUAUCUAAAAAUUCGUUCACAUUCAAAAGAUAAAAAUAUAUACAUUAUUUCUAGGAUCUAAAAAUUGGGUAAAAGGAUUAAGUGAAAAUUACUCUUUUAUAUUUUUAAGAUUUACUUUUUAUCUAGCGAUCAUCAAACAACAAAUAGUUCAAUCAAGAAAUUUGAAACCCUUAGAACCAUAAUCUCACAUGAUUGAUCAAAUCGUAUGAGACAUAUGAUUUAUAAGAAAUUAAAGAAAAGACUUUAACUAGUUGGCAAGAUGUAAACAAAUAAACAAAUUCAUAUACAAUACUACAAAAUGAAAUCACAACAUUAAUUCUACAAUUUAUAAGAAAAUCUAUAUAUAAAAAUGAAUUUUACAUUUUUUAUUUUCUAUUUUUAUUUUUGUCCGAAACUUAUAUUAAUUUAAGGACAAGAUUGAAAAUUUUACCUUGAAUAAUGAUGCUGACACCAUAGAGAAAUUCAUUUUCCAAUGAAUUUUGUUUCCUGCUAAAGAAUUACAAAGAUUUAAUCAAACUCAAUUACAUUGAUCGAUGAAAAUAAUAUAAACACACACACACAUAACAUACACAAACAUAUAAUUCAUUAAAAAUAAAAGAAUAUAUAUAUAAAUUUAAAUGUCGCAUACCUUUCAAGAAGAAGAGAAGAAUGAAACUGAAUUACAUCUUCAUAGGUUUUAUAGAGGAAACUAUAUGCCUAGAAAAGAUUACAAUAAUUUCUAUUUAAUUCACUUAUGAUUUUAAAGGCAUAGUCAUUAAUUUUAGUUUGACUCACUUUUAAUUCUAACUGAUACUAAUAAAGUAUAAUAAAGGCAUAGUCAUUAAUUUUUAUUUGACUCACUUAUAAUUCUAUUGAUUGAUACUCCGUUACUAAAUACUUGUCACUAUUUUGGUUUGCAUUUUCUUAAGAAAAAAAUUAAUUACAGGCUAAAUUGAUUAAAUUGUCCUUAUUAAUUAAUUUUUUCUAUUUAAUACUUCUCUUUUUUGCACUACAUUAAACAUCUCCUCAUAUUUAUGACUAAUAGUAAAUGUGAAAAAAAUAAAUAAUUAUGUCUUAAUUUUUUAAAAUGACAAGUAUUAUGAAAUACAACAACAACAACAAAUCUAGUAUAUUUUCACCUAGUGGGGUCUGGGGAGGGUAGAAUGUACGCAAUCCAUACCACGACUUCUAAACAAGUAUUAUGAAAUAUCUAUUUUUAAUAAGAACGAUAAAGAUUUAGGAAUGAAGAGUAAUAAUGUACACUAAAGCCAUAAUGAUUAAUAAAUGUGUUAAAUUUGAAAAACAUAAGAGAAUCGCGUAUGAACAACCAAAAGCCUUGUAUGACUGAUAUCGUAAAUUAAUUAUAAUCAUACUUGAUAUGACUAAAUACUUAGAUAUUAUAGUGUGAAAUUGCUAAGACAACACUUGAUUAAUAGAGCAUUCUAUUUGGAUAUCUAUGAUGUAAGAAAUAUAUGUAAUUAUUAUAAUUUAAAGUUUGACAGAAAUGUUAAAACUUGACCAAGUUUCUUUAUAAAUAUUUAAAAUUUAUAUUUAAUUAAUGGUGUCACAAUUUAUGGAAAAAUUUAAACUAUAUUUUGUUUUAAAAUGUCAAAUAUGACUUAAAACUUAAUGUAAGGAAUAUAUGAAAUUAAAAAAAUGUGGUCUGAGAGGGGUCAUUCGCAACUUUUCAGGUGAUUGGAUCGCGGAUUUUUCUGCCACGGACCAUAGCCAUUGCCAUACACUGGCUGAACUUGAAGUCUUAAAAAUUGAUCUUGAUUUAGCCAUUGCACACAAUCUUUUACCUAUUAUUAUUAAAACUGACUCGGUGGAGGUAAUCCAAUUGUUACAGUAUCCUACCAUGCCGUUUACUGAUAUUUUAUCUCAAUGCAGGUCAAUAUUGAAGAGCAUGGGGAAUCCAGUGGUACAACAUAACUUUCGGGAGGCUAACAAAGUAGUAGAUAGUUUGGCCCGUGCAAGUUUCUCCUUUUCCCAGUUUGGUGAAGUAAUUUAUCUCCAGUUUCCUCCGUCUUCAGUCGUUGUACAUCAGCAAAAUGAUGUUGAUGAUGUUGUUAGUGAUCGUUUUGUGUCCUGGUCGCUGUUUAAUAACCUCUUAUGUCUAGGAAAUCAGUCUAUUUUAUCUCAUGUAAAUAGCAAUGCUAAGCCUAUUACUACUAUAAUUACUGUAUGUAAUUCCAUCAGUUUAGUGGCCUCUCACAGAAGAGUGAUCCCUAUUUUGUAAUGACUCUCUCUCUCUAUAUAUAUAAUAUUAAAAGUGUGAACAACCUUAAGUGAUUUGAAUUUUUUACCCUUCAUUAAAAUACUACGCAAUAGAUAAAAUUAUCUUUGCACUUAUUUUCUCUAAUUAUUAUUUAAUUAAAUUAAAAUCCUAUAAAGUUAAGGACUCCUAAAAUUUAUUUUUAGACAAAAUCAUCUUUUCACUUUUUUUCAUCAAUAAAUAUUAUUAUUAAAUAUUGACUAUAAUAAAUAUAUUAAAAAUUAAAUUGAAAGAGAAACCUUUCCCACAAAAUCGGCUUCCUUAUUUUAUGGUAAUGUUUUUUUUUUUUUCCUUUUUGGCUGUUAUGAUUUCUACUUGCCAAAUAUAGGUGUAACUGAAUAAUCGCCAAAAGAAUAACAACUUUUAUUAAUUUUCUGAAGUUAUUGAACAGUUUUUAUUAAUUUUCUUUAUGUUAUUUUUGAGUAGUUAUAUAUGGUUAAAAAAUCGUACAUUGACCAUUGAGAUUUGGGUUCAGUUUGCAACUCCUAAAUCAAUUAGAAUUUUACUUUAAUUAAAACAAAAACUCUACAACUAAUUCUAUUUAAGUCUAAGUUUUUGGUGUCCUAUUGGUACAACUAUGAUUCCUCUAAAAAAAAUUUUGGCUCUUUUUUUCUUAAUUUUAUGUAAAUAAAAAAUUUUUUUAGUCAGUUCCUUGAUUCUUUUUCGCUUGUUCCAUAACUAUAAAUUUAAUUUUGUUGUCAUGUUUUUGCUAUUUUUGUAGGAAAGGUUAGUUUUAAUUUUAUUGUUCUAAUAUCUCUAUUAUUAUAUUUUUUUUUUUUUGGUAAUUUACAGGCGGUAGAUGAAUGUUUGAUCAGACUUUCAAAAUUUUUUGUGUUAAAAUUAGAGAUUCUUUUUGGAUAUCCUAAUAACAAAUUCCCUUGUGGGAUUCUAUGGUCAAAGAAUAUUUCUUUGACUGUCAACCAUUUUUUUUUAAUAGAAAAAUGUCUUAUCACUGUAUUUCGAAAAAAAUAUUGCUCAAAAUUGAUGUGCGAGAAAAUAUUUCAAUGUUUUCUUUUCUCUCACACUAAUAUGAUAUCUCAUGUUUCAUAAUGAAUUCAAGGUAUUUCUACAUAAUGACUUUUUUAUAGUAUAAAAUAACAUUGAAAGAAUUAUAUUGACCUUUUAAUCUCACAUUUUUUUCCUUUCAUUCAGUUAUUUAUUUUGAUGUAUCAUAUAAUUUUUCAACUCAUAAAAUAUAGAUUACAUAAUAUGUAAAGUCUACAAGUUAUGUUUUAUCAUGAUUAAUAUCUGUAGUCAGCUAAGGGAAAAAAAAAAUAAAACAAAAAUAAAGUAUACCUUCUUAGAGAGAAAAGAAAAAGCUAAACAAAAGGUGUUUUGAGUAUUGAGUCAUUAGUAAGCAAACGUAAAACUUUUAUUUGAGAUGAGCGUACAAAUUAUAGUACGUAAGCAUAUCCUUUUGUCUGUAAGGAAUGCUUCUGUAAGUUUAGUAUUUAAAUUUAGAAUGUACAAAAUGUCCUAUAUUUUUAAGAUUUACGUGCAUUUGGUUUGAGGUUUUCUAAUUCAGCUUCCUUUUACUUUGGUUGGUUUUCUUUGAAACUUUUAGGGUAAUACUUCGCCUCUGGAUUACCUCAGUGAAUUUGAGCUGAUCGAUUUGAUGGAGAAACAUGGUACUGAAACAGAUGAAUCGAUCUCCCUGCCUAUUAACAACAUAUGGGAACACAGUUAUGUCCAAGUUUUGCUAUAUGCGUUGUUUUUCAAUUCUAGCUGUUACAGAUUGCAAGUACAAGUUGGCGAUGAUUGGUUCCAACUCCUCUAGAUAUCAGCUCGAUAAGAGGGCGCUAAUGCAUAGAUUCUAAUCUCUUUUUACCUUUCUUAAAUUUAAAAAACGAUAAUAUCCAUUGCUUAAUAUAGUUAUGUGCACAUAUGUUUCUGUAAGAAGGUGUGAGAGAUUGAAUAUAGUGGGUAUGAGGAUGAGUAGAAGUAGGCUAAAGAAGUAGUUGAGAGAGGUGAUUUGAUAGAUUAUGGAAGUCGUUGAUUAGGGUAGAGAGAUAGUAGGUAGUUGAGUCUAUCUAGAAUAUGUAUGAAUGCCAAUGCAACAUUGCGUACACAGUUUUUGUCUGGUGUUUCAUCUACUAUUGAAGACACCGAUCGAUGCUGCCAGCAAAAAACUUCUCCGUUUCAUUGACGAUAAGUUUUUUAGUAAAACAUAUAUAUUGAUGACUUACGUUGGGUGCUUGAUAUCAUCCAAUUAGCUAAAUUAAAUUCUGCAGAUUCUUUAGAUCUUGAGCAUGGUGCUUGUGGGAACCUUGAUUACAUAAUUGUUCCUUGUUGUGGAGAGCUGAGACAAUCAAAGAGUGGACACUACCACAAGGCUAUUGAGAUUAUAGUCGUGCAGGAUAAUAUCUUUCACAAGAGUACAUGGCAAGGACACUGCCAGUGGCAAAACUAGAAAUUUUGUUUGAGGUGUUUAAGAUUUAAUAUAUAGGUAUGAAAAUAAUUUUAUCUAAUUCUCAAUCUACAUAAUAUAAUUUUUCGAUGAAAGGUGUUCAAGUGACCAACCUAAGUAGCAUGUGGCUAUGCAACUAGACAUUGUGACAUAUUUUGUUUGGACUGACAUUAUUCAUGUACUUAUGAUAUUAUGUUCAUGUUCAAAUCUCUGUCACUUAUACUAGGUCGACAAAUCGUCUUACUCUACAUGAAAAAAGAGAGCUUCCAGUAUAACAAGCAUUGAUUCCCUUGAAAAGCUCAAGACUCCUUUCGAAAAGUUGUUGAAAUUAUUUUGGGAUGGAAAAUCACUAAAGUAAUCCUUUUGUGUAGCCAUUAGAUGUUCCUGGGAUUGGUGAAUUGGCCCUUGGUCCUCUCAUAUUUGGAGCUUCAAGUACACUGCUGGAUGCGGACCAAAAUGAGAUCUACCUCAAAGGAAUGCCUAUUUUGAAUGGAAAGGUAAUGCAAAUAUUAUCUCAUAGUCUAGGUUCGGUUUUACUAACAUCUUGUUUGGCAGUAUUUGUAUCACAGGUUCUAAGAAGGCAUGGGGAUGUGUUUGAACGCACUUCUAAAGGAUAUUACCAUGCCUAUGGUCGUCCAGAUGAUACAAUAAACCUUGGUGGUAUAAAGGUCUGCAUUUAGCCUUGCAAUUAAAUCCUUAAGUAUUUGUUUAUUAUUAAGAUCCAGUAAACUAUGCAUAUGAAUGGGCAUUUGAGUUGCCAAGCAUUUAUCUAUACUGGAUUAUUUCCUUUCCAAGAGUCUGCUAUUCCAUUUUUUCAGGUGAGUUCAUUUGAGAUUGAGCGCAUAUGCAAUGCAGUCGAUGAAAAUAUACAAGAAACAGCAGUAUUUGGAGUACCACCUAUUGGAGGUGGGCCUGAGAAGUUGGUAAUUGCAGCCGCUUUUAAGGAUUCAGAUAACUUGGAACAAAACUUGGUUAAUUUGAUGAUGUCUUUCAACAUGGCUUUGCAGAGGAAGUUGAAUUCAUUGUGAAAAUGUAAAACAUAUUGCAGAAGACACUCAUUCAUUGAGUGAUUUAAGACUUCCUCUCGCUACUAUUAAUUAGGACUAUAGAAAUUAGACAUUAUAGAAUUAUGAAAGAAAAAUCAUACACAAGAAUUCACCUCCGAACAUGGACGAAUGAGGAUAGCUUAGCGGUACUCUUAUUUUUUACCGAUAUACAUUUUUAGUGGAAAUAUAUGCUUUAUCAGUGGUUUGGUACACGAGAUUGAAUAAGUAGGGAUCUCCUAUUUUGCUUCACAUAUGCACCAUAUAUUGACCUACCACCCUUCCUCCCAUAGAAGAAGCAGGUAUUAUAGGUUUUAUCUUUCUGGAAUUUGUAAAACUAAAGACAAUCCUAAAGGAACAUACAUAUAUUACAAUUUACGAAAAAAAGUAAAUUACCACUUAAACUAGGCGCCCACACAGUAGGGGUACAAAUUUAGAUUUUAUAUGUUUGUCAUAUUGUUUCAUAUUUAUAGACUUCAAAUACAAAUUAAGAAGAAGAAAAUUUCUUUUACUUCAGGGUUUUCCUAAUAAAAUCCCACAAAAAAUGUCAAAGGAUCACAAGAAAAGACUGCUUUCCUAGAGAACAGUAAGAAAUAACUAUUACUCAAAAGUAUAUAAAAAGAAAAAGAAGAACGGAAAUUAUCCGGUCAUCUCUCACUCUAAUAGACCUCGAUGAAUUACUCAGUUUUGUUAAUUAGAGAGUCUCAUACAUAUAAGUUGCAAAAUAAUUUUCUUAAUGGUAAAAAUAUUAGCUACUCAGGCAAUACUCUUUAUGGGUUAAGUGAGUGCAUGGAAUGUAUAUGCAAGAUGAAGAGGAUAUUGGAGUCACAGAGCUCCCUUGGAUAGCAGCUGGUACUGGUGGAGAAGUCACUCCCUAAAAGAGAAGAUGCAUAGCUGGUCGUAUGUGCUCAUGAAUUAGAAAUAUUUCAUUCGACUAUUUUAUCUCAUCUUUAAUGUAGGAUAGUAUUCCACCAUUUUAGUACAAAUGGUUGGAUAAAAUAGUCUCAAAAUUAGCUAAUACCUUACGCCAAAAUGAGAUAAAGCUAAUCACAAACUCUAUUUCGAAAUUAUUAUCCUACUCAUAUUCUAUGUAUUUGAUGUCAUGUGUAUUACAUUAAUUCUUUCACUGCACUUUGAAAUUAUUAUUUUUUCAAGAUACCUACACAUGAAUGUUGAUUCUCAAUUUAUAUAGAAAGUGAUAUACUUCAAAAUUAUAAAUUCAAAUUUGCAAACACAAUAGAAAACAAAUGGAAGAUUGGAGAAAAAAUUAAAGGAGCAAGAAGCUAAAUUUCUUCUAUUGUGGAAGAGGAACAUCUCGUCAGAAGUCUCACACCCCAUCAAACAUCUCAUUAACUUCUUCUUUCAAUAUUCUUCUUAGUCAAUUAAUGUUUACUUAUCUUAAUGUGAAAUUGAACCUCAAAAAAAAAAAAAAAUCUUUCUAAAGUCAUUUACUAUUCUUCAAUAAUUUAUUAUUAUUGUAUAUAUUUUGUAGUGAUUAAUGAUGUGACGUGAAGCAUAUGUGCAACACAGUGAUGGUAGAACUGGUUAGCCGCAUAUUGAGUAUUUUCUGAAAAGGAUUUGAUGGCCUGUAUCAUCCCUUAGCUUUGUAAAUAUUUCACUUGGUAAUUAAUAAAGUGAUCUUUAAUUGCCAAAAAAAAAUAAAUUUAAAAAGUAUAUAUUUUAUACUACGUGCUCCUACAUUGCUAUAAAUAAAAUAUGUAUGUCAUUUUGAUUUAUACUAAGAGAAACAAAUAUACAAGAAAAUAGUGUUUGUACGAGAAAAUCAUAAAAAAUGUUUUGUCAUACAAAAAUUGAAUUGCUAUAAAGAUUAGAAACAAAAAUUUAGCUUGAAACAAACAUUAGAUACCCAAAAUAUUGUUAAGUUUAUCGUUAGAUUUUAAUUCGUCAAUCACAAGUAAAUUCAAGUCCAAUUAUUUUCUUACUCCAAAUUUUAUAAACCAAAGAAAGUAGUUUGCAGCCCUUUAAUUUUUUGUGAUAACUAUAUCAUCAAGUAGUAUUGUCUUGAACAAGAAAAAUUGAAAGAAAUGAAAAAACUAAGAUCAUUAUGAUUAUUCUAUUUUUGCUUUUAAGUAUGGGAGAUAUGAAUUUAGGAUUUAGAUUGGGUAGGAUCAAGAUUGAAUAUUUGUAAUGUAAGCUUAGUGAUGUUGCACCUAAGAUCGGUUUGGAAGUAAGGCUUGAGUCCAAGUUAUCCCCGGUGAGGAGGUGUAAAUGGUUAGCAGUAGCGGGCAUUUGAAGAGAUAGAGGCAGGUCGAAGAAGUAUCUAUACUCCCUCUGUUUCGAAUUAGUUGGCCCUUAUAACCUUGACACGUCCAUUAAGAAACCAAUAAUUAGAGGUACAUUUUACUCUCUUACCUUUAUUUGCAUUAUAAAGUUUAAUGAUUAAUGCAAUAAAUAAACAUAGAAAUUUGGUGCAAUUACUUCAUUUCAUGCAUGCAUCAAGUCUAGAACCUACAAAUUUAAAGUUGAAAUUAUAAAUCAUUAACUUUUUUUUGGAGAAUUGAGAUCUUGAGCACUCCAUUCCAUUACUACUCUAUCUAAGCAUAUGCAUGAAAUUUGAACGUUCAGCAAGACUAUUCUAUUCUAACUACUAAGCAUAUUGAUCUUCAUAUUUUAGGUAUAGGUGUACUUGUUGGAAUAGAAAAUUUGAUUAAAAAAUAUUACUAUGUAUAUGUGGAAUAAGUGAAAGAAAAGUAGUAAAAGAAAAGAAAAGAUGGAGAAGAAGUAACGUGUUGCGUGCAUGGAGUUAUGCUUGUUGGAGUAGUAGUAUUCUAGAAAAGAGAAGAAAAAGUGAAGCUUAAUAUUUAAUGGUAGUUGAAAAUGUAAAAUUAUUUACUUUCAAUAAUUUUUAAAAAUGUGGAUGUACUUAAUACUAUUAAGGGUAGAAUGAUCAACUUUGACAACUAAAGUGAAGCAAAUAAUUUUAGCAAGAAGACCAACUAACUCGAAACGGAGGGAGUAUUUUGUAUUUGUAAAAGGGGUCUUAAAUUUUUAUUUUUGUAUGUUGUCAUUUCUUAUCCCUUUUUUUAUUUUAGUUCAUAUUGAUAUUUUAUGUUAAUUUAUUAUAUUUGAUUUUUCUCAAUACUCAAUGAUAAAUAUUUCACUUGAUUUUUUGAGUCUUAUUAGCGAAAAAAUGAGUUGUAAUAUCUUAUCUUACAGAAGAAGUGAAAAUUAAAAUAAAUGCAAGUCAUAUUUUUGUACGUUUUUACUAACAAAAAUGCAUAAUACACCCUUAGUUUGAUAAAACUGACUUUUAUACUAUUGAAAAUGUAUAAAACCUGAUUGUCAUUAAUUCUGAACAUCUCAACUUAUAGAAAAGAUUACAUAAUAUAAAUUUAAAUAGAAAAUAUAUUUUUGGCUACAUCUAAUGUGACAGUCAUACAUCAUGUUCCUUUUUAUACACUUUUUUAUCUUUAAAAUUAGGUUAUAUUUUAAAAUUUUUUGCACUUGAUAAAAUAAAAUACACACAAUAAUUUAUUUUAUAUAUAUUUAUUCUUAAUUAACACGUGAUACACGUGCAACACAGGUAUUCUAAAUUAAAACUACCACACGUAUAUAUAUAUAUAAUAUCCAAUUUACCAAAAAAAAAAAAGAAAUUAAAACUACAUCAUUAUUAAAGUGUAAAACAUUUCAUGAUUUUAUCAAAUUAUACUACGUUCAUUAUAUCUUUUGCACAUAUUAAUUAGGCAUUUUUAUAUAUAUAUAACUUAUCUAGGUGACGGCCUUAGUCUAUAAAAUCACAUCAUAUUAUACAAGUAACUGGGCAUUAGAUUAAUUAGAUUGUACUUUUAUUUAUGAGUAUGGAGCUUACUAGUUGCUAUAUCUAAGAUCUAACUAUCUAUGUAACUAUAUGUUUAUUUAACUAAGGUGCGAUUUAAGUGAAAGGGAGCAUAAAUAGUUGAAUUAGAGAAGGUGCCUUAUAUAAAAAAUCACUUAUACUAUAAAAGACACCCUCAAGAAGAUUGAAUCUUCAAGCAAGCAAUUCCGGCAUUGAAUAUAAACAAAGGUCUUACCCCCAACUUUCACAAGAGUUAUACACAUAAUCUCAAUAUCAGAAAACAAUCUAAAUUUAAAGGAGUUGUUCUUUACUAUUUAUAGUCUAAUCUAAUUAGUAAUAAAAUGUCCUUAAUGAAAUAAGGGUCUUCUUAAGCAUGAAACUUGUAUUUGAAGAAUAACUUCUUUUCGCACAUAAAUAUUUUCUUCAUACUUUUAUUUUCUUUAAACUGGAGCCUUGUACUUUCACUUUAGCUUGCUAGUGAUUGUCAAGUCUUCCUUCCAAAUUCCCAACACAAUGACUUGAUGUGAUGUUCUUGAGCUCUUCAGCUUUCCUUGACGUGCAUGCAUCAAAAGACGAGAGCUGAAAACGAUACAUUAAUUGUGAACAGGGUUAAAAAUCUGAAUUACCAGCUAAUUAUAGAGGACAUGAAUAUCAAAGAUAUGGCAAAAGAACAUGUAGUACCUAACCUCCAUGCUAAAUCAUUAAUGAAGUUUCGGACAAUGUCCAGCGAAUGAAUCAUUGGAUAGUUAGUCCAUUAUUAGCAUAUCAGCAAAAUACUUCAUUCCAAAGACUUUCAAGGUACUUUUAAUAAAGAGGGAACGUGAAUCUUCAAUUCGAUCCUAAUUUUUUGUCUCAUGGAUUUAAGACAACUAAAACCUCAGAGAAAAUUCAUACCCUACAUAAACAACCUUAUUAUGUUACAUGAGCUGAAGGACUAAUAUGAUUGAUGAUAUUGUCGAUGGAUGUCAAGUAAAAAUACCUUUUUGUGUUCUGUAUUGAAAUAUAUGUUCUUUCCUUAAUUUUGUUGUUGUUGCUUUGUUUAAUGUGGAAUUGAACAUCUUUCAUGUUUUUUUAUUUGUUUGAUUUGGAUGACAAAAUAAAGAGUCUUUAUAAUUAAAACUCUGGAAGAAUUACUUAAGGCAUUCAAGAAGCAGGUUGCUUCAUAGAAUCCUUUUUUGUUCUCUUUCUUUUUUCUAAAUCAACACUAAGUUAUUUGAAGUAUUUACUCUGUCAUCCAAAUCAAGCAAAUAAAAACUCAUGAAAGAUGUGCAAUUCACAUUUAAAAAAGUAACAACAACAAAACUAAGAAGAGAGUAUAUACUUCAACUAAAAACACAAAAAAGAUUUACGAGUUGACAACUACCAACAAUAACAUCAAUGACACUGUUUUGCGGAGAAAUUUUGACUUUUGAAAGAGAGUUGUCACUUAAUUUUGAAAAGAAAUUAAGAAACCUUUAUAAAACACUUUAAACGAUCUAAAACAGAAAAAUCGUUUAAGUUAAGAGAUUCUAGAUAAGAGGUUCCUAUUAACGUUUUAGGAAGGUGUUAGGCACCUAAAACGUCCGCUAACUUGCGGUUAUCCGGACUGUUUGAAAAUUGUCUUUGAUUAACUUUGAAAAAAGUUUAUUUUUUAAAAAUAAAGAAAUUUUAAAAAUAUUUUGACGUUUAUGCAAAACUAGUUUUUAACGACUUGAAUAGGGGAUUAACUAGGUUUGCAAGAAACAUGCAAACAAGUAAGCAAAAAGGAAAGAGGAAAGGGGAGAAGGGAUUCAGGCCAUUGGGUCCAAAUCGAUGAGACCUGUCCUAGUCUAAUAGGGCCUUUAACCCAUUUCACCUGUCCUAAUCUAGCUCUCGAGCCUUUAGCUCGACUCUUGCUCCACCUGUAUUAGAUACAAAUUUGAGUUCGAGGCCCAAAUGAAUAUUUAAAAGAAAUGAAUAAAAUGAAUGACGACAAAUAAAGCAAUAAAAGUGAUAUUUUCUCGAAUCUCCUAGCUAUAACAAUAAUGGAUAUCCGCUUACUUCCUUCCAUUGGCAAAUUCUUUCUCCAAAAUCAAUCUCACUGGAAGGACUCGAGGGGGUGACUCAAAUGCGAAGUGAACUAUGACAAACCAUCAUUGAAAUGCACAUGGGAAGAGUCCCUUUUGGGACUCGGCAUUUUUGCAUGUCAACAUAAGAAGGAAAAAGAGAAAGAUUAGAAUCUGUUCAAAUGGAUGAUAAUUAUUUAACAGUCAAGCUUAUGCACCCAGUUAGCAAAACAGAACAUACUAAAGGUCGGCGAUAAUCCAGAAAAAUAUAAUCCCUAUUCACCACAAAGAAACCAUAAGACUAUAAUUGCUAAAAAUCGAGAUGAGGCUGUUUCAAGCUCUUUUAACAUAUUAAUGCGAUCGAAGCUACAAAAGAACUCAUAGAUGACACUCGGAGUGCAACAAGAUGUAAUUAUUUUUUACAAAGAGAAUAUGUAUGCAAUUUGAGAAGCUAAAAAAGAUUCUCUUAACUAAGAGACAAAUGAUGUCUUCAAGAAUAAAGGCAGAUUCAGAGUAAAGAUAAAGAAAAUUGCAUAUUUCUAACCAUCCUGAGACAAAUGCUAAUACAUACAGGUAUGGGAGCAAAGAGAAAUCAUGAUCGAUUGGUACGGGAUCAAAGACAAAUACACAGGAAGGCAAAAUUAUGAACUUGCAUAAAUUUUGGAUAAGCUUCUAUCUACUAGUUUCCGAGAUAGUGGCAUCCAUUAUUAUAUGUAAAAGCUAAGUCCAAUACUUUUAUUCAAAAGAAAUUGAACCAAACAAAACUAAUGUACCUUUGACAGAGAUUGACUGCAGUACCAUGAGAAAAAUCAAUUCGAAUAAUCUGGUUCAAAUAUUGAGGUUCAUGACAAGGGUGAUAAAGCUCCUAAUACAUGUAUUGAGACACUAAUAAAGUGAUCAAGAACUUUUUGCAAUUAGCAGGUAUACUAAGCAAAUAACAUGAACUCUUGGGACUUAGCAGGUAUGAAUUGCGCGAACAACUUUGCUAUCAAAGCAUCACUGAAGUGUUGACUAAUUAUGAAUUUAGUUAAGACACGACAAAUUAUAAUAACCUUUUUUACAUAAAUUCUUACCAGGAGAAGAUUAAUAUAAAGGAGAAAAAUAAUUUUUCAAAAGGUAAAUGGAUUGAAAUUCAUCUUUACAGAUUUACACUCUAAAGCAAAACAUGAUUCUAGGGACGGAGGUUGACGAACUAGAAAUGCCCAUUCUCUAUUUGACCAACUGAGAAUGCUAAUUUUCUUAUGGGGAAAUUUUGAACCCCAUUUAAACGUAAUAACUGAACUUCUAUUUACCAAACUCAAGAAAACUCAUGGAACAUGUAUGAACCUAAUCCAAGCAUGAACACCCAUCCCCUAUUUACAAGUUGAAAUUUAACCAAACAAUCAUGAGUAUAAUGCGUUACCAUGAAUAGUGAGAUCACAGAUAAACAAAAAGGGAAUGACUAUAGAGACUAAACAGUAAUCCGGACAACUAUGCAAGGGUAUUAUCUCAGUGAAAGUAAUAUAACGAUUACAUAAUCCUGUAACCUCCGAAGCUCUCUACAACAAAACAACCCAAGCAACAUUAUUGCUAAAAUAUUAUUAAAGCAAGAAAUGAUUAGUAUGAAGGGCAAGACGAACGAGAAAACAAUAGAUAAAAUUAAAAGGGCAUAAUAUGUUUACCUCUUUCUUAGAAGAAAUUUCCUCUCAAAUUUUCGAACCUAGGAAAUUUCGGACCCCCUGUUUCGAUGCAGCAAACGGGACUCGAGCUAUCAAUAAAAUUUCACCACUGGGAGCUGAUGUUGUCGACUCGGGAACUUCCAGUUGAUCGACUAGCUUCCCAGAAAAAAUGGACGAGAAAGUUUUUGCAAAAUACACUCUUUGAUUUCGGAGUUCCCAACCCAACUUUCAAAAAAAAAAACCUCGUCUCUUACGACUCCUAUCUUCCACCUCAAAGCUUGGACCCCAUAAAGAAACAAGACUAAUUCCCGAAAAUUUCUUUGAAAGAAACCUAACCCUCCAAUCUCCAAUCCCUUUCUCGACUCUCUGUGAGAUCUUUUAUAGAAGGGAUUGAGGGCAUUCCAGGAAUUUUCGAAAAUAGCCCAUUUGAAUUUUGAAUUCCCCUCCUCCAGCUCUGUUUUUGUCCUCAAUCCACCCAAAAUUAGGUUUGGUGGACCAAUAGAAAUGGGAGAAACGAAUUAUUUUCCAGACCCAAUGAAAAAUUGCCAAAUAUGUACCUAAUCUGUACCAUUAUCCCAAAAUAUGUGAAAUAUAGUCAUUAGAUGCGAUAACUCACGCUUUUCUAGAAGCUUCUCGGAUCGUCCAUGGUACAACAUCGCGUAGGACGUGCAAAGAGGAUAAAGGCAAGCUAGUUGCGGGUCGACUCAGGGCUGGUCGAGAAGGGUUUGGAUUUUGGAUUGAAUGGUUGCUGUUGUUGAUGUUGAAUAUCGGGUGUUUUUAUAAAGAAUAAGGGAUAAAGGGGAUUAUUGAUGUGGGCCGAGUUAGGGGUUUUGGUUAGGCUGAUAUUGGAUUUGUUUUAGGCUGAUGGUUUUUUAAAAUAAAAAAUGGGCUGCUGGGCAUCUAGCUGUUGGGCCGAAAUUGAUAUGUUGUUGGGUUAUAGUGGGUAGAUUAGGGAUUUGGUCAUAUAGGGAUUUAGGCUAUUUAUCAAAUAGCCAACGAUUGAAGAGUUUAGACAAUCAUAUUUAAAUCUUAGCCUAAUUCAAAUUAAAUUGACCAAUUAUAUUACAAUUAUGGUCAAAUUAAUUUUAAUAAAGGUCUAAUUUAAUAAAUUGUCUAAAUCAAAACGUCAUUUGAAAUGAAUUAACAAUCAAUUCAGUUCUGAAGUUUCUUGAUCCGAUAAAAUCGAACUCCUGUUCAUCCAAAUAAAUUAUUUUUGCGAAUAAAUAAUAAUUAAAUUAAGAUUUUAAUCAUUAUAAGUUUACUUCAACAUAAGCUUUGAUCAUAAUCCGCUAUUUGUAAAACCAAUAUUCAAGCCUCAAAAUUGUAUAAUUUCAUAUAAUUCAAUACAACAAUAUACAAUCGCUACUUAAAAAUGAUAAAAUUACGUCCAGGAAAUGUUUUGAAAAUCCUUUAUUUCGGAUAAGAUAAACGUUGUAAUUUUAUUUGAGAAUCGAAGAAACUCUGAAUUAAACUGAGUUAUGGAGGGCACAAAUUAGAUGUCAACAACUGCCCCCCCCCUUUGGGUAGGGUGGAUGCACGUAACCCUGGGCAAAGUGAGGUUGACACUCUUAAUUUUUGUCCAACCACAAAUUUAUAUCUGAAAAGGGGUUGGCUUUUGCAUGAGUUUAUGGAGUUAUUGCUGGACCUUGGUAUCAGGCUUCCUACAUAUCUCAGGUUACAUGAGAAUUUAGGCCACUUGUAGUUCAUGAAGCUUGACUUUAAGCAUGAUUUUCAAGAAAAUUCACCAACUAUCACGGUUUUAGAGUGUUUGGUUAAACUGAGAAGCUGGGGAAUAAAGGGAUUUGGGGAAAGUUGGAAUGUAGUCGAGUUUUGUACAUAGAGCCUAGCCUACAUAUCCCCAGGACUCAGGGAAUCAGAUUACCUGUAGUUCGACUCAAUCGGUGGAAAAGAUGGUCUUUUAUUUCAGACGAUCUUUGGCUCAAGAUGACUGAUAAGUUGAUUGAGUUGCGGAAAAGAGGCUUGUAACCAAUUAACCAUGAACAUGGAGAUCUUCACAUCCAUAGGUAAGAAUUUACCUGGGCAUAAUUUCCAAAACUCUAGGAGUCUUAUCACUCGAAUUUGAAAGAAAGAGAAGGUUACCCUCGGUAUGAGUUUAGAAAUAUCCCGAAGGUGAAGCUGAGACCAGAAUAUCCAAAAAUACCCACAAUCCUUCUAAUAGAUGCGUGGUUAGAUGGUGGUGGUGAUCAUCAUUUAGCUCGCAUCUAGAGAGUUUGACAUCCCUCUGCAGACUAUGUCCCGUUUUGCUGCUAAGAAAGAGUUCCACGUUGUGUUGUAUCCUAUUUGAAGUCGUCCGAACCUAUGGUUUUGAUUUGAGAUUUUCAUCCUCUUGGAUGCUCUGACAAUGCUUCAAGCGAAAAGUGUUAGUGCUAAACAUAAUUCACGAAAGAGGUAUGUAGUCUUUUACCAUAUCUCCACGCGAGUUAUGGCUUGUAAAGCAGAGUCAUCUCUUUCUAUACCCGUUUGGAAUGAAAUAACCGGCGAUAACAAACACAAAAACCCUCUUGGUUGUUAUAUAAUUAUGACAUUUAUUGGUUGAAUAUGUCUUCAAAGUGGGGUGGCCCUUUUGGACACCGGCGAUACUUUAUGCAGAACUAUCCCUACAACUGUGUAAUCUUAUGCUGGUGUGGCAACCCUUUUGGUUACCUGUAUCACUUGUUGUAUGUGGAAUGAUAACCUCUUCGGUUAUAGCCGAUGAUCGAUUUAUAAAUUUUCCUUAAAUUGUCAAUCUUUGGAUAAUCUUGCACACUAUUUGACAUUGGAUACGAGGCGACUUAUAGAUAUCCUUUGAAUUGUUAGCUUUUAGGUAAUCUUGCACAUUAUCCGACUUUGGAUAAGAGAUGACUUACAGAUAUCCCUCCAAUCUCUAGCUUUCAGGAGUUCCUGCACAUCAUCCGACCUUGGAUACAAUAUGACUUAUAGAUAAUGUCUCAAAUUGUUAGUCUUUGGGUAAGCCUACACAUAAUUGAUCUUGGAUAUGACGCGGAUUAUCGAGAACCCUUGGACGUAUCAAUUUGAUAAUCUUGCAUAUUCUCCAGUAAGGAUUUAGUUGCGACUUACGGAUAACCUUUGAACUAUUGAUUUUUGGGCGAUCUUGCACACUAUCCGGUUUGGAUGUUGUUGUGGCUUACAGAUGACCUACAGACUAUCAAAUCAUAGGUGAUCUUCCACACUAUCUUAUUUCAAAUAAUAUGACUUAUAGAUGAUCCUCAAAUUGUUAAUUUCUAGGAAAUCUUAUAUAUCAUUCAUCCUUAGAUAGCGACUUAAAGGCAUCCCUUCAAAUCGUGCUCUUGAUGCAUUUAGAUGCUGAUUCAUAAAAUGAUGUGAUAUCCUCAACUCCAAUGUUUAUGUCUUGCGUGUCAACAGAUCUAAAAUAAUGAUGAUAUCCUCGACGCCAACGUUGUGUCUUGCGUGUCAACAGAUAUAUUGAAUACUGAUGAUAUCCUCGAUGCCAGCAUUGUGUCUAAUGCGUCAACAGAUAUUGAAUGAUGAUGAUAUCCUCAAUCCCAGCAUUGUGUCUUGCAUGUCAAAAGAUAUAUUGCUGAUGAUAUCCUCGAUGCCAGUGUUGUGUCUCAAGAGUCAACAGAUAUAUGAAUAUUGAUGAUAUCCUCGAUGCUAGCAUUGUGUCCCACGUGUCAACAGAUAUAUGAAUGUUGAUGAUAUCCUCGAGGCCAGCGUAUGUCUCACGUUUCAAUAGAUAUAUGAAUAACCUUCUUGGGCAAUGGUAUGAGAUGGCCUCUUGGCAAUGAUAUGCAAUGGCCCUUGCAACAAUGAUAUGUGAUGGCCCUUGCGGUAAUGAUGUGCAAUGGACCUUGCGGCAAUGAUAUGUAAUGGCCCUUGCAGCAAUGAUAUGCAAUGGCCCUUGCGGCAAUGAUAUGCAAUGACCCUUUCGGCAAUGAUAUGCAAUGGCCCUUGUGGCAAUGAUAUGCAGUGGCCCUUUCAGCAAUGAUAUGCAAUGGCCCUUGCGGUAAUGAUAUACAAUGGCCCUUGCGGCAAUGAUAUGCAAUGGCCCUUGCGGCAAAUUUUAAAGUAAUUUUACCUGACUUUAUUUGUUAGCGCCUUGCUUUCUACAUGUACCUGUACUCAAGUUAGACGAUUAGUAGACACAAAGUCACUUUUACUAGCGACUAUUUUUAGGAAACUUCUAAAUACAAUGUUUGUGAAGAAGACAAGGCGCUUUUGUUUGUCGCCCAUGAUCUCAAGAAAUGAGAUGGAUAAAUUAGAAGGUCCUCAAUAAAUAGGUAUUAAACCUAUUUUUAGGGCUACCCUAAAAUACCGUUGUUGGGCAUUAAUGCUCUGUUGUGGCUCCAAUUUGCUCGGUGAUUUUUUAAAGAGACCCUCACUUUCGUGUAUUGAUCCCUGCAUCCACAGAAAGAUGAUUAGUUUGAAUGAAAUUACUUCGUGUUGACCUUCUUCGAUCCUUGAUUUGAUGCUUGCCAUCUCUUGGGCAUUCCGCUAUGUCGGGACUUCCAUCUUGACACUCCAUCCCAAGUGAUGUCUAGGCAAGUACUAAAUAAGUGAGUUGUAAGAUUUUUUUUUUUGAAAAUAGUCUUAAUUUUUAGAAAUUAAUUUCGAAAGCUUCUGUAAAACUUUAGAAAAUCUCUGCCAUUCAUGUCAUGUACUAGCUCAACGACCAUCUUUCUCUUGAUUUUGACAAUAUCCGACAUUUGACGGAGGAUUGCUAGGGAUUCAGCUUGUCGAGGCUCUCUACCAGAAGUUUUAUCAAAGACGGGGAUUCAGUCUUCCUAGAUUUUAUCACAGGUGGUGAUUCUCAAAUCUCAACUUUGACCUCUAGUGCUGGGGGAUUUAAAAUAUAUUCCAGUAUUUGAUUGAAAUUUUGAGGCCUCUCUCAAAAUUUCUGCCCUAGUUUAAAGUAGUCUGAGAUGAUAUCAUCUUGAGUGGAUCUGAAGUCUUUGCUGAUCUUCAUUCUCUUUGUUGGAUGUUGAUCUUCUAUUGUGAAUUUUUGAGAUUCCUUCUCAAAAAUUCUGCCCCAGUUUCUAUUUCCUCGGGUUAUAUGACCGAGCCAUUGGGGCUCCUACGUAUCCCUUUUUUGGGAGGUCAUCACGUAGUUCAUACAUAAAGGGAAAGGAUAAAUUUUCCUAAAGGGUUGAUCGAAGAUGACAUAGGCUGCCUACGUAUCCCUUUUUGGGAAUUCAGGUCAAACGUAGUUCGUACAUAAAGGGAAGGAAUAGAUUUUCCUAAGGGGUUGACCGAAGCUGACAUAGGCCUCCUAUGUAUCCCGUUCUUGGGAAUUCAGGUCAAACGUAGUUUGUACAUAAAGGGAAAGGAUAAAUUUUCCUAAGGGGUUGACCGAAGCCGACAUAGGCCGCCUAAGUAUCCCUUUUUGGGAAUUAAGGUCAAAUAUAGUUCUUACAUAAAGGGAAGGAAUAGAUUUUCCUAAGGGGUUGACCGAAGCCGACAUAGUCCACCUAUGUAUUCCGUUCUUGGGAAUUCAGGUCAAACGUAGUUCGUACAUAAAGAGAAAUGGUUCUAGGCAAUUACACAUCAUGAAAUUGAUACUAUUAUAAAGGUGAUUACAAAUAAAUCAAGAAACAAAAACUAUAACAUCUUUCAAGAACAAUAUCUUUACUGCAUCAGAAUUGAUUGGUUUGGUCCACUCCUGACCAUCCAUCUCAGGUAGGAUUAGGGCUCCUCCAGGUUGGGCUUCUUUUGAUUUUCACAUUCCUCUAUAUCUACUACUAACCGCUCCUCAUCAUAUUUUCUAUUCAUCAUUAUUUCCUUCGUUUUCUUCGUCUAACCCUUGACAUGUCAUGACAUUGGUAGGUUUUUAAAUUAUUGCUACCAAAAUAAACCAUGCUAGAUAAUCAUAUUUAAAAAAUAACUUCUUAAAUAAAGGGAUACCUUUUGCAAAAUAAAUAAAAAAUAUGACUUAUGACCCACACAAAUAUGGGCCCAUGCCUUUUUGAAAGUUGUAAAACACGAGACAAAAAUUUAAGACAUAAAAAGGUGGAUCAUGGGGCCUCCUCCGGAUCAUCACCGAUUGUAAACUAUUAGUAAUUGCCCUUUUAUCUACCGCGACGGGCGACAAAUUAGGAGCGGAGUGGAAGUCCAAUUUUGUAAAGACUCUCCUGGUGAAACCUUCUUUACCCCACUGGGCUUUGAAAAAUCUUCUGGUACAGCAUUGCAUCCCUUGAACAUAUUUCCUAUCCCAUCCCCAAGACUAUUAUCAUUUGACAUCUCAUGUAUGGGAAAUGAUUGGGGCAGGAGUGGCGAUGGUUUAGAUGGACUCUCCUUUGAAUUAUCUUCAAUCUUAUCUUCUUUUCUUGGCUGGUACUCUAUUCCAUGCCUAAAUGCUUUUUCUGGGACCAUAACAGGCUCAAUAAUUCCUUCCAAAUCCUUACUUAAGUCGGCCACAACUUUCUCUAUCUUCUUAAUCUCUUUUGUUCUUUUGAAUCCUUCUGAAUUUACCUUAGUGAUGACCUUGCUAGAAGCCCAUUCACCCUCUAUUUCAAUCAUGUUAACUGUAGGUCCCCCAUGGGUAGGCAAUGGAUUACUGUUAAUAUUUGGUGUCGGCGACUGAAGUGUGAUGACCUUCUGAUCGAUCAAAUCUUGGAUCUUAUGUUUCAAGUUAAUACAAUCCUCGGUACUGUGCUCCGCUGCUCCUAAAUGAUAGGCACAAUUUUGAUCGUGCUGAUAAAAUUGAGAGUUGUGAUUGAUAGGCUUUGGCUGGAUCAGUUGUAAAUAACCAGCUUUCAUCAAUCUUUCGAAGAGCUGGGUACGACUUUCAGCUAGCGGUGUGAAGUUUCGGGGAGGUUUCUUUUUGAAGUUCAGACGUGGAGGGUUAUAAUGGUUAUGAUUUACAGGAGGAGGUACUUGGUGAUAAUUUGGAAAUGUUUGGACAUUUAUUUGGUUAUUUGGAAAAGUAGCUUGAGUAUGAGGCUGAUAAUUUGGCUGUAGAACUUGGCACUGGGGUAAAAUAUUUGGAAUUGGAGCUUGACAUUGGGGUUGAGCAUAGAAUACAGGCUGAAAACUUGAUGACAAUGAUGAGGAAAGAAUAUUCCUAGGCUUGAAUUUCCUCUUUAACUUAUCAACAGAAUUAGCAGAGACUGCAAUCGCAUCCUCUCUUUUCUUUGUUGGGAAUGCAGAAGAUUCAGAUGAUGUUGGGGUUUUGACAAUUGUUUCUGGAUGCCUUCCUCUAACAAUUCCCCAAUCUUUACUAAAUCUGCAAAAGUUGCUCGGACCUUGGAUACCAUCUUGGUAUAAAAUUCUCCUUCCUGUGCAUGAGAAAAAAUCAAUACCAUUUCUUCCUCAGACAUGGGAAGUUGUACUUUAGCAUCCUUUUUUCUUCAACGAAAAGCGUAGUCUCAAAAACACUCAUUAUUCUUCUAUUUUAUCCAAUCUAGUGAGCAUCGGUCAGGGACUAUCUCAAUGUUAAAUGUGAACCUGUCGAGGAAACCCUUGGCCAAUGCUUUCCAACCAGUCCAUCUUUUCAGUUCCUAAGACAUGAACCACUCUAGCGCUUCGCUACUUAAACUUCGACUGAACAGACGCAUCAAUAACACCUUAUUUUUCCCUACCCCCACCAUUUGGUCAUAAUACCUUCUCAGAUGGGCCAUUGGAUUUCUGGUUCCAUCGAACUCUUCAAAUUUAGGGACCUUAUACCCUUCUAGUAGAUCUAUUCCAGGGUGAACACAUAAAUCAUCAUACCCUAAAUCGUCGUGGUCCCUUACUCCAUGAGAUUCUUUGAUCCUCAUGAUCUCUUCAUUCAUAUCUAGCAACUUCAUUUCAUGCUCGGUCCUCCACUCUUUCUUUUUUUCCUCAUAAUGGUCCAUCUCGGGAUUAGGAAGGGGAUUAUAAAUAUCAAGGGAUAUAAUGGCAUGGAGAGGAUUUGGAAGGGAGUCUUGAUUUUGCGGAUGAAACGAAGUGGAUUGGUAGGUGGGGCGGACGUUAUGAAAAUUAGAAAGGUUUUGUGGAAUUUGAGAGUGGUUAGGCGGAAUCUGAGAAGGAUUUUGCGGAUUUGGAAAUGAAUUUGGGGGAUUCGAAGGUAGGUUAGACGUAUUUUGUGCAUUUGAGAGUGAAUCUUGCAGAUUUGGGAAUGUAUUUUGUUGAUUUGAAAAUGUGUUUUGAGGAUUUAGGAAUGGAUUUGGAGACGGGUUCUGUGGGUCAGAGAUGGAUUUUGUGGAUGGUAGGCAUCUGGGUUAUUUUUGCGAUUGGUGUUUUGGACAAAUAGAGGAGUGGAGACUGACGAUAUGUUAUUUGGCUGAUUCUCGAGAAUAGGUGUACUGAGGGGAGGAAUUUGGAGUGGAGUCCCGUGUCCUCCUGGAGCGGGGGUAUUGACAGUGAUGGCCAAGUUAGCCAAAUCUCGAGUGCAAUUUAUUUCCUCCUGAAGCAUUUCUAACUUUUUUGCAAGUUCUGCAAUCAUCUCAUUUUGUUCCGUUGUUACAUUGUCCCUGAUGGUCAAUGUCUUUUCUUCAUCAUUUGCAGUCAUUAUUGAAUGAUUUUAUGCGCUUUUGACCGGGUGAAGUAGGGAUGUUCUUCCAGCUUAUAUCAACACGGAGUAGUUUCUAUUAUCUGUAAAGUAAAACAACUCAAAGACAGAUGUGUUAGUUUUCGUAUGUGAUAAGUAAUGCAAAAUAUUUGACAAGAAAUAACCACGUAGAGUUGUUUGAGUCAUAGCCAAAUUCAUCCAUAAGGAGUAUAGCGGAUAAACUUGCCUUUGAUCCAAAAAAAACACAUAAGUAUCUAAGACAAUUAUAUUACACAAAACAUUAUAAUAAUGCGUAUCCUAACUGGGGUGACCCUUUUUGAGCCAAGGGUUCAGGCCUAACGAUUUUGAAGAAAAUAUAUGCUUCCUUAAAGUCAAUCCAUUAUCCCUCAACUUAUAUAGAUACGAAAAGGGCAUAAAUACCUACAAACGAUAACAAAAGAGGGAUACAAUCUUUAGGGAAAAAGGGAAAUAACAUGAAAGAAGAUAAACUCCCACGCAGAGGAUAGAAAAUACUAAUUCCUGAGUGCUUCUUCUAUCAGCCUUCGCCUUCUUAGCUUCGUCCAGUUCUUAUAUUGGUGAUAUCCAUUGAUGUUCAAAUUGUCCCUUAGAUGCAACCUCCUAAAUCGAACAAUUUCUUGCUUAACUUGCUUCAAUUAUUCUCACGAAAGUAAGCAAAUCAAGCUUUUUCCCGACCCCCAAAGGAUAAUGGAUUGAAUUAGACAGGUAUACAUUUUCUUCAACACAUAAAUAUGGUUCAUCUAUAAUUGACUCGGGGUCAAUAGACGCAGGGCAGGUUUUCUAAUGGGCCCAAUACCCCGCUCGGGUAUUGGGUUGUCCUAGGCUUAUGCCUAAAAUAGGGUUUUGGUUUCGUUCUAUCCUAGGUGUCUAGAGUGGGUUUGAACACUAGUUCUCAAGUGGACAACUUGAGUUUGAAAAUACGAACAGCCAUCAAACGAAUCACGCGCUAAUAAGUCGUUCGUAUUUCCAACACAUUAUUGGAAUUAAACAAUAGGGGCCGGGACAUCCACGAAACCCCAAAACAGUUUAAAUAAUGCAGGAAUAUGCCAUGAGAUGCGAUAGUAAAACUUUGCAGAAUCAAAACAUAUAAACACAUAAACAGUUAAUCAAAAGACAAAAUCAAACAUUUGGUUAGAACUUAGUUCAAGUUCCCCAGCGGAGUCGCCAUUUCUGUUUUGCGGAGAAAUUUUAACUUUUGAAAGAGAGUCAUCACCUAAUUUUGAAAAGGAAUUAAGAAACCUUUAUAAAAUACUUUAAACGGUCUAAAACAGAAAAAUCAUUUAAGUUAAGAGAUUCUCGAUAAGAGGUUCCUAUUAACGUUUUAGGAAGGUGUUAGGCACCUAAAACGUCCGAUAACUUGCGAUUAUCCGGACUGUUUGAAAAUCGUCUUUGAUUAACUUUCAAAAAAGUUUAUUUUUUGAAAAGAAAGCAAUUUUAGAAAUAUUUUGACGUUUAUGCAAAACUAGUUUUAACGACUUGACUAGGGGAUUAACUAGGUUCGCAAGAAAUAUGUAAACAAGUAAGCAAAAAGGAAAGAGGAAAGGGGAGAAGGGAUUCAGGCCAUUGGGCCCAAAUCGAUGAGACCUAUCCUAGACUAAUAGGGCCUUUGACCCAUUUCACCUGUCCUAAUCUAGCUCUCAAGCCUUUAGCACGAAUCUUGCUCCACCUGUAUUAGAUACAAAUUUGGCUUCGAGGUCCAAAUGAAUAUUUAAAAGAAAUGAAUAAAAUGAAUGACGACAAAUAAAGCAAUAAAAGUGAGAUUUUCUCGAAUCUCCUAGCUACAACAAUAAUGGAUAUCAGCUUACUUUCUUCCAUCGACAACUUCUUUCUCCAAACAAUCUCACAGGAAGGACUCGAGGUGGUGACUCGAAUGCAAAGGAAACCAUGACAAACCAUCAUUGAAAUGCACAUGGGAAGAGUCCCUUUUGGGACUCGGCAUUUUUGCAUGUCAACGUAAUAAGGAAAAGGAGAAAGAUUAGAAUCUUUUCAAAUGGACGAUAAUUAUUUAACAGUCAAGCUUAUGCACCCAGUUAGCAAAACAGAACAUACUAAAGGUCAGCGAUAAUCCAAAAAAAUACAAUCCCUAUUCACCACAAAGAAACCAUAAGACUAUAAUUACUAAAAAUCAAGAUGUGGUUGUUUCAAGCUCUUUUAACAUAUUAAUGCGAUUGAAGCUAUAGAAGAACUCAUAGAUGACACUCGGAGUGCAACAAGAUGUAAUUAUUUUUUACAAAGAGAAUAUGUAUGCAAUUUGAGAAGCUAAAAAAGAUUCUCUUAACUAAGAGACAAAUGAUGUCUUCGAGAAUAAAGGCAAAUUCAGAGUAAAGAUGAAGAAAAUUGCAUAUUUCUACCCAUCCUGAGACAAAUGCUAAUACAUACAGGUAUGGGAGCAGAGAGAAAUCAUGAUCGAUUGGUACAGGAUCAAAGAAAAAUACACAGGAAAGCAAAAUUAUGAACUUGCAUAAAUUUUGGAUAAGCUUCCAGCUACUAGUUUCCGAGAUAGUGGCCUCCAUUAUUAUAUGUAAAAGCUAAGUCCAAUACUUUUAUUCAAAAGAAAUUGAACCAAACAAAACUGAUGCACCUUUGACAAAGAUUGACUGCAGUACCAUGAGAAAAAUCAAUUCGAAUAAUCUGGUUUGAAUAUUGAGGUUCAUGACAAGGGUGAUAAAGAUCCUAAUACAUGUAUUGAGACACUAAUAAAGUAAUCAAGAACUUUUUGCAAUUAGCAGGUAUACUAAGCAAAUAACAUGAACUCUUAGGACUUAGCAGGUAUGAAUUGCGCGAACAACUUUUCUAUCAAAGCAUCACUGAAGUGAUGACUAAUUAUGAAUUUAGUUAAGACACGACAAAAUAUAAUAAUCUUUUUUACAUAAAUUCUUACCAGGAGAAGAUUAAUAUAAAGGAGAAAAAUAAUUUUUCAAAAGGGAAAUGGAUUGAAAUUCAUCUUUACAGAUUUACACUCCAAAGCAAAACAUGAUUCUAGGGACAGAGGUUGACGAACUAGAAAUACCCAUUCUCUAUUUGACCGACUGAGAAUGCUAAUUCUCUUAUGGGGAAAAUUUGAACACCAUUUAAACGUAAUCACCGAACUUCUAUUUACCAAACUCAAGAAAACUCAUGGAACAUGUAUGAACCUAAUCCAAGCAUGAACACCCGUCCCCUAUUUACAAGUUGAAAUUUAACCAAACAAUCAUGAGUAUAAUACGUUACCAUGAAUAAUGAGAUCACAAAUGAACAAAAAGGGUUGAAUCAAUGACCACAGAGACUAAAUGCAAGGGUAUUAUCUCAGCGAAAGUAAUAUAAUGAUUACAUAAUCCUGUAACCUUCGAAGCUCUCUACAACAAAACAUCCCAAGCAACAUUAUUGCUAAAAUAUUAUUAAAGCAAGAAAUGAUUAGUAUGAAGGGAAAGAUGAAUGAGAAAACGAUAGAUAAAAUUAAAAGGGCAAAAUAUGUUUACCUCUUUCUUAGAAGAAAUUUCCUCUCAAAUUUUCGAACCUAGGAACUUUCAGACACCCUGUUUCAAUGUAGAAAAUGGGACUCGAGCUAUCAGCAAAAUUACACCACUGGGAGCUGAUGUUGUCGACUCGAGAACUUCGAGUUGAUCGACUAGCUUCCCAGAAAGAAUGGACGAGAAAAUUUUUGCAAAAUAUACUCUUCGAUUUCAGAGUUCCCAACACAACUUUCGAAAAAAAAAACCUCGUCUCUUACGACUCCUAUCUUCCACCUUAAAGCAUCGACCCCUUCCCCCCUCAAAAGUGAAGAGAGCCCCAGAAAGAAAAAAGAUAAAUUCCCUAAAAUUUCUCCGAAAGAAACCUAACUCUCCAAUCUUCAAUCCCUUUCUUAGCUCUCUGUGAGCUCUUUUAUAGAAGGGAUUGAGGGCAUUCCAGGGAUUUCCGAAAAUAGCCCAUUUGAAUUUCAAAUUCCCCCCUUCUAGCUCCAUUUUUUCCUCAAUCCGCCCAAAAUUGUGUUUGGUGGACCAAUAGAAAUGGGAGAAACGAAUUCUUUCCCAGACCCAAUGAAAAAUCGCCAAAUAUGUACCUAAUCCGUACCAUUAUCUCAAAAUAUGUGGAAUAUUGACGUUAGAUGAGCCAACUCACACUUUUCUAGAAGCUUCUCAGAUCAUCCAUGGUACAACAUCACGUAGGACGCGCGAAGAGAAUAAAGGUGAGCUAGUUGUGGGUCGACUCGGGGCUGGUCGAGAAGGGUUCAGAUUUUGGAUUGACUGGUUAUUGUUGUUGAUGUUGAAUAUCGGGUGUUUUUGUGAAGAAUAGGGGAUAAAGGGGAUUAUUGAUGUGGGCCGGGUUAGGGGUUUUGGUUGGGCUGAUAUUGGAUUGAUUUUGGGCUAAUGGUUUUUAAAAUAAGAAAUGGGCUGCUGGGCAUCUAGCUGUUGGGCCGAAAUUGAUAUGUUGUUGGGUUAUAGUGGGUAGAUUAGGGAUUUGGUCAUAUAGGAAUUUAGGCUAUUUAUCAAAUAGCCAACGAUUGAAGAGUUUAGACAAUCAUAUUUAAAUCUUAGCCUAAUUCAAAUUAAAUUGACCAAUUAUAUUACAAUUCUUAUCAAAUUAAUUUCAAUAAAGGUCUAAUUUAAUAAAUUGACUAAAUUAAAACAUCAUUUAAAAUGAAUUAACAACCAAUUCAAUUCUAAAGUUUCUUGAUCCGAUAAAAUCGAACUCCUGUUCAUCCAAAUAAAUUAUUUUUGCAAAUAAAUUAUAAUUAAAUUAAGAUUUUAAUCAUUAUAAGCUUACUUCAACAUAAGCUUUGAUCAUAAUCCGCUAUUUGUAAAACCAAUAUUCAAGCCUCAAAAUUGUAUAAUUUCGUUUAAUUCAAUACGACAAUAUACAAUCGCUACUUAAAAAUGACAAAAUUAUGUCCACAAAAUGUUUUGAAAAUCCUUUAUUUCGGAUAAGAUAAAUGUUGUAAUUUUAUUUGAGAAUCGAAGAAACUCCGAAUUAAACUGAUUUAUGGAGGGAAAAAAUUAGAUGUCAACAGACACUAAUUCUUCGGCUCAUGAAACAUAACAAAACUAUUUAUGUAGGUAUAAAUCUUCUCUGAAAAUUUAGUUGUUCAAGGCUCAUGAAACAAAACUUUAGAAUUAGAUUGAAAAUUCACAUUUUCUCAUUGAUAAAAGUAGCAUUAAAAUUUUUUGAACAAAGUACUUUGCUAUUAUGAUAAUAAUGGAGUAACUAUUCAGUAGAUUUAUUCUUUAGACACUGCAUGAAACUUUAUUAAUGACUUAGCGAGGAGAAAAGACACUACAUAUUUCUCGGCCACAUAUUUGAUAUUCAUGUCCUAUAUAAUCACCAAAUAUUUCAAAUUCUCCAUUUCAUUACAAUGACUAUAUUAUUAGAGGCCGCUUAUUAGGUUUCUUAUGUUAACUCUUGAACUACUUCCUGACACAUCUAUAAUAAUGGAUAAAUCAUUUGCAUUUAUUUAAUUACCACAUAAUAAUUUUAUCACUAGGUAUAUUUUUUAAGAUAAUACUACAUUAAUUAACAAGAGCUCAAAUCAUAAUAUGUAAUUAAAAACUUUAAUAUACUUACCUCAUUGUCAUCGACACUUGUCAACCCAUGAAUUUUUGAUGAAUCACCUUCAUCAAAGUUUUUAGUGGAUCUAACAAUUAUCAAAUGAAUACUACUCUCCCCUUUCAAAUUAUUUUGCUUGAAUCAAAAAUUAAUUAAUGUUCGAUGUAAAAUUUGAUCAUAGAAUCUUUAAUUAUUUAUCUUAAAUUUAAUAUCUAAAGAUUCAUUUAAAUUCAAAAGGUAAAACUGUAUAUGUUAUUUCUAGGAUCUAAGAAUCGGGUAAAAAGAUUAAGUGAAAAUUGCUCUUUUAUAUUUUUAAGAUUUACAUUUUACCUAGUGAUCAUCAAACAUCAAAUCGUUCAAUCAAAAAAUUUGAAACCCUUAGAACCAUAAUCUUACAUGAUUGACCAAAUUGUAUGAGCCAUGUGAUAUAUAAGAAAUUAAAGAAAAGACUUAACUAGUUGGCAAAAUGUAAAUAAAUAAACAAAUCAAAUACAAUUCUACAAAAUGAAACCACAACAUUAAUUCCACAACUUAUAAGAAAAUUUAUAUAUAAAAAUGAAUCCUACUUUUAAAAUUUUUUAUUUUUAUUUUUGUCCGAAGCCUAUAUUGAUUUAAGGACAAGAUCAAAAAUUUUACCUUGAAUAAUGAUGCUAACACUCACAGAUAAAUUCAUUUCCAAAUGAAUUUUGUUACCUGUUAAAGAAUUACAAAGAUUUAAUCAAACUCAAUGACAUUGAGCGAUGAUAAUAAUAUAAACACACACACACAUACACAAACACAUAAUUCAUUAAAAAUAAAAGAAUAUAUAUAAAUUUAAAUGCCGUAUACCUUUCACUGAAGAAGAGAAGAAUGAAAAUGAAUUACAUCUUCAUAGGUUUUAUAGAGGAAACUAUAUGUCUAGAAAAGAUUACAAUAAUUUCUAUUUAAUUUACUUAUGAUUUUAAUGACAUACUCAUUAAUUUUAGUUUGACUCACUUUUAAUUCUAAUUGAUAUUAAUAAAAUAUAAUAAAGGCAUAGUCAUUAAUUUUAUUUGACUCACUUAUAAUUCUACACUUUCUUAAGGAAAAAUUAAUUACAGGCUCAAUCGACUAAAUCGCCCUUAUUAAUUAAUUUUCUCUGUUUAAUACUUUUCUUUUUUAAAUUAUACUGAAUAUAUUUUUCUAUUUAUGACUAAUGGUAAAUAUGAAAAAAAAUAAAAUUCUAUCUUGAUUUUUUAAAAUGACAGGUAUUAUGAAAUUUUUAUUUUAAUAAGGAAGACAAGUAUUUAAGAAGGGGGAGUAAUAAUAUACAAUAAAGCCAUAAUUGUCACGACCUAGACUAACGGACCGUGCGGGCACCUACAUUAUUCUAAGUAGUUAGGAGAACCCUUAUUACCCAACUAAAAAUAUGCGGAAGACUUCUAUUUUUAAGAAAUAAUGGAUUAAAUAUAAUAAAGUAAAUUAAAUACUAAUAAAUAAUUUUUUUUUCUAAAAACUUCUUACAAAUGUCCUUCACUAUCCCUAGACUUGGCCACACAUGUACAAGAGCUAUCUACUACAACAUAGACUGACAAUAAAAUAAAUUAUACAAAGACUCUAACAUCUGCCAGGAAGAGAGUGCAAAAGUUAGUACUGAAUAUCGUCAUCCAUCUAGUAACUGCAACUAACUUGCAUCCAGUCUACACUCCAAGAAGCAAUGUAGAAGAGUAGGGUCAGUACAACCAUACCUACGGGUAGGCAUCAUUGGCCAACCGUGUUAGUUCAUAUAAUCAUAAAAUAGAAUUAACAAAAAUAAAUCAUGACGUCUUGAAUGAAAUAUAAUUGACUAAGGUUGUAAUAAUAUUAUUACUUUACAUAAAUAAGUUACAACAUCCAACUACUCUUCCAACACCAUCAAUAUUAAAUUCGCUACUAACAUACUCUAGCCUCAUUAAUUCACUCCAUCAACCACAAUCCAACGCUAAUACAACACUAUUCCUCUUUAUUCACCUUAUCUUAUUCAUUACUCAUAUUCACAGGAACAAAACCGUAAUCAUAGACCACCCACACUAAAUUCUCGGACUAACAACCAAAUGCUCUAUUAUAAUAUUAAAGAAUGAUUACUAGCCAUUCUAGUAAGCUAUCAUUAAAACACGUAUAAAUGAAGCAAGUCAACCAACAUAUAAGCAAGUAAGAAGUUUUACUUUUUCAAAUACAUAUCACACAAUCAAAUACCCAAUGAAUUAACAAUAACAAUAACAGAUCAAACAGUGCUCACAAACAAGCGACAUAACCAUCAAGAGUAUCAACCAUACUGUAAACAUCCAGUGACUCAACACAAAUAUGUACACACAUGCUAUGGGACUUAUUUUUGCCCAAAUAGUCAUGACCUGCAGGGAACAAUCUAUGUUCAUGUACCGUGCCAGCGUGGUACCCGAUCCAAUAUAUAUAUCUUACCGCGUGGUACUCGAUCCAACAUAUACAUAUUCGUACCAGCGUGGUACCCGAUCCAACAUAUACAUAUUCGGACCGGCGUGGUACCCAAUCCAACAUGUACAUAUCUGUACCGGCGUGGUACCCGAUCCAAUAGAGCUGUCAAUAUGGGUCGGCCCAGCCCAUUCGGGCUAGCCCACAUGGGCUUUAAAUUUUAUGGGCUAGGCCGGGCCGGGCCGGCCCAUCAAAAUGAUGGGCCAAAAAAGACCAAACUCACACCAUUACUCUAUGGACUGUGGGCCAUCCCACUUUUUAAAAAUUAAUAUUUUAUAAUUUAAUUUUAGAAUGUUAAUAAACAUAAAUAUUAUCAAACAAUAUUACAUAUUGUUAAUACUUGUUAAUCAAAUUUCCAACACCCUAAAAAAUACUUCUAAUAGCGAAAUUAAAUAACUUUUGAUAUGAUAUCCUUCGAAUCAAAUAAAAAUACUAAUAAGCAAUCUAAAUAGUUGCAUGCAUUUGAUUUACGGGUCGGCCCACGGGCUAGCCCAACCCACAUUGCUCAAGCUCCAUGGGCCACAGGUUAUUCGGGAUGGGCUAAAAAACCAUGUUCUUAAAUGGGUUGCAAAAACUGAAGCGCAACUACAUCAAAUUAUAGGUCGGGUCGAGCCGACCCAACGGGCCUGACCCAUAUUGCCAGCUCUACGAUCCAACAUAUACAUAUUCGUACCAGCGCGGUACCCGAUCCAACAUAUACAUAUCCGUACCACCGUGGUACCCGAUCCAACAUACACAUAUCCGUACCGGCGUGGUACCCAAUCCAAUAUAUAUAUAUAUCCGUACCGGCGUGGUACCCAAUCCAAUAUAUACAUAUCCGUACCGGUGUGGUACCCGAUCCACCAUAAACAAGUAUUAUCAAUAUCAAAUUUACACAACGUCACAACAUACAACAAUGUACCAAGUUUACAAGUACCCUUAAAGUCAUAAGAAAAUUUCAUCAAGUAAAUUUUCAAUAAUUAUUUAUACACACAUCAACAAUCCAAGCAUCAACAAUUUCAAGUAUGUCUGAAUACCAAUCAACAAGUAUUCAUAGAGUUACUUUAAGGAGUUAUCAUUAUCAAACAAGUCACUCAUAGACAUAAUUCAGUAAACCAUCAUUAUCACCAAUUUAGCCUCUCAUGGGCAUCCAAUAGAUAUAGUAUUUUUAUCAAUAUCAAAACAAGAAUAUCAUAAAGUAAAUCACAAUUUAAUUCUUACGCAUGCAAAUCACUAUUGGAGUCUUAAGUACUCAUUAAUUAUUAAAAAUAUCAUUACAUUCUUAAAUACCGCAACUUGGGUGCUAAUAUCACCACAUAUAACUAGCACAUUCACGUGUAUCAUUAUCCUCUACCUCUUUCCACAUAAUACAAUCAUCACACUAAUUCAAGUCAUCUAUCCCUUAUAUAUUACUAUGCUCAUCAAUAUUUGAUCUUAGCAUAAUUUUCCUCAUCAUAUUAUUGCACAAACAUACAAUCUAAUACCAUUACAACUCAAUUAGGUUCAUCACUAGAACAAUUAAAAAAAAUAUCAUUUUUAUAUAUUGCGUUUACAACAAUCUCCUUUCGGGUACAUAACACAUAAUAUCAUAAAUAUCAUAUAAUUUAUCAAUAAUAUAGUUUUUGGGAUUAAAGUUAAGUACUCGUGUCUUUAUCCACCUCAACUCCAUGCCCGCGGGCCUAGACAUGCUUUGUCUCAUCAAUUCUAAAUCAUGAAAAUAUAAAAUAACACAAUCUUUUAUUCAUUAAACCUAGCCUACCUGGACGCCAAGCUUUUGAAAGAAGCAAGCUGCAACAAGGAUUCUCUUUCCUUUCUUUCAUGUCUUGAAACAAUCAAUCAUCUAUAAAUCAAGCAAUUAUAAGAGUAAUUAAAUAUUUAUUCUUCAAAAAAAUAUCUUGGGAUUCAAACCCACUAAUUCAAUCCUUAAUUCAAGGUCUACAUCAUUCCCCAAUGUCAAUUAGCCAUUAAUUAGCCCUUUCAAACUUAAUCCAUUUCCAUUAAUGGAGUUUUUAUGCUAAAGGUCUCAUCUUUACGGAAUUCUUGGUUCCUAACCCUCAAAAUUCAUAAUCUAGUUUAUAAAAUUCAUAUUAGGAAUCUUUAAUUUACAGUUUAGGAUCAGAUCUAUGUCAUAUUAAAAACACGAUGAGUAUUUCCCAAAAGGAUUCCACCAUUAAAGGUCUUUCGUAGGAUUCAAAGAUGUUAAAGGAUCAAAAGACGAAGAAAAUAAUGGAAAAACUUAUCUCAACGAAGGAAUUUCAUCUUAAGCCUUGGGAAAUCACCUCUAUAGGGUUGGGGAAUGAAAUUUGAGGUUUUAGACUUAAAAUACGCUGAAGCUGAUUUAAAUACCAUCAGAAUUUUCACUACAGGGAAAUCACGCUUCAACUCGGAUAGUGCUCAGUAAAACAGUCAUAACUUUUUACUCUGAAUUUGGAUUGAGGAACGGUUUAUUGCGUUGGAAAGAGGACUCAGAUAUCUUUAAUUAGGUAUUGGGUUUUGUAACUCCUAAUACUAUAAGAGAUAUUAUCAUUUGAAGUUGACCCUAAUAAAAACCCAUAUCAAAACUCUAUCGAAAAUAAGCUUGUAAACUUAACCUUGUGUUAGGGAUAUUGUAUGACCUUAAUUAAUAGAUAAAGAAAUUUCAAACUAAGUUAUUGAUAUUAUAACUAAUGAAUAAUUAAAUUCAUCGGGCUUUAGUCUAUCUAGACACAUCCGAAGGCUAAAAUCUUUGCCGAAAAGUUUAAGGUGACAUAAUAAAUAAAAUAUUAUCAAUAUUGAGGAAUAAAAUUUAAGAAUUUUCAUGAAUUUAUUAUGAAUAAUUUAGUAAUAACGAAAUGGGUCGUUACAAUAAUCAUUAAUAAAUGUGUUAAAUUUGAAAAACAUAAUAGAAUCUCGCAUGAACAACCAAAAGCCUUGUAUGAUAGAUAGAGCUGUCAAAAUGGCCUGGCUCAACCCAACUCAAGCCUAGUGGGCUAGAGAAUUAAAUGGACUAGGACGGGCUAGCCCUUUUAACUAAAGGAUCUUUAAAAUAGUAGCCUAACCCAGCCUUAAGCGUGCCGCAGGUUGUGGCGGGUUGACCUUCAAAAAAAAUAAAAGCAACCCGAAACAUGAUAAACAAAAAUAUUGUAAGUACUCGAAUAUCACUAACUUUUAUGAUUUCACUUUAAUACAUCUCCUACUAGUUUUUAGUAUGUUAUAGGCAUCUUACUAAUACCUUUAAGGAUUGUUAAAAAAAAGAGUUAUGCUGGGAUAACUAUUGGGUUCAAGGUAUAUAUGUGAAUGAAAAAUGAAGGGAAAAUAAUGGAGAAAAGAGAGACACCCAAUUAGAAAGUGUAUCCUUAAAAUUGGAAAGUUAACUAAUUCUCCCACAUUGAUGGGAGAACGGAACUUUGGAGUGUUUUUAAUAAGGAACACUAACUCCACAUGGAUAGUGAGGCAAGAACAAAGUGGUGCCUCACACCGUCGUCGUCACUCGCUCGACUUCGGAUUUGGAUUUGGAUUUGGAUUUGAAAAAUGAUCGAUCAAUGAGAUCUAUCUCUUUAGAUGAAUUUUAUUUGAAACUUGUGUUACGAGUAAAAAAAUUAAUCCAAAAAUAUGAUACAUUUAUUUUUUAUCUGAUACAUUUAUUUUUUCUCCAAGUGUGGGCGUAUUAUUGAUGCCAUGCAAAUGCAUACGCAACGCAUCACGAAGGGAUGCGAUCCUUUGAGGGAAAAGGCACUCUGUUCCGCAUUGUAGGGUGACCUGCAGGCACAGAUGCUGCACAGGUGUGUGACCUGUGGGCGCAGAUGUAGCGCAGAAGCUACUGGAAUUCACAAAACAUCACCUGCAGCCACAGAUCAGGCGUAGGUCCAGCACAGACUGGACACAGAGACGUGAUUGCUACUAAAUAGGUGCCUUUCUGCUGAACCAAUGCAUCUUUUCUGAAAGGACACAUUAAAGACUAUAAAUACCUGAUAUAUUCCUCAGGUAUAGACAUGAUUUUGACAAUAAAAACAUUCUUCUUCUAUGUAAAAACUCUGUGUGAUCAUUAAGCUGUUGAGUGAGUUCAAAGAAUCCAACAAUUUGAGGUACCACUAUUGUUUGGAUUGAAAGUCAUUUUAUCCUGGGAGAAAGAUUCCACAACUCCGGGUAUAGUGAGGGAAAUUAUUCCUUAAGGACACUCCGUGAAAUCGAAGGACUUGGCUUUACAUUUCUAUUUCAUCUCAUUUCUGAAAAAUAAUAUACCUCUUGGAUAGAUUAUUCAUAAUCUUGCGUUGAAGGUGUCAAGGAACUUCAUAAGUGUUCUUGUCUUAGACUUAAACUUGGGUUGAAGUUGUUGUUGCAUAUAUAUAUAGAUUCUUGUACCCAAAAAUAUUGAAAAUAAUAAUCUUAAGGAAUAAUCUUUCAGAAUCUAUAUUGCUUCUUUUCUGGAGAUUAAAGCUUUAAGUUUUCUACUCCAUUUUAACUUAACUAGUGAUUUGAAGACAUAAAAUCUUCAUCACAAGUUAAAGAUCACUCAGUUGACGAUUGGAAGUCAUAAAAACUUCAUCGCUAAACUAGAAACAAGAGGUGUUUAAAGUUACUGCAACUUUUUAAUAAGUAUUUUGAUAUACUAAAUACACUGUCUUAUGGUGACCAAAAAAUGAUGAUUCAUAGUCAAAUGCAUGUUGCUGAAACAACUAUGGCGGCAACUAGUAUUGCCACAACGAGUUGUACUAAUGCUCCGUAAGCUAUGGCACUGGAGGAGAAACCCAAAAAGUUUGCAGGUAUUGACUUCAAGAGAUGGCAACAGAAAUUGUUCUUCUACCUCACUACUCUUUGUCUUCAAAGGUUCACAUUUGAAGAAGCUCCGGAGGUGCCCGAGAGAACCUCUUAACAAGAGCGCUUUGUGAAUGUGGAGGCUUGGAAACACUUAGAUUUCCUUUGUAGAAAUUAUAUCUUGAGUGGUCUCCAAGAUGACCUCUACAAUGUGUAUAGAGAAACAAAGACUGCAAAAGCGUUAUGGGGAGCGCUAGAACAAAAGUACAAGACAGAGGAUGCCGGAACUAAAAAGUUCUUAGUUGCAAGAUUCCUGGAGUAUAAAAUGAUAGACAACAAGUCUGUUGUUUUUCAAGUGCGGGAACUGCAAGUGAUCAUCCUUGAUCUCCUUGCAGAAGGUAUGAUUUUGACAAAUACCUUUGUUGAACAAUUUUAAAUUAUUCUUAGUAUUCACAUGAACUUUAUUGUAGGUUUGAUUGUGAAUGAAACAUGUCAAGUAACAACAAUAAUAGAGAAGCUACCACCUAUGUGGAAAGACUUCAUGAACUAUUUAAAAUACGAACGUAAGGAGAUGUCAGUUGAAGAUGUGAUUAUACGACUACGCAUUGAAGAAGAUAAUAAGGCUACAAAAAGAAGGUCGAGAGGUAAUUCUGCAAUGAAUGGUGCAAACAUUAAAGAAAAUGACCAAAACAACUCUAAAAAGUGAAAGAAAGCUGGUAAUGAAAGCAAUCAACCCAAGAAGAAAUUCAAGGAAAAGUGCUUCAAUUGUGGCAAGAUUGGCCAUAAGUCCAAGGAUUGUCAUGCUCCGAAGAAAUGGAAGAAUAAGGACCAAGCAAAUCUGGCUGAGUCUAAGAAAUAAACCGAUGAUCUGUGUGCUAUGCUUUCCGAAUGCAACUUGGUGGAAAAUUCUAGCGAAUGGUGGAUGGAUUUUGGUGCCGCCCGCCAUGUUUAUGCUAAUAAGGAGUUGUAUUCUACGUUCGCUCCAGCUCAAGUAGAAGAAAAGAUCUACAUGACAUACUCCACUACUGCAAAAGUAGAAGGAACAGAAAAAAUGUGCUUGAAGAUGACUUCCGGCAAAGUGUUCACACUUACUAAUGUCUUGUAUGUUCCGGAGUUAUGGAAGAACUUGAUUUCUAUUUCACUUCUAGAUAAAAAAUGGAUUCAAAUGUGUAUUUAUUUCCGAAAAGAUUGUACUUAGUAAAGGAGAAGUGUAUGUAGGAAAAGGAUACCUCAAUGAGGGCCUAUUCAUAAUGAAUGUAAUGAAUGUUGAAAUCAAUAAAAGUUCAAAUUCUUCUUACUUGCUUGAGUCUUACAAUUUGUGGCAUGAAUGAUUAGGCUAUGUUAAUUAUAAAACAUUACGAAAACUGAUUAACUUAGAAGUUUUACCAAACUUUGAGUGCAAUAAAUCAAAGUGUCAAACUUGUGUGGAAUCAAAGUAUGCUAAGCAUCCGUAUAAGUCCGUUGAAAGGAAUUCCAAUUCCUUAGACUUAAUCCACACUGACAUUUAUGAUAUGAAGUCAACACCAUCACGUGGUGGAAAAAAGUAUUUCAAUAACUUUUAUUGAUGAUUGCACUAGAUAUUGUUAUGUCUACUUGCUAAAUAGUAAGGAUGAAGAAAUAGAUGCGUUUAGGUAAUACAAAACUGAGGCUGAAAUUCAGUUAGAGAAAAAGAUCAAAACUAUAAGAAGUGAUAGGGGCGGAGAAUACGAAUCUCCUUUCGCUGAAAUAUGUGUAGAGAAUGGAAUUGUCCAUCAAACUACAGACCCAUAUUCACCUCAAUCUAAUGGAAUUGCAGAAAGAAAAAAACAAACUUUGAAGGAAAUGAUGAAUGUCUUACUUUCAAGUUCAGGUUUACUGCAAAGCUUAUGGGGGGAGACUAUCCUUAUAGCCAACCGAAUACUCAGUAGAGUUUUUCAUGUUAAGACACAAUCAAUUCCUUAUGAAAAAUGGAAAGGAAGGAAACCCAACUUGAAAUAUUUCAAAGUGUGGGGGAGUCUAGCAAAGGUCCAAGUUCCUAUUCCUAAAAAGGUUAAGAUAUGACCUAAGAUGGUGGACUGCAUGUUCAUAUGAUAUGCUAAAAGUAGUAAAGCAUGUCAAUUUUUGGUUCAUAAAUCCGAACAUCUGGAUAUAAAUACGGUAAUUGAAUCAGAUAAUGCUGGAUUCUUUGAAAAUAUUUAUCUGUAUAAAACAAGACAUGGACAGUCUAGUAGGGGUCUAAACGACCUCGAGAUGAGCCAAGUGAGAAUGUACAUAAUGAUGAGAAUCCAAGACGUAGUACACAUCAAAGAACGUCAACUUCAUUUAGAUCAGAUUUUAUAACAUUUCUCUUAGAAAAUGAGCCUCAAACAUUUAAGGAAGCGAUGGUGUCUUUGGACUUAUCCUUUUGGAAAGAGGCAGUCGAUAGUGAGAUUGAUUCAAUCUUAAGCAACCAUACGUGGGAGUUGGUUGAUCUUCCUCCAGGAAACAAACCUUUAGAUUUUAAAUGGAUCUUCAAAAGGAAAAUGAAAGCGGAUGGUACUAUUGACAAAUACAAGGCGAGACUUGUAGUAAAAGACUUCAAACAAAAGGAAGGCCUUGAUUACUUUGAUACAUACUCACCAAUAACGAGGAUAACGUCAAUUCGGAUGUUAAUUGCCUUGACGGCAGUAUAUGGACUUGAAAUCCAUCAAAUGGAUGUGAAAAUAUUAUUCCUAAAUGGAGAAUUGGAGGAAGAAAUUUACAUGAAACAGCCUGAGGGUUUUGUGGUUUCAGAAAGAGAAAAUAAGGUGUGUAAACUUGUUCAGUCACUUUAUGGACUAAAACAAUCACUUAAAUAAUGGCAUGCAAAGUUUGACCAAACCAUAUUGGCAAACAGGUUAAAGAUUAAUGAAUGUGAUAAAUGUAUUUCUAUUAAAGACACUCCAAAUCACCAAGUCAUUGUUUGUUUAUAUGUGGAUGAUAUGUUGAUCAUCAGUAGAGACAUUUAUGACAUAAAUACAACGAAACGAAUGCUCUAGAGCAUGUUCAAUAUGAAAGACCUUGGAGUUGCAGAUGUGAUCUUAGGAAUAAGAAUCUAUAGAACUCCACAAGGGUUGGCAUUGUCAUAGACAAAGCUUGUGGCCUUAAAGGAGGAUAAAUCAUUACUUCUUUGAUUUGCUUGUUUUAUUUCCAUCUUUUUGAUUGAUCAUACACAAAGCUUUAAAGGAGUUCUCCAUUGCCUCUUCCAUUCUCAUAACCAUGAUCUCGUUUUUAUCUAACCUAGGGAGAGGUCUCUGGAAUUAUCCUUUUACUUAAAUCACACAAAUUUGUACUAUCUUAUACUGGCAGCAUAUGAGAAAACAAAUUUAAGGUCACAAGGCUAAAUGACAUAGUGGCCUUCAUGAUCAAGGGAUUCCAUAAUUCGGGUCAGGCCACUUAGUAAGUAAAUUCAUCAGCUAUAGCUGAUUUGAUUAUCAUUUACACGGGUUACACCUCUAUGGACUUGCACGUGUGUAAUUAUACAAUGUUGCUUUGGUCUCGUUUGAGUAUCUUGCUCUUAUUUGUUCUCUCAAUUUUCAAGUACUAAGUUACGAAGACCGUAGGAAACUUCUCCUAAGCAAAACCAUUUUUUGACAGGCAACACCUAAACCAGUGGCAGUCGGAUUUGGCAUUUCAAAACCUGAACAUGUUAAGCAGGU
RNAcentral lists this long non-coding RNA (149923 nucleotides) under Capsicum annuum. RNAcentral describes it as "long non-coding RNA (CANN_LNC013041)". The record is from RNAcentral. Lineage: Eukaryota; Viridiplantae; Streptophyta; Magnoliopsida; Solanales; Solanaceae.